This 130812-nucleotide long non-coding RNA is filed under the name Triticum aestivum (bread wheat). Its description in RNAcentral is "long non-coding RNA (TAES_LNC022083)". The stretch from base 54074 to 54188 matches the Rfam family "MIR1120/MIR1122 microRNA precursor family". Lineage: Eukaryota; Viridiplantae; Streptophyta; Magnoliopsida; Poales; Poaceae. The record is from RNAcentral.
AAAAAAAAUCUAACAUAAUAUGAACAAAUUAAUUAUUACACAUCUAAUCUAACAAAAAAAAUCUAUGAACUACAUAUCUAAAUUACUACACAUNNNNNNNNNNNNNNNNNNNNNNNNNNNNNNNNNNNNNNNNNNNNNNNNNNNNNNNNNNNNNNNNNNNNNNNNNNNNNNNNNNNNNNNNNNNNNNNNNNNNNNNNNNNNNNNNNNNNNNNNNNNNNNNNNNNNNNNNNNNNNNNNNNNNNNNNNNNNNNNNNNNNNNNNNNNNNNNNNNNNNNNNNNNNNNNNNNNNNNNNNNNNNNNNNNNNNNNNNNNNNNNNNNNNNNNNNNNNNNNNNNNNNNNNNNNNNNNNNNNNNNNNNNNNNNNNNNNNNNNNNNNNNNNNNNNNNNNNNNNNNNNNNNNNNNNNNNNNNNNNNNNNNNNNNNNNNNNNNNNNNNNNNNNNNNNNNNNNNNNNNNNNNNNNNNNNNNNNNNNNNNNNNNNNNNNNNNNNNNNNNNNNNNNNNNNNNNNNNNNNNNNNNNNNNNNNNNNNNNNNNNNNNNNNNNNNNNNNNNNNNNNNNNNNNNNNNNNNNNNNNNNNNNNNNNNNNNNNNNNNNNNNNNNNNNNNNNNNNNNNNNNNNNNNNNNNNNNNNNNNNNNNNNNNNNNNNNNNNNNNNNNNNNNNNNNNNNNNNNNNNGGGCGGCGACGGCGUUGGGGCGUGGCGGGGCGGGGCGGCGACGGCGAGGCGGCGGCAGGGGACGCGGCGACGGGAGUGGAGGACGAGAGAUCGAAGUCGGGAGCGCUAAGUGCUGUAUAUAUAGCAAACGCUUUGGUCCCGGUUCGUGAAGUCAACCGGGACUAAUGCCCCCCUUUAGACCCGGUUGGAGCCGCCAACCGGGACCAAUGGCCUCUUUUCAGCAGCCCAAAGGGCGGGAAACAAAGACCAUUGGUCCCGGUUGGAGCCUCCAACCGGGACUAAAGAGUGGCAUUGGUCCCGGUUAGGGCCACCAACCGGGACUAAAGGGCGGCAUUAGUCCCGGUUGAAGCCACCAACCAGUACCAAUGGACCUGUCUAAUUACUUUUUUAUUUUCUGCAGUCAUUUUUUAGUUGAUUCUUUCUGCAGCUAUUUUUUUAGUCCCACCUCGCCAAGCGAGAGGCACUCACAGCUGUUUAUAAGCCCUGAGUGCAGAGACGAUGAAGAAGAGGCUCAAUGCUCACCUGCACGUUGGUUAGCUUCAAGCCUUGAGGAAUACGGUAGACUGCACAGAGCUAUGUGCAGUGCAGUUGACACUAUUCCGAAAGGCUUGAAGCAAAUUAACGAGCAUUGCGCCUCUUUUUUAUUUUUAAUGACUUAUUACAACUCAGAAAUAAAAAGAAAAAAAUAAAUGUAGGAGAAAAGAAAAAAAUAUAUAAAAAACCACUCAGAAAUAAAUAGAAGAAAAAAUAGUUUUGAUUAACUUUACUCAAAAAAUGAGCAUAGAUGCUUAUUUUUAAUGACUUAUUACAACUCAAAAAUAAAAAGAAAAGAAUAAAUGUAGCAAAAAAGAAAAAAAACUAUAUAAAAAACCACUCAGAAAUAAAUAGAAAAAAAAUAGUUUUGAUUAACUUUUUUAAAAAAUGAGCAUAGAUGCUUAUUUUUAAUGACUUAUUACAACNNNNNNNNNNNNNNNNNNNNNNNNNNNNNNNNNNNNNNNNNNNNNNNNNNNNNNNNNNNNNNNNNNNNNNNNNNNNNNNNNNNNNNNNNNNNNNNNNNNNNNNNNNNNNNNNNNNNNNNNNNNNNNNNNNNNNNNNNNNNNNNNNNNNNNNNNNNNNNNNNNNNNNNNNNNNNNNNNNNNNNNNNNNNNNNNNNNNNNNNNNNNNNNNNNNNNNNNNNNNNNNNNNNNNNNNNNNNNNNNNNNNNNNNNNNNNNNNNNNNNNNNNNNNNNNNNNNNNNNNNNNNNNNNNNNNNNNNNNNNNNNNNNNNNNNNNNNNNNNNNNNNNNNNNNNNNNNNNNNNNNNNNNNNNNNNNNNNNAGAAAAAAAGAAAAAAAAUAAAUAUAGCAGAAAAGAAAAAAACUAUAUAAAAAACUACUCAGAAAUAAAUACAAGAAAAAAUAGUUGUGAUUAACUUUACUAAAAAGAAAAAAACUAUAUAAAAAACUACUCAGAAAUGAACAUAGAUGCGCUUAUAGAGAAAAUUCAACCUAAAUUCAUAAUAAAUUUCUACUAACUUCAGAGAAAUUCAGUAUGAAUUUAGGUUAAAUUCCCUGUAUAAGGGCAUCUAUUUUCAUUUUGAGAGGAGCUCAACAAGGCAGAGAAGGAGGGGCUUAUAAACUGGUCUGAGCCGCCUUCGGUUGGCGAGGUGGGACUAAACUCUGGCCGCAACGAGGACCAACCCUUUAGUCCGGGUUGGUGGCCUGAACCGGGACUAAAGGGCAGCCUUUGGUCCCGGUUCAAGCCACCAACCGGGACCAAUGGUGUUGGGCCAGGAGCGAGGCCCAUUCGUCCCGGUUCGUCCCACCAACCGGGACCAAUAGGUCCAGACGAACCGGGACCAAGGGCCCACGUGACCCGGCCGGCCCCCGGGGCUCACGAACCGGGUCUGAUGCCCCCAUUGGUCCCGGUUCUGGAUUGAACCGGGACUAAUGGGCUGGGCCGGCCUGGACCAUUGGCCCGUUUUCUACUAGUGACUAUAAAUCUCAUAUACUAUUAAUAUUAUCAACAACCAAAGGCAAUCUCGAAAACCACAUUAGGCCCUAUAUAUAUGCAUAGAGGGAGUAUAUAAAAGAUAUGUCCAUCUAUGUUCUGAGUAUUUCUUUUCUGGCCACCAUUGUAUUGCUAAACAUUCACACUGUGAGAAUUGUUAUAAAUGUGGAACUUUCUUCUGUACUAGUACUACUGCCUUCGUCAUCUCUAAGGUUGCAAUCCGCUGUUCAAAUCUCGACUCCAAAUUGUUAAGGGAUAAUUAAUUUGGUGCCCUUAGUUGUGUUCCACUCGACAGGUUUACCCCUAGUUUCCGAAAACACUUGUUCCUGCCCAAACCACUUUGCUCCUCUUAUGCUUUUGCCCUUUGACUGUUUGACCAUCACUUUUAAAACUUCAUAAAAAAAUUCAUACUAACUCAGAAAAAUUCAAAUAAGAUAUCAAAAUGUUCAGAAAAACAUCACCUAUAUGUGCAUGUCAUUUGCAUUCAUGAAAAAAGUGUUGGCCAGUCCCCAUCUCAGUUUUAGCUCAUAUGAUCUUAGCAUGAACAGUAAAAUCUAAAAAAAAUCUAAAACUUCUAGAAAAAAUUGGUGGCAAACUUUGACCAAUGUUUUGAGUGCUUGCCAAGUUUCAUAACAGAAUGACAUUCGUAGAGGUCGUGGCAAAAAAAAUUUGGAGCAUUGCUUUUUAUUUUUAUUUUUGCCACGACUUCCAUGAAUGUCAUUCCCUUAUGAAAAUUGGCAAGCACUCAAAGCAUUGGUCAAAGUUUGCCACCAAGUUUUUUUUAGAAUUUUCUAAAAAAAUGAGAUUUUACUAUUCACUCUAAGAUCAUAUGAGCUAAAACUGAGGUGGGGACUGGCCAACACUUUUUUCAUGAAUGCAAAUGACAUGCACAUAUAGGUGAUGCUUUUCUGAACAUUUUGAUAUCUUAUUUGAAUUUUUCUGAGUUAGUAUGAAUUUUUUGUGAAGUUUUCAAAGUGAUGGUUAAACGGUCAAAGGGCAAAAGCAUAAGAGGAACAAUGUGGUUUGGGCAGGAACAAGUGUUUUCGGAAACUAGGGGUAAACCUGCCGAGUGUGACACAACUAGGGGCAUAAAAUCAAUUAUCCCAAUUGUUAAAUACCUUCCUCUUGUUAAUAAGGCUCAAAUAUCAAGAGUACCAUAUCACUCGUCAUGUCGUACGCAUACUGGUAUCGUACUAGUUGUGAAUAUAUUUUAUAUGGUGUUAUUAUGAUAUUAUCUGUAAGUGUUGAACAUUAAAGAUUUCAUAAACUAAACAUUAUUUUUAAAUAGUUCUAUAUAUAAAUAUACAUAGUACUUUUAGUUUUAAAUUGCACAUCAACCAAAAAUGAUGCCAUUUUUAAUUAUUUCUCUGUUUGUUUGCAUGUAGAUACCCUUCAUAUUAGCUAUCUAUGUUCAGUGAUGUUCUAUUUACAUUAUAGUGAAUUGAUAUCGAUAAUUUUCAUGCUACAAUAUGUACCUUUCUUGAAUCUAUUGGAAUCCAGUCAUAUGGUCGUUUUACUUUCAAAAUUGGAUUAAAACCUAGUUGGAUACAAUAUUUAGUUUACAUUGAUAUAAACCUCUAAUAGAAUGUUCUAUAUGUCUAUCAUAAGUUUCGUCUCCUAAAAAAAUGUGUUAGUUUCAUCACGCGCAACUAAUAUUACUGUACAAAUUGUAACCUAAUAUAAGCCUUCAUACUCAUAUCAAUGUAUUUCAAAAAUAACAAUAUUCAGACAUGUAAGAGUUAAGUACAUGAACACAUUCGUAUUCAGUAAUUGAAACCGAUGCAACAAAUGUUCACUAAGCAAAUAACAUUCAUAGAAAAUAUGAAAUGGUGACAAACAGGUACCCACUGGAGAACCACUAAUUCCGUCUGCAACCACGUCAACGACCACUAUCAAGAGCACCUCCUCUGGCUCGGCCAUCGGCAACACCGACAUGACUGGCACCAUCGACAACACCUAACCCCCUUUCAUCCACAACAGCAAGGCCACCAUCUCUGACGCUGGCGACGCUAACUCCACGCCCGCGGCCUUGACCGCGACCAUACCCACGGCCACGGCCUCACUGACCAAUGCGAUCAGGACCAUACACUAAUGCAAAGAAGUCGUUGAGGUUGUCUUCCUACUGCGACCAGAUCUCUUCCGGAAUCUCGGCCAGUGCCUAGGCAUCCUCGUCUUCUUCGGCAUGAAGACGGCAAAUCUCCUGCAACACCACGUGCAAGUCCACCUAAAACUUCGAAAGAUAAUUCUCUGGCUCAACUUUGUGUCCACCAUUGUCCGAGGGUGUUUUGAGGGAAUGGACAAUGGUUUAGAGAAGAAUCGAUUAUGCAGCGACGAACUACCCCAUGAACUACUCUAAUUAUAUACAAGCCCUCCUUAACUAGAAGAGGUAGGCGGACCGGUCAAACAUCUCGUCUUCCCAUAAUGCAUUGGAUUCCAAACCAUCAUUUAUAUCGAAUCCGUUCGUUGCUAAUAAACUUACUCUUAAAAAUGUAUAGUCAAAAUUUAAUUGCUACUUUAUCUCUUGUUACGUAUUGUUUAUUUUCUUGCAGUGACAUGCAGUUUGACCAACUCCAGAAUAACAAAGAAAUUGUUUCUCAUCGUUAUUAUGACUAUUCAAUUUGAAAAUGUUUUCUACUUCUAGUGCUAAAUUUAAUUUGUACUUUUUGUUUAAGUAAUUGUAUAUUGUUCUCUCAUAUGAUAUAUUCUUUGAUUCCAUUGUUCAUACUACAUAUCUCACAGGAGAAGUUAUAUUUUAAUUCAAAUCAAUUAUUGUUCCUAGGCCACAUACUAUCUUAAUUUAGUUAUCAAAAUGUUUUCAUAAAUAAAUAAAUUUCUAUCAUGUUGUAACAAACACUCUUGAAAUAUAUAUCAAAUCACUUUUCUUUUAAGUUUAUAUAUGGAUAUGUUUCAAUCUAUCUUUUUAUACCCAUAUCAUUUUGAAAUACAUCUACAUGAAGUUUGAUCAUACAUAUGCUAUACUUUGAUCAACAUAUAUUUAUUACAUGCUCAAAUUUAUACUACUUAAAUAACAGUUCAUUUUACUGUUAUUAUUUAUUUGUAACUUUUUUAUCAAGCAUCUAUUGUUUGUAUUUGCAGAGCCAACAUUUUUGGUUUGACCUUUAGGGCUUAGUGUUUAGGUUUAAGGUUUAAAGGUUAGUUUUACGGUUCAGGCCUUAGCGCUUAGAUUUAGGGUUUAGGAAUUAGGAAUUAGUUAUUAUAAUUUACAUGUUAGUUAUCAAAAUCUUUUCAUAAAUAAAUUAAUUUAUAUGUUGUUCUAACAUACACUCUUGAAAUAAAUAUGAAAUCACUUUUGUUUAUAGUGUAAAUAUCGACAUCUUUUGAUCUAUGUUUUUACCCUAAAAUCAUUUUGAGAUACAAUUACACCCAAUUAGAUUAUAUAUGUUUUACUUUGACCAAUGUAUAUUACAUGCUCAAGUAUACUCCUUAAAUAACAAUUGUUUUUACUAAUAUUAUUUAUUUAUAACUUUGUUAUCACAGAACAAGCAUCUUGGCUUUGGCCUUUAAGGCUUAGAGUUUAGGGUUUAAGAUCUAUGGCAGGUUUUAUGAUUAGGUUUUAGGGCUUAGGUUUAGUGUUCAGGGUUUAGGGUCUAGGGCUUAUGCUUAGGUUUAUGGAUUAAUGUAUAUAAUAUUUAGGGUUGAUUUAUCAAAUAUGGUGUUUUGGGCUUAAGUUUUGAGGUUAAGGUUUAGGUUUAGCGUUUACAUCACGGAGAUAUUCAAGAUCAGCAAUAUUAUUUAGCCCUUAAUGAGUAGAAUAUUCAGAUUAGAAGGUACCCGGAGCUGUUAUUCCGUUUUUAUUGUUCUGUUUUAGAAUUUGCAUUCACUUUUAGGGUUCUUAUUUAUUCUAGUUCAUUAACCUAUGAUAUAAUUCUAAAUAAUUGUUGUUGAACAUUCUUUUAGACACAAUCAUUGUUCGUUCAUAAAUUUGUAGCUACAGGUCAAUUAGUGAUCAACUCUUACUAUAGUAGUAUUCUUAUUUACAGAUUAACUUUUUGAAUACAGUUCUUUAAGAUUAAAUUCGUGACCUAAAUUGACAUUUUGUACAUGAAUAAAUGUCCAGGAAUUGACUUGGUUCACAAUGUUCGCAAUCUUAAUGUCCGAAGCAAUAUGUGAUGAAGCCAUGUACCUAGGGUAGGGUCAUGGACCUGUCCAAAGUACCCUCCCCAAGGACAUCUCUAGAAGAAACUACCUUUCAGUCGACCUGGAAGGGUUUCACUCGACGGACUCGAAGACACUCGACCAUGAAGCCACUCACUCGACCACCAGGAGAUCUAGAGUCACUCUGCACACAAACGGUCUGUCAUUAAGUAGUCUUUAUGGUCAUUGAGGGAGUCCUGGACUAGGGGAUGUCCGGACAGCCGGACUAUCAUUGUCCGCCGGACUCCAAGACUACGAAGAUACAAGAUUGAAGACUCCGUGCCGUGUCCGGAUGGGACUUUCCUUGGCGUGGAGGGAAAGCUUGGCGAUACAGAUAUGUAGAUCUCCUACCUUUGUAACCGACUCUGUGUAACCCUAGCCUCCUCCCGUGUCUAUAUAAACCGGAGGGCUGUAGUCCGUAGGGGAAAACAUACAUUACAACAAUCAUACGAUAGGCUAGCUUUAGGGUUUAGCCUCCUUGAUCUCGUGGUAGAUCCACUCUUGUACUACCCAUAUCAUCAAUAUUAAUCAAGCAGGACGUAGGGUUUUACCUCCAUCGAGAGGGCCCGAACCUGGGUAAAACAUCGUGUCCCUUGUCUCCUAUUACCAUCCGCCUAGACGCACAGUUCGGGACCCCCUACCCGAGAUCCGCCGGUUUUAACACCGACAUUGGUGCUUUCAUUGAGAGUUCCUCUGUGUCGUCACCGAUAGGAAGGAUGCCUUCACCCGUCUUCAAAGACGGUAUUUUCGCCAAAGGGGCCUUGGCCGCCGGCCAAUCUAUCCGGCUAGGCGGUUUUCUCAUGACCGCCUGUCCGGCCACUCCUUCGACAAUGACUUCCCAAGUCGUCAAAAGCAAUCUCCGCGCCAGCUCGGAAUUCGCCGAGCGGGUGGAUCCAAUAGACCUCUCGUUUGUCAACGAGCUCUUGGAUCGCAUCGCCGCCCUGGAAGUCGCUACAGACUACAAUCAGAUUGGGCUUAAAACCGAUCUGAGAGAGAUUAACUCUCCCCAGGUCACCCACCACGUCGCAGUGGUAGAGGAACAAUGCGGCGACUCUUCGCCUAUAUCGAAAACUAGUCACGUCCAGAUUCCCGAACCCUCCAUGCAGGAUUCCCGCGGAGGGACGGACUUCGAUCGAGCAUUGAACUCAAAAUCAUGCAUCGUUCCGGACUCGCUGGAUCGUGUCCAGCAAAUGAAGCUUCCGAACUCGGAAACUCCCCGGUCGUUAAGCCCCAAGAUGGGUAGGGAUCCGGAUUUUAUUCCACCCACCCGCCCAGACAUAUGCGAUCUAUCUCUAAUACGGCAAGAGCCCGCUGAAACAGUACAUCACUACUGGGCCAGAUUCCUCCUGGUUAUGGACAGGAUAAAGGACUGCCGAGAGGAAAACGCAAUCUCAAUCUUUUGCAAUAAUUGCACGGACAAGGGAAUAUUGAACGCCAUCGGCCUUCGUAAAAUUACACGCUUCACCGAUCUGGCAUCCAUAGUACGAAAAUACUGUGCGAUGGAGAGUUUCCGGAAAACCGAAAAUCAGUUUUGGGACAAUCUGGCUCCAAAUACAACCCUAGUCCGCAACAAAAGGGUGCAUCGUACUGAGGCACCAGAUGUAAAAACCAAAAAGCAAAAACCCCUUAAAGGGCACGGAACCGUACUGGAAGGAUGGCUCGCCGGACAAUUACAGAUCCGAAGAAGUCACGUUCCAAGUGGCCCCGUUCAACAGCGGAUAUCACGCUAUAUUAGGACGAGAGGCAUUCACAAUUUUUCAAGUCGUACCCCAUUACGGGUAUAUGAAGCUCAAAAUGCCUGGGCCCAGCGGAAUAAUCACUCUCGCUAGUGAUCCGGACAUAGCACUCCGCGCCGAAAACAAGACAGCCGCACUAGCCCUGGAGGCACUAUCCGAAGCCCUAGCGACAGAAGAACUCACCGCGCUGCGCUCUAUGAUGAACAGGGACGAUGUGAUACUCGAUAAAAGAUCCAAGUCCACCUCCUUCAAACCAGCAGAUGAAAUAAUAAAAUUCCAGGUCCAUCCAACGGACCCAACAAAGACGGCCUCCAUUGGGGCACAAUUGAACCCCGAAGUAGACGCCGCACUGGGCGAAUUCCUUCGGGAAAAUUGGGACAUUUUCGCCUGGCAUCCUUCGGAUAUGCCCGGAAUCCCACGCAGGUUGGCAGAACACAGCCUAAACAUCCUAAAAGAAUUUAAGCCAGUCAAACAGGCUCUUCGACGAUUUUCUGAACCCAAAAGACAGGUAAUGGGAGAAGAGCUAGCCAAACUAUUGGAAGCCGGAUUCAUCAGAGAUAUCAAACAUCCGGAUUGGCUAGCAAAUCUGGUAAUGGUACCAAAGAAGGACAAAUCCUGGCGCCUAUGUGUCAAUUUUAAAGACCUCAAUAAGGCUUGCCCAAAGGAUCCCUUCCCUCUCCCCCGCAUCGACCAAAUCAUCGAUGCUACCGCAGGGCACGAUUCGUUGUGCUUCCUCGAUGCAUACUCCGGCUACCAUCAAAUCAAGAUGGCGGAAGCAGAUCAAGCCGCAACGGCAUUCAUCACUCCAUAUGGACCAUUCUGCUUCAACACGAUGCCCUUCGGACUUAAAAACGCCGGCGCAACAUAUCAGCGCAUGAUUCAAACAUGUCUGGCCACCCAGAUCGGCAAAACAGUAGAGGCAUACGUAGACGACGUAGUCGUCAAAACCAAACACGUCGAAACUCUAGUAGACGACUUGAGGCUCACAUUCGACAACCUCAGAGCAUAUGACAUCAAGCUGAAUCCGGAAAAAUGCGUUUUCGGCGUGCCAGCCGGAAAGCUACUGGGCUUCAUCGUAUCCGGUAGAGGAAUUGAAGCAAACCCAGCCAAGAUCCGAGCUCUGUCACAACUGGAUAUCCCAAAAGACCUCAAGCAAAUACAAAAAUUAACUGGAUGCGUGGCGGCUCUAAGCCGCUUUAUCUCCCGUCUAGGAGAAAAGGCAUUGCCCCUCUAUCGCCUCCUCAGGCGCACCGAACACUUCGAGUGGACGGAUGCUGCCACUGCCGGACUCGAAGAAAUAAAGGCCAUACUGGCAACAAAUCUGGUCCUGGCUGCGCCCAACCUGGGCGAACCAAUGUUGUUAUACAUCGCAGCAACGCAUCAAGUUGUAAGCGCGGUACUCGUCGUCGAACGAGAGACAGAAGGGCAUAAAUUCCCUCUUCAAAAACCAGUGUAUUACGUAUCCACUGUGUUAACCCCCUGCAAGUCCCGUUACCCACACUAUCAGAAGAUAGCGUAUGCGGUGUUCAUGGCAUCCCGGAAGCUUUGACACUACUUUCAAGAGUGUUCGAUAACAGUGGCCUCCGAAGUACCACUCAAUGACAUCAUAAAUAACCGUGACGCAACGGGCAGGAUUGCAAAAUGGGCCAUUGAGGUCUUACCAUUCGAUAUAACUUACAAACCUCGGCGAGCUAUAAAGUCACAAGUUUUGGCUGACUUUGUAGCUGAAUGGACCGAGGCCGAACUCCCUAAAGAGUACGGCGCAUACUCCAAUUGGAUUAUGCAUUUUGACGGCUCUAAAAUGUUGGCCGGACUGGGGGCUGGCGUUGUAUUGAUGUCCCCAACCGGGGACACAGUCCAGUAUGUACUUCAAAUAAUGUACACGGACUCCAACAAUGCAGCCGAAUACGAGGCCCUGUUACAUGGUCUCCGGAUGGCAGUCUCCAUGGGCAUUCAACGCCUAGAGGUGCGCAGGGAUUCAAACCUUGCAAUAUCCCAAAUAAAUGGAGACUUUGAUGCCAAGGAUCCGAAAAUGGCAGCAUAUCGCAACGCUGUCCUAAAAAUGUCAGCUCGGUUUGAAGGACUCGAAUUCCAUCACAUAGCCCGAGAUAACAACCAAGCAGCCGACGUACUGGCACGCAUCGGUGCGAAACGUGACGCCGUCCCUCCAAAUAUCUUCCUGGAACGGCUCUUCAAGCCAUCCGUACUAUGGGAAGAGGAGCCCGGAAGUGACAAACCGGGAAAAACCGCGCCAACCGGCGAUUCAGCCGAUGACAUAACACCUUCAGCCCACGACAUAAUGGCAGUAAUCGCCCCGUGGACAGAACCAUUCCUAGCCUACUUGCUUAGGCAGGAACUUCCCGAAGACCAAAACAAGGCCCGCUGCAUAGUCCGGCGAUCUAAAACCUACAAGGUCCAUGAGGGAGAACUUUAUAAGAAAAGUACAACCGGAGUCCUUCAAAGGUGUAUCUCCGAAGAGGAAGGGCGAAACCUCCUGGCUGAAAUUCAUGCCGGACUAGGCGGACACCACGUAGCAGCCCGGGCCCUUGUAGGAAAGGCAUUCCGUACAGGAUUUUAUUGGCCGACGGCCCGGGCAGAUGCCCAGGACUUAGUCCAGAGAUGCAUCGGUUCUCAGCUCUUUGCUAAUCAGAGCCAUAUGCCGCCCACCGCCCUCAAAACUAUACCCAUUACCUGGCCGUUCGCGGUCUGGGGCCUUGAUAUGGUUGGACCCCUUAAAGGGGGAACCCACAAGCAAAGGUACCUAUUGGUCAUGGUGGAUAAAUUCACCAAAUGGAUAGAGGCCAAACCGGUCAAAAUGGCAGAGUUCGGACUAGUGAUAGACUUUAUAUCCGGGGUAGUACACCGUUACGGAGUCCCCCACAGCAUCACCACCGACAACGGCACGAACUUCACAGCCGACGAGGUUAAGUCAUGGUGCAAAAAUAUGGGCAUCAAGCUCGACUACGCUUCAGUCUAUCACCCUCAAACCAACGGUCAAGUGGAAUGAGCAAAUGGUCUAAUAAUGAGCGGCAUUAAACCCAGACUAGUGCGGUCACUUACUAAAUCUGACACGCACUGGGUUGAGGAGCUCGACUCCGUACUCUGGGGGCUGCGGACAACGCCUAACCGUACUACCGGAUUCACACCAUUUUUUAUGGUAUACGGCGUAGAGGCAGUCCUGCCCUGCGACAUUAUUCAUGACUCACCUCGAGUGCGCAUGUAUGAAGAAAGAGAGGCCGAGCUGGAUCGGCAGGACAGCUUGGACACAUUGGAGGAAGAACGCGACGUCGCCAAGGCUCGUUCCGCAUUCUAUCAGCAGCAGGCCCGAAGAUAUCAAAGCAGAGAAGUACGGGCCAAGACUUACAACGUUGGCGAACUAGUUCUACGCCUGCCGGACAAGAAAAAGGACAAGCUCAAGCCCAAAUGGGAGGGGGCCUUCAUUAUUGAUCAAGUCCUGACCGGCGGAGCGUACCGUCUACGAAAUGCGUCGGAUAACCGACUCGAGCCGAACCCAUGGAACGCAGCCCGCCUCCGAAGAUUCUAUGCCUAGCGCCAGACUAAGAGUUCGUCCCCUUCCUCUGUUCAAAUUUUUACACUUCGGCUGUCUUUUGUUUCUCUUUCUUCUCCUAACCUUUUUACCAAAAAGCCCCUCAGGGCCUACCUCCGCAUUGUUCGCAUACACUUGAUGUGCCAUCCACACUCAUUAUACCUGGGGGCUUCUUUUCCAGAAGCUCAAUUAUAAGGGCUUCAUGCCCAGCACAUGUGUCAAGCUUCCACAUGUGCCUUUUACUCACCAUUAUAUGCAUCGAUAUGACUUAAGUUUUGGCCAAGCUGGGUUGCCUGGCUCCUGUGCUUACCCCUACGUUCCCGAUUGUUCGGCUAGGAGGUAAAGGGAGCACCUCUGUGAUUGUUACUGUCGGGUCAGUCGGAUGUGUACCUCAGACUGGGUGAAGCCGAAAGCUAGCGUUCUUAAGGGAAUAUUCGGUCGGUGACUUGAAAGAUGAUUUUUUACCUAUUUAUUUAUCUGCCCCCAGAUGUUUUCCUGCUCUUUUCGCAGUCCGGACAUGCACUUUAGGGCAUGCCUCCCAGGGAAAGGAACCCUUAACAGAACUAUUCUCCCUGGAAGAUGUUUCUUACUAACCAUGUAAUAUAACAUAACUAGUUGGGCACUUGUCUGAUAAAGCACUAAUGACCCCUACGCCUGGUCUCCAUGCAUACCCCGGUUGUUUCUUAACCAAGUAGGUAUUUGGACACACUCCGGACUCUAGGGUCCCGAGGUCGAAGCGAAAAGGUCGGCAAAGACAAACGAUCUACAAUCCGGCUAGAAGGCAUUUCACAUGUCAUUUUAAAAUACAUUGUCAAAUUUACUGAUUGUAUUCCUCCUCAAUCCCGUCUAACAGGCUGUCUAACUUACAGUCCCGUUGGGAAAAUUUAGCAGCCAACUCUACCUGGCUGUAUACUGAACUCAUAGGGAUCUCCUUCCCAUUGGGCCCCACCGGUCAAACUUCGGCCAUGUGGUUGGGAUCCGCCUUCUUGUAACGCGUCUUCACCAUGGCCCAAGCCUCCCUGGCACCUUGACGGCAAGCCGAAAUCUUCCACAAACGGAAGCGCUGCCGCACUCCCUGGAGCUUCUCCGCAAGCUCCCCAAGGCCCUCGGGUAGGGAGAGGGCUGGCCAUAAAGCCUGGACGACGCCGCUUAUUGCCUGCCGAACUCGUUCGAGCAGUUGCAACAGCUCGGGAAGUUGAUCACCCGUUGAUAUGGGCAUCUCCUCCGUAGGGCGACCUGUGAGUAUACCUACAAGACAUAUUAUGUCAAUUUACUUCCUCGCCGAACUCUUCUUUUCAAAGGAGUCCGCUCAAGCACUUACUAUAAAUGCCGCGACGAAGCCGCUCAUUCUCCUUAACGGAGCCAGACAGCCCGGCUCGAGCGCCUUUCAGCUCUUCUCCGAGCUUGGCAUUGGCAUCCUGGAGCUUGUUCCUUUCUUGCUGCACCCUAUUCAGCACCCUCUCACCGGCCUUCAGCUGGCGCAGUAAUUCUUGCAUGUCCGGAUCUUGUCCGGCGGCACCUGCAAAGUCAUUAUUAGACUCGCGCGCACGCCGCACAGCGCUUAUAUUUAUUAAUAAAAAUGUGUUACCAGGAGGGGUCUCUGCGUUUCCUCCUGUGGCAGCAAGUGCGGCCUCAAGUUGGGCCUUGCAUUCUUGCAGCUCCUGAGACAGCUGGGCAUUCUUCUCGGUAAGAGCCUGCGUUUCAAAUGAUCCUUAAAUCAGUUAACAUAACUACUUUAAGUCUCGGGGGCUACUGGCAUAUAUAACCAUUAAAUUCCCUUACCCGUAUGUCUUUUACAUACUGAUCCAUGGCUCGGGUAAAACCGUCUUGAGCAGCACGGAGGUGCGUGUCCCCUGCGUUAAAGGCGUCCAAUGCCUCAGGGGAGAAGCACGCUUCACGAAAUACUGUCCGGCGGCGCCUGUGGUUCAUGGCGCUCUCCACCUCAGACUUGGUGGCGGACAGUCUGUCAGCAUCCUCCGUUGGAGGAGUAUCCGGCCCGCGCCUUGCGCUUGCCUCCCCCUCCAGGCCGGGCGUUGGAGCCUGGCUGGUAUAGGUCGGAUCGGCAACCUCUACGCCCGCAGUCCGGCGGGCGCUUUUUCUCCUACAAAGAUCAUGAGCACUCAGACGCUUCCUAGGAACGUUGCUCUGAAAAUUUAAAUAUGAGCUAUACCUUUGCGGCGAUGUUUUAGUCCGUGCCGCGCUCCUUUUCCGCCUGCUGGUCCGAACUGACCUUUGUUGGUCAGCCGCCGCGGGCUCGGCUUCCCGCCUUGAAGGCGCUUCCUGUAAAACACCAUCGUUCGCGAAGGUCAGAAAUGGGCAAGGAAGAGAUAAUGGUGUCCGAACCUCGGUCACAGUCACCUGGGAAGCCGGAUACAGUCCGGGGUAGUCCGCCAUAAUGGUGACUAAAGCGUUAUCCAUGCUGAGUUGAUGGAACACCCCGUCGAUCAGCUCCACCUGAAUAUCCGGGUCCUCUUCGGAGGCCGGAUCCCGGGAUCUUUCUGGAUCCUCGGGUUGUGGAGCGGGACUUACCAUGUCCUCCACAGUCCGGCGCAGAUCCUGCGCCGAAGACGUAAUGUAAGAAGCCUAAACUUCGAAAGCACGGGUUGAGCCCUUAAAAGUGUUUGCUUACCCAGCCUCUAGGGUUGUUCAUGGAAAACCCAUUCAAAGGGUUCGUUCGAAGGAAGUCCUCCUUCUCCCCCUUGUACAGGCCGGACAGGAUCUGCACCAGAUCCUCGGUCGAAUCCGGCCCUUCGCGGCCAUGACGGGUGGCGUCAUCUUCCCCGUUGAAAUCCCACAUGGGGUGGCCUCUGUAUUGCAAUGGCUGUACCCCCCGCAUGAUGCAUGUCACCAUGACUCCGAUCAUGGUCAACCCGGAAUGGGCCAGUAAUCUUAUUCGGCCCAUCAAGUAAUGGAUGCUCUUGUCUUCCUCCAAUCGGGGGCUCCGUGGGCGCCAGCUGAGGCGUUUCUUCAGAGGAGCAGCGCUAAACUCCGGGAGGCCAAUUCGGAUUGGGUCCGGCAGCGGAGCGUCUUCUAUGUAAAACCACUCUAAAGGCCAGUCUUCGGACGCCUUCUUAGGAGUACCGGAUGGGUAUCCGGUCCCGGCAAUGCGCCAUAUUUCGGCGCCGCCUACUUGAUAUAUAGAUCCCUCGUGAGAACGGGGUACGAGGCAGAACAGCCUCUUCCACAGUGCAAAAUGGGGCUCGAUGCCCAGGAAAAGCUCGCAAAGAGCUACGUAGCCCGUGAUAUGCAGGAUAGAGGCGGGCGUAAGGUGAUGGAGUUGGAGUCCGUAGAACUCCAGGAGCCCGCGGAGAAACAGAUGUAUUGGGAAUCCGAGUCCCCAUAUCAGAUAGGGGACGAAGCAUACCCGCUCCCCUUUGUUGGGACUUGGGGUAGGCUCCGCUUGCUUCCCACCUUGGUAGGUGGCCAGCCCGGCUCGAACCAGGACCAUGAAGGCCGGAGGGAGAUAUCCCCCCGCUUGGAGCUUCACUAGCUCGUGUGUGGAACAGAGCACCUCCUCCAAUCUCCUGGCGGUGGGCUGGGAGCGCGAGAAGAGGAGCCGCGUCGACGGUCCAUGAUGGAAUGGAUUUUUAGAUCAAGGGCGCUCCGAUGAAGUAUUCGCGGAAGGAAGAUGGUGUGGUUUGGAUCUGGAUUUUUGCCUCUUUUGUAGGCGGAUGACUCGCACGACUAGGGGGUGAAACAUAAAAGACACCCUGGCUUUUUGCAUUCGUGCGAUGCGUGGAAGAAGGCCAUUAUUGGACGUAGAAGCCAAGAAACACAGUAUUUAUGAUGAAGCCGGACACUGUUCGGCAGGUACAUGGAACUUGAAGGGAGAACCCGCCUUGCAACGCCGAAGACUAUAUACGCGCUGGACUUAUCGUCAUUGAAGCCUGGUUCGGGGGCUACUGAGGGAGUCCUGGACUAGGGGGUGUCCGGACAGCCGGACUAUCAUCAUCCGCCGGACUCCAAGACUACGAAGAUACAAGAUUGAAGACUCCGUCCCGUGUCCGGAUGGGACUUUCCUUGGCGUGGAGGGCAAGCUUGGCGAUACGGAUAUGUAGAUCUCCUACCUUUGUAACCGACUCUGUGUAACCCUAGCCUCCUCCGGUGUCUAUAUAAACCGGAGGGCUGUAGUCCGUAGGGGACAACAUACAUUACAACAAUCAUACCAUAGGCUAGCUUUAGGGUUUAGCCUCCUUGAUCUCGUGGUAGAUCCACUCUUGUACUACUCAUAUCAUCAAUAUUAAUCAAGCAGGACGUAGGGUUUUACCUCCAUCGAGAGGGCCCGAACCUGGGUAAAACAUCGUGUCCCUUGUUUCCUGUUACCAUCCGCCUAGACACACAGUUCGGGACCCCCUACCCGAGAUCCGCCGGUUUUGACACCGACAUUGGUGCUUUCAUUGAGAGUUCCUCUAUGUCGUCACCGAUAGGAAGGAUGCCUUCACCCGUCUUCAAAGACGGUAUUUUUGCCAAAGGGGCCUUGGCCGCAGGCCAAUCUAUCUGGCUAGGCGGUUUUCUCAUGACCGCCUGUCCGGCCACUGCUUCGACAAUGACUUCCCAAGUCGUCAAAAGCAAUCUCCGCGCCAGCUCGGAAUUCGCUGAGCGGCUGGAUCCAAUAGAGCUCUUGUCUGUCAACGAGCUCUUGCAUCGCAUCGCCGCCCUGGGAGUCGCUACAGACUACAAUCAGAUUGGGCUUAAAACCGAUCUGAGAGAGAUUAACUCUCCCCAGGUCACCCACCACGUCGCAGUGGUAGAGGAACAAUGCGGCGACUCUUCGCCUAUAUUGAAAACUAGUCAUGUCCGGAUUCCCAAACCCUCCAUGCCGGAUUCCCGCGGAGGGACGGACUUCGAUCGAGCAUUGAACUCAAAAUCAUGCAUCAUUCCGGACUCGCUGGAUCGUGUCCAGCAAACCAAGCUCCCGAACUCGGAAACUCCCCGUCCGUUAAGCCCCAAGAUGGGUAGGGAUCCGGAUUUUAUUCCACUCACCCGCCCAGACAUAUGUGAUCUAUCUCUAAUACGACAAGAGCCCGCUAACUUGUUAUAUGCAGUGCCAAUUACUGUACCCGCGGUCUAAGAUACAAUUCAUCCUAAUUCAAAUCUCCAACACAAAAAUUGCUCUAGGAUGAAAAAAAUGGAACAAAGAACAACAUUAACAAUGAAAUCUUCGACCAUUCAUAUCUUUUAAGACUUUUAAUCCGCAAGGAAAGAAGAUAAUCAUGUUUAGAUAACAACAUCAUGCUUCCCAAAUGAAUCUGCCCCUUAUCGUACCUAUAUAUGCUGCAUGUGUUCUUUUUUUUAGAAAAGGAGGAUGACCUCUGGCCUCUGCAUCUGGGCGAUGCAUACGGCCACUUUAUUAACUAUUCUCAUAAGACCUUACAAAGUCAUACAACAGCAAGACUAAAGCCACCGUCUAAGCAACAGCUGUCGCUAUACCUAUCGAAUUGAUGAAGGGGCGCAGAUAGUCUGGGCCUAAUACCAAAUAGACAUCGCAGCCAAACCUAAACAUCUAAGACCUAAGGUCCCAUCCAGGACGCCUGUCGGGUAUGGCGCACCUACCAGUCCGGCGCACUCCUCAACCAGGACGCCUGCCGGGUAUGAGGCCGCCGCAGCCACCUGCCACCAAUCCAUCUUCAGAGUUGUACUGUUGCAUGUACCGUGUUAGGUCUCUCUGCCAUCGACGCCCGACAGCGUCGUCCUCCUACGUGAGUCCAUCCUCCCACAGCGAACUCCGAAUCUGCACUGCGCCACGCUGUCAAGAUCCAUCGCCAUCAGUGUAUAGGAUGAAGCACCGCUCCAGCAAAGAAUCUGUCCUCUGGUCCCUUGAUCACGUGUGUACCUCCAAGAAUGACGCCCCCAAGGGAGGAACGACACCAGAGCGCCGCCGUCAUUCGAUCAUCCGAUCUAGGGUUUCCCCCAGAGGUAGCAGAGAGUGGCCUUGAACUUCUCCACGGCGAUGCCUUCAAGAAGGGAACGGCACAGAUAGAGCCGCCACCGCCGGCCUUAGCAGACGCCGAAGGCAAGUUUUCACCCAGAUCAGUUCGAAGGGAUCCAACUCUCGUGCACGGGCCGCGGUCACCACCAGCACCACCAGGCAGAACCCUGGAGCACCGGCAGAUCAGCGAGCCACCGGCACCACCGCAUCCAGAUCGUCGGCCAUGCCGGGCCGCCGCCAUCCCCCGCGUCGUCCGGGUCAGAGAUGGAGCCGCCGACCGUGCACGUGGACCAUCGCCGCCUGCACACGCCAGGGCGCCGCUGAGAGCCCAGCGCCCAUCACCGAUUGCCAAGGGCCGCUGUCGCGCGUCCCGAGCGGACUCCCACACACACCCCUCCUAUAAGCCACCCCCUCCUCAGUGUAAAUGGUUCGCACCCCUGUAACUCAUACGCAUAUAAUCCAGUCGACCGCCUCCGGGCUCCGAGACGUAGGGCUAUUACUUCCUCCGAGAAGGGCCUGAACUUGUAAAUCUCUUGCGUAUACAACUACUCCAUAGCUAGGAUCUUGCCUCUCCAUACCUACCCCCUUAUUCUACUGUCAGGCUUAAAACCACGACAGUUGGCGCCCACCGUGGGGCGGGUAUCUUAGCGACCUAUUGAAGAAGUUGCAAUCGUUCCGAUCUCCUUCAUCAUGGUUUCAGGCGGAGUUUUGGUUGAGGGCCGCGAGAUCCGUCUCGGUGCGCUCACGUUCAUCGCCGACGACUCUGCUUGGCUUCAGGAGGCUCCACUCGACAUCGACGCGCUCCCUGUCCGCGGGGCGACGCACUUUCGCGCGCGUGUCCACGGUGUCCUCCUACGGCAACCAUCGACCCCGUAUCGAUCGACCCCUGUGUCGUCCUCUCUCCCUGUCUCCCGCCAGCGCAAGCGCUCCGGAGGGUCGAGGCUUCAGCGGUGGGUGAGGCACGCGGUGGCCCGCCAGUCGGCCACCCCUCAAGUCACGGCGAUCGAACCCAACGAAUCUCUCUACGGCCUGUUCGACCUGUCAACUGGCUCCAUACAGACUGCAUCCGAGUGCGACAGCGGUGAUCCAGUGGCGAGGUCCUGAUGGUCAAUGGACCGCACAGUCCUCCCGGCUUCCCCCGCGCUGACGGAGGGGACGGCGGAGGCGACCCAACGUAGGUCCACGAAGAGUAUCAACCCGAGCCACUCACUUUGCUGCAAAGGGAAGAUCUUCGCCGCCGGAACAUGGAUGCGCUGCAUACUCCUAUCGUUGGAGAAACCCCCGAGGCUCGUGCCUUAGAGGACGCACAUUUGGCCAACUUGGCUCAGUGCACUCGACUGGAGAACCUCCAGCGAGCACUCGACGAGCGUGCGCGGCAGCGGGUACCAGACUCCAGUCGACGUCAACUCUUUCCACCACUGACUCAGGUAUAUCGAACUCUGAUUCAGAGUCUAGCGGCUGCAGCCCGUAUAGCAGAGUCAAUUCAGCCCUCCCAGUCAGAGGCUGGCAGAGGCUUGAUGCAGAUCAGAGAUUUGCUCCGGGAAGUAGGAGAUUAGAAUUCACUGGAUCACAGUCGCGAAACAGGAUUCACAGCAGAUCUGUCGCUGCGAAUACAGUCCAAUCGGCCCAUAGCCCGAGAUCACCCCCGAGGCGUGAGGGACGUGGAGGUCGGCGUGAUCAGUAUGAUGACUGAUUCUAUCGCGAUGACCGACGUCGAGUGCCUACUCCUCCCCCAAGGUGUGGGUCAUACGCUCCUCGAUAACAAGAUGACAGACGCCAGCACAGUGUGGGGCGAAGGGUUCCAGUCGACCCCAAAGAACCAGGCUUUGAUGCGAGAUCCAUUAUUGUUCAAGGUUUGGUCGAUCGGAACAGAGCUCACCGAGAAGGCCAUGACAGAGAUGUGCCCACCAGCAGUAGAGUUCACAUCUCAGGACCAGAGUGUUUUAGCAGAGCCAUCAGGGCCGCGGUGAUUCCUCCCAACUUUAGGUUGGCGACUGGAGUCAGCAAGUUCACCGGCGAGUCCAAGCCCGAUACUUGGCUUGAGGACUACCAAGUGGCUGUUCAGAUUGGUGGCGGCAAUGAUGAGGUGGCCAUGAAACACCUACCACUUAUGUUGGAAGGCUCGGCCAGAGCAUGGCUGAAUCAGUUAGCACCUAGCAGCAUUUACACUUGGGAAGAUCUUGCCCGAGUGUUUGUCAGAACAUUUAAAGGAACUUGCAAGCGACCAGCAAGGUUGAUAGAGGAGCAGGUUUGUGUGCAAAAGUCGAAUGAGACUCUGAGGGAUUACAUCCAGAGGUGGAUCACAUUGCAUCACAUAGUGGAAAAUGUAUCUGAUCACUAGGUAGUCUGUGCCUUCAAGGAAGGCGUUAAGAACAGGGAGUUAAGUUUGAAGUUCGGUCGGACCGGAGACAUGACUCUGAGUCGAAUGAUGGAGAUUGCCACCAAAUAUGCCAAUGGUGAAGAAGAGGAUCGGCUCCGGAGUGGCAAGUACAAGCCGACCGCUCAUGAAACAGGGAGAGGGAACUCCAGUCGGAAGCAAAAGCGGAAAGCCGAGCCACCUGCUCCUGGAGAAGCCUUGGCCGUGACUCAAGGAAAGUUCAAAGGGAAGCCUAAAGGGUCUUGGAACCCUAAGAAGGUGAAGGACAAGGAAGGAAAUGACGUGAUGGAUUUGCCGUGCCACAUCCACACGAAGAAAGAUGAGGAGGGUAACUUCAUUUACCCGAAACAUACCACUCGGCAGUGUCGGCUCUUGAUCCAGCAAUUUCAGGGGAAACAACCCAAAGAUAAGGAAAAGGAGUCGAACAAAGUUGAGGACAAAGAGGACAAUGAUGAAGGAUACCCCCAUGUCAAUUCCACCUGAUGAUUUUUGCUGAUGUUGAAAGCAAAAGUCGAUUGAAAGUUAUCAACCGUGAGGUGAAUAUGGUUGUGCCGGUGACACCCAGUUAUCUGAAAUGGUCUCAGACCGCCAUCACAUUUGACUAGUCUGAUCAUCCGACACACAUAGCCACCCCUGGGAGGCAAGCUUUGGUGGUCGACCCAGUCGUCGAAGGCACUCGACUGACUAAGGUUCUGAUGGAUGGUGGCAGCGGCCUGAAUAUAUUGUAUGCGGAGACGCUAAAACGGACGGGCAUUCCGAUGUCCACACUCAGUACCAGCAACAUGAGUUUCCACGGAGUCAUUCCUGGGAAGAAGGCUGAGUCACUCGGCCAAAUAUCUCUUGAUGUGGUUUUCGGCGAUUCAAAGCAUUUCCGCAAAGAAAAGUUGACAUUUGAAGUUGUGGAUUUCCAGAGUGCUUAUCACGCUAUUUUAGGCAGGCCAGCUUAUGCACACAUCAUGGCUCGACCAUCUUACUGAAGGAAAUAUGCCCUAGAGGCAAUAAUAAAGUUAUUAUUUAUUUCCUUAUUUCAUGAUAAAUGUUUAAUAUUCAUGCUAGAAUUGUAUUAACCGGAAAUGUAAUACAUGUGUGAAUACAUAGACAAACAUAGUGUCACUAGUAUGCCUCUACUUGACUAGCUCGUGAAUCAAAGAUGGUUAAGUUUCAUAGCCAUAGACAUGAGUUGUCAUUUGAUUAACGAGAUCACAUCAUUAGGAGAAUGAUGUGAUUGACUUGACCCAUUCCGUUAGCUUAGCACUUGAUCGUUUAGUAUGUUGCUAUUGCUUUCUUCAUGACUUAUACAUGUUCCUAUGACUAUGAGAUUAUGCAACUCCCGUUUACCGGAGGAACACUUUGUGUGCUACCAAACGUCACAACGUAACUGGGUGAUUAUAAAGGAGCUCUACAGGUGUCUCUGAAGGUACAUGUUGGGUUGGCGUAUUUCGAGAUUAGGAUUUGUCACUCUGAUUGUCGGAGAGGUAUCUCUGGGCCCUCUCGGUAAUGCACAUCACUAUAAGCCUUGCAAGCAAUGUAGCUAAUGAGUUAGUUAUAGAAUGAUGCAUUACGUAACGAGUAAAGAGACUUGCCGGUAACGAGAUUGAACUAGGUAUUGGAUACCGACGAUCGAAUCUCGGGCAAGUAACAUACCGAUGACAAAGGGAACAACGUAUGUUGUUAUGCGGUUUGAUCGAUAAAGAUCUUCGUAGAAUACGUAGGAGCCAAUAUGAGCAUCUAGGUUCCGCUAUUGGUUAUUGACCGAGAAUAGUUCUAGGUCAUGUCUACAUAGUCCUCGAACACGUAGGGUCCGCAUGCUUAAGGUUUCGAUGACAGUUUUAUUAUGAGUUUAUGAGUUUUGAUGUACCGAAUGAGUUCGCAGUCCCAAAUGAGAUUGGGGACAUGACGAGGAGACUCAAAAUGGUCGAGACAUAAAGAUCGAUAUAUUGGACGACUAUAUUCGGACCUCGGAAAGGUUCCGAGUGAUUCGGGUAUUUUUCGGAGUACCGGAGAGUUACAGGAAUUCGCCGAGAGAAAUAUUGGGCCUUAUUGGGCCAUACGAGAAAGAGAGAGGGGCUACCUAGGGCAAGCUGCGUGCCUCCCAAGGCCUAGUCCGAAUUGGACUAGGGGGAGGGGCCGCACCCCCUCCUUCCUUCCCUUCUCUCUUCCCUUUCCUUCUCUCCUACUCCUACUACAUGGAAGGGCUCCUAGUUCUACUAGUAAAGGGGGAAUCCUACUCCCGGUGGGAGUAGGACUCCCCUAGGGCGCGCCAUAGAGAGGGCUGGCCCUCCCCCUCCUCCACUCCUUUAUAUACGGGGCAGGGGGCACCCCAUAGACACACAAGUUGAUCUUCAAGAUCGUUCCUGCGCCGGUAGAACAUCAUCAUCAUCACCACGCCGUCGUGCUGACGGAACUCAUCCCCAACACUUUGCUGGAUCGGAGUCCGGGGAUCGUCAUCGAGCUGAACGUGUGCUGAACUCGGAGGUGCCGUACGUUCGGUACUUGGAUCGGUCGGAUCGUGAAGACGUACGACUACAUCAACCGCGUUGUCAUAAUGCUUCCGCUUACGGUCUACGAGGGUACGUGGACAAUAUUCUCCCUUCUCGUUGCUAUGCAUCACCUUGAUCUUGCGUGUGCGUAGGAAUUUUUUUGAAAUUACUACGUUCCCCAAUAGUGGCAUCCGAGCCUAGGUUUUAUGCGUUGAUGUUAUUUGCACGAGUAGAACACGAGUGAGUUGUGGGCGAUACAAGUCAUACUGCUUACCAGCAUGUCAUACUUUGGCUCAGCGGUAUUGUGAGAUGAAGCGGCCCGGACCGACAUUACGUGUACGCUUACGCGAGACUAGUUUCACCCUUACGAGCACUCGUGCUUAAAGGUGACUGGAGGGUGUCUAUCUCACUCACUUUAGUUGAACCGAGUGUGGCUACGCCCGGUCCUUGCGAAGGUUAAAACAACACUAACUUGACGAACUAUCGUUGUGGUUUUGAUGCGUAGGUAAUAACGGUUCUUGCUUAGCCCGUAGCAGCAACAUAAAAUUUGCAACAACAAAGUAGAGGACGUCUAACUUGUUUUUGCAGGGCAUGUUGUGAUGUGACAUGGUCAAGACGUGAUGCUAUAUUUUAUUGUAUGACAUGAUCAUGUUUUGUAACCGAAGUUAUCGGCAACUGGCAGGAGCCAUAUGGUUGUCCCUUUAUUGUAUGAAAUGCAAACGCCCUGUAAUUGCUUUACUUUAUCACUAAGCGGUAGCGAUAGUCGUAGAAGCAAUACAUGGCGUAACGACAACGAUGCUACGAUGGAGAUCAAGGUGUCGCGUCGGUGACGAUGGUGAUCACGACGGUGCUUCGGAGAUGGAGAUCACAAGCACAAGAUGAUGAUGGCCAUAUCAUAUCACUUAUAUUGAUUGCAUGUGAUGUUUAUCCUUUAUGCAUCUUAUCUUGCUUUGAUUGACGGUAGCAUUUUAAGAUGAUCUCUCACUAAAAUUAUCAAGAAGUGUUCUCCCUGAGUAUGCACCGUUGUGAAAGUUCUUCGUGCUGAGACACCACGUGAUGAUCGGGUGUGAUAGGCUCUACGUUCAAAUACAACGGGUGCAAAACAGUUGCACACGCGGAAUACUCAGGUUAAACUUGACGAGCCUAGCAUAUAACAGAUAUGGCGUCGGAACACGGAGACCGAAAGGUCGAGCGUGAAUCAUAUAGUAGAUAUGAUCAACAUAUUGAUGUUCACCGUUGAAACUACUCCAUCUCACGUGACGAUCGGACAUGGUGUAGUUGAUAUGGAUCACGUAAUCACUUAGAGGAUUAGAGGGAUGUCUAUCUAAGUGGGAGUUCUUAAGUAAUAUGAUUAAUUGAACUUAAAUUUAUCAUGAACUUAGUCCUAGAAGUAUUUUGCAAAUUAUGUUGUAGAUCAAUAGCUUGCAUUGUUGCUUUCAUAUGUUUAUUUUGAUAUGUUCCUAGAGAAAAUUGUGUUGAAAGAUGUUAGUAGCAAUGAUGCGGAUUGGAUCCGUGAUCUGAGGUUUAUCCUCAUUGCUGCACAGAAGAAUUAUGUCCUUGAUGCACCGCUAGGUGACAGACCUAUUGCAGGAGCAGAUGCAGACGUUAUGAACGUUUGGCUAGCUCAAUAUGAUAACUACUUGAUAGUUUAGUGCACCAUGCUUAACGGCUUAGAAUCGGGACUUCAAAGACGUUUUGAACGUCAUGGACCAUAUGAGAUGUUCCAGGAGUUGAAGUUAAUAUUUCCAGCAAAUACCCGAGUUGAGAGAUAUGAAGUCUCCAACAAGUUCUAUAGCUAAAAGAUGGAGGAGAAUCGCUCAACUAGUGAGCAUGUGCUCAGAUUGUCUGGGUACUUCAAUCGCUUGAAUCAAGUGGGAGUUAAUCUUCCAGAUAAGAUAGUGAUUGACAGAAUUCUCUAGUCACUAUCACUAAAGUUACUAGAACUUCGUGAUGAACUAUAGUAUGCAAGGGAUGACAAAAACGAUUCCCGAGCUCUUCGUGAUGUUGAAAUCGACGAAGGUAGAAAUCAAGAAAGAGCAUCUAGUGUUGAUGAUUGACAAGACCACUAGUUUCAAGAAAAGGGCAAAGGGAAAGAAAGGGAAACUUCAAGUAGAAUGGCAAACAAGUUGUCACUCCCAUGAAGAAGACCAAAGCUGGACCAAAGCCGGAAACUGAGUGCUUACACUGCAACAGAAAUGGUCACUGGAAGCGGAAAUGCCCUGAAUAUUUGGUGGAUAAGAAGGAUGGCAAAGUGAACAAGGGUAUAUAUGAUAUACAGGUUAUUGAUGUGUGCCUUGCUAGUGUUUAUAGUAGCCCCUGAGUAUUUGAUACUUGUUCGGUUGCUAAGAUUACUAACUCGAAACAGGAGUUACAGAAUAAACAGAGACUAGUUGAAGGGAAGUGACGAUGGGUGUUGGAUGUAGUUCCAAGAUUGAUAUGAUCAUCAUCGCACACUCCCUAUACUUUCGGGAUUAGUGUUAAACCUAAAUAAAUGUUAUUUAGCGUUUGCGUUGAGCAUGAAUAUGAUUUGAUCAUGUUUAUUGCAAUACGGUUAUUCAUUUAAAGUCAGAGAAUAAUUGUUGUUCUGUUUACAUGAAUAAAACCUUCAAUGGUCAUACACCCAAUGAAAAUAGUUUGUUGGACCUCGAUCAUAGUGAUACACAUAUUCAUAAUAUUGAUGCCAAAAGAUGCAAAGUUAAUAAUGAUAGUGCAACUUAUUUGUGGCACUGCCGUUUGGGUCAUAUCGGUGUAAAGCGCAUGAAGAAACUCCAUAAAGAUGGAUUUUCGGAAUUACCUGGUUAUGAAUCAUUUGAUCCUUGCGAACCGUGCCUUUGGGCGAGAUGACUAAAACUCCGUUCUUCGGAACAAUGGAACGAGCAACAAACUUGUUGGAAAUAAUACAUAAUGAUGUAUGCGUGACCAAUGAGUAUUAAGGCUCAUGGUGGGUAUCGUUAUUUUCUGACCUUCACAGAUGAUUUGAGCAGAUAUGGGUAUAUCUACUUGAUGAAACAUAAAUCUGAAAUUGUUGAAAGGUUCAAAGAAUUUCAGAGUGAAGUGGAAAAAUCAUCGUAACAAGAAAAUAAAGUUUCAAUGAUGUGAUCGCAGAGACAAAUAUUUGAGUUACGAGUUUGGUCUUCAAUUAAAACAAUGUGGAAUAGUUUCACAGCUCACGCCACCUGGAACAUCACAAUGUUAUGGUGUGUCCGAACGUCGUAACCGCACUUUAUUGGAUAUGGUGCGAUCUAUGAUGUCUCUUACUGAUUACCACUAUUGUUUUGGGGUUAUGCAUUAGAGACAGCUGCAUUCACGUUAAAAGGGCACCAUCUAAAUCCGUUGAGACGACACCAUAUGAACUGUGGUUUAGCAAGAAACCCAAGUUGUCAUUUCUUAAAGUUUGGGGCUGCAAUGCUUAUGUGAAAAAGUUUCAUCCUGAUAAGCUCAAACCCAAAUUGGAGAAGUACAUAUUCAUAGAAUACCCAAAGGAAACUGUUGGGUACACCUUCUAUCACAGAUCCGAAGGCAAGAUAUUCGUUGCUAAAAAUGGAUCCUUUCUAGAGAAGGAGUUACUCUCGAAAGAAGUGAGUGGGAGGAAAGUAGAACUUGAUGAGGUAACUGUACCUGCUCCCUUAUUGGAAAGUAGUUCAUCACAAGAACCGGUUCCUGUGACAACUACACCAAUUAGCGAGGAAGCUAAUGAUAUUGAUCAUGGAACUUCAGAUCAAGUUUCUACUGAACCUCGUAGGUCUACCAGAGUAAGAUCCGCACCAAAGUGGUACGGUAAUACUGUUCUAGAAGUCAUGUUACUAGACCAUGAUGAACCUAGGAACUAUGAGGAAGCGAUGAUGAGCCCAGAUUCCGCGAAAUGGCUUGAGGCCAUAAAAUCUGAGAUAUGAUCCAUGUAUGAGAACAAAGUAUGGACUUUGAUUGACUUGCUCGAUGAUCAGCAAGCCAUGUUAAAUAAAUGGAUCUUCAAGAGGAAGACGGACACUGAUAGUAGUGUUACUAUCCACUAAGCUCGAGUUGUUGCAAAAGGUUUUCAACAAGUUCAAGGGGUUGAAUAUGAUGAGAUUUUCUCACUCGUAUCGAUGCUUAAGUCUAUCCGAAUCAUGUUAGCAAUUGCCACAUUUUAUGAACUCUGGCAAAUGGAUGUCAAAACUGCAUUCCUUAAUGGAUUUAUUAAAGAAGAGUUGUAUAUGAUGCAAUCAGAAGGUUUUGCCAAUCCUAAAUAUGCUAACAAAGUGUGCAAGCUCCAGCAAUCCAUCAAUGGACUGGUGGAAGCAUCUCGAAGUUGGAAUAUACGCUUUGAUGAGUGGAUCAAAGCAUAUGGCUUUAUACAGACUUUUGGAAAGGCCUGUAUUUACAAGAAAGUGAGUGGGAGCACUACAGCCUUUCUGAGUGGAUCAAAGUAUAUGUAAAUGACAUAUUAUUAAUUGGAAAUGAUGUAGAAUUUUCUAGAAAGCAUAAAGGAAUGUUUGAAAGGAGUUUUUCAAAGAAAGACCUCGGUGGAACUGCUUACACAUUGAGCAUCAAGAUCUAUAUAGAUAGAUCAAGACGCUUGAUAAGUUUUUUCAAUGAGUACAUACCUUGAUAAAAUUUUGAAGUAGUUCAAAAUGGAACAGUCAAAGAAGGAGUUCUUGCCUGUGUCGCAAGGUGUGAAAGUGAGUAAGACUCAAAUCCCGACCACGGCAGAAAAUAGAAAAGAGAAUGAAAAGUCAUUCCCUAUGCCUCAGUCAUAGGUUCUAUAAAGUAUGCUAUGCUGUGUACCAGACCUAUUGUAUACCUUGCUCUGAGUUUGGCAAAGGAAUACAAUUUUGAUCUAAUAGUAGAUCAUUGGACAGCGGUCAAGAAUAUCCUUAGUGAGGACUAAGGAAAUAUUUCUCGAUAAUGGAAGUGAUAAAAGAGCUCAUCGUAAAAGGUUACAACUAUGCAAGCUUUUACACCAAUCCAGAUGUCACUAAGUCUCAAUUUGGAUACAUAUUGAAAGUGGGAGCAAUUAGCUAGAGUAGCUCCGUGCAGAGCAUUGUAGACAUAGAAUAUUUGCAAAAUACAUACGGCUCUCAAUGUGACAGACCCGUUGACUAAGCUUCUCUCACGAGAAAAACAUGAUCACACCUCAGUACUCUUUGGGUGUUAAUCACAUAGCUAUGUGAACUAGAUUAUUGACUCUAGUAAACCCUUUGGUUGUUAGUCACAUGAUGAUAUGAACUAUGGGUGUUAAUCAUAUACAGAUAUGAAUAUUAGUGUUAAAUCACAUGGCGAUGUGAACUAGAUUAUUGACUCUAGUGCAAGUGGGAGACUGAAGGAAAUAUGCCCUAGGGGCAACAAUAAAGUUAUUAUUUAUUUCCUUAUUUCAUGAUAAAUGUUAAUUAUUCAUGCUAGAAUUGUAUUAACCAGAAACGUAAUACAUGUGUGAAUACAUAGACAAACAUAGUGUCACUAGUAUGCCUCUACUUGACUAGCUCGUGAAUCAAAGAUGGUUAAGUUUCCUAGCCAUAGACAUGAGUUGUCAUUUGAUUGACGAGAUCACAUCAUUAGGAGAAUGAUGUGAUUGACUUGACCCAUUCCGUUAGCUUAGCACUUGAUCGUUUAGUAUGUUGCUAUUGCUUUCUUCAUGACUUAUACAUGUUCCUAUGACUAUGAGAUUAUGCAACUCCCGUUUACCGGAGGAACACUUUGUGUGCUAUCAAACGUCACAACGUAACUGGGUGAUUAUAAAGGAGCUCUACAGGUGUCUCUGAAGGUACAUGUUGGGUUGGCGUAUUUCGAGAUUAGGAUUUGUCACUCUGAUUGUCGGAGAGGUAUCUCUGGGUCCUCUCGGUAAUGCACAUCACUAUAAGCCUUGCAAGCAAUGUAGCUAAUGAGUUAGUUACAGAAUGAUGCAUUACGUAACGAGUAAAGAGACUUGCCGGUAACGAGAUUGAACUAGGUAUUGGAUACCGAUGAUUGAAUCUCGGGCAAGUAACAUACCGAUGACAAAGGGAACAACGUAUGUUGUUAUGCGGUUUGACCGAUAAAGAUCUUCGUAGAAUAUGUAGGAGCCAAUAUGAGCAUCUAGGUUCCGCUAUUGGUUAUUGACCGAGAAUAGUUGUAGGUCAUGUCUACAUAGUUCUCGAACCUGUAGGGUCCGCACGCUUAAGGUUUCGAUGACAGUUUUAAUAUGAGUUUAUGAGUUUUGAUGUACCGAAGGAGUUCAGAGUCCCGGAUGAGAUUGGGGACAUGACGAGGAGUCUCGAAAUGGUCGAGACGUAAAGAUCGAUAUAUUGGACGACUAUAUUCGGACCUCGGAAAGGUUCCGAGUGAUUCGGGUAUUUUUCGGAGUACCGGAGAGUUAGGGAAUUCGCCGGGAGAAGUAUUGCGCCUUAUUGGGCCAUACGGGAAAGAGAGAGGGGCUGCCUAGGGCAGGCUGCGCGCCCCCCCAAGGCCUAGUACAAAUUGGACUAGGGGGAGGGGCUGCACCCCCUCCUUCCUUCCCUUCUCUCUUCCCUUUCCUUCUCUCCUACUCCUACUACAUGGAAGGGCUCCUAGUUCUACUAGGAAAGGGGGGAUCCUACUCCCGGUGGGAGUAGGACUCCCCUAGGGCGUUCCAUAGAGAGGGCCGGCCCUCCCCCUCCUCCACUCCUUUAUAUACGGGGGCAGCGGGCACCCCAUAGACACACAAGUUGAUCUUCAAGAUCGUUCCUUAGCCGUGUGCGGUGCCCCCCUCCACCAUAUUCCACCUCGGUCAUAUCGUUGCGGAGUUUAGGCGAAGCCCUGCGCCAGUAGAACAUCAUCAUCAUCACCACGCCAUCAUGCUGACGGAACUCAUCCCCGACACUUUGCUGGAUCGGAGUCCGGGGAUCGUCAUCGAGCUGAACAUGUGCUGAACUCGGAGGUGCCGUACGUUCGGUACUUGGAUCGGUCGGAUCGUGAAGACGUACGACUACAUCAACCGUGUUGUCAUAACGCUUCCGCUUAUGGUCUACGAGGGUAUGUGGACAAUAUUCUCCCUUCUCGUUGCUAUGCAUCAUCAUGAUCCUGCGUGUGCGUAGGAAAUUUUUUGAAAUUAAUAUGUUCCCCAACAGUUACGUGUACCUCAAAUUGAAGAUGCCUGGUCCCAAGGGUGUGAUCACCAUUACUGGCAAUCGGAAAAAGGUAGAAGAGUGCUUUCAGAAGGGCUCAAAGAUCGCCGAUGCUCAGAUAACAGUGGUAGAGCUGCAGGAAUACCAGAAAACUGCAGAUCCGAGUGAUUUAUUGCGGGCCAAGAAGCCCGCCACAGUGUCAGUGUUCCAGUCGUCUGGUGAGACGAAGCCCGUUCACAUUCACCGGACUGACCCCAGUGCUGCUCCGACUCAUAUCUCCACAACACUCGACUCUAAAUAGGAAGAAGCGCUCAUCCAGUUCCUCCGUGAGAACUGGGACAUCUUCGCAUGAAAGCCUGCUGACAUGUCGGGUGUUCCCAGGGGGCUGGCUGAGCAUCAUCUACGAGUCGACUCAAAAGUGAAACCUGUCAAAGAAUAUCUUCGACGGUCCGCCCUCCAGAAGAGAAAGGCCAUCGGCAAGGAGGUGGCUCGGCUCCUGGCAGCAGAGUUUAUACGAGAGAUUUACCACUCCGAGUGGCUCGCCAAUGUUGUCAUGGUCCCCAAGAAGGACAAGUCACUUCGCAUGUGCAUUAAUUUCAAACAUAUCAAUCGGGCCUACCCGAAAGAUCAUUUUCCUCUCCCCCGUAUCGACCAAAUAGUCGACUCGACUGCGGGAUUUGAGCGCCUGUCUUUUUUAGACGCCUAUUCCGGUUACCAUCAGAUCCGUCUGUAUGGACCCGACGAGAUCAAAACAACUUUCAUCACUCCAUUUGGGUGCUUCUGCUAUGUCACCAUGCCAUUCGGCCUCAAGAAUGCCGGAGCCACGUUCAUGAGGAUGAUUCAGAAGUGUUUACUCACUCAAAUCAGUCGGAAUGUGGAAGCAUACAUGGAUGAUAUUGUGGUCAAAUCAUGGAAGGGUUCCGACCUGUUGACUCACCUUGCUGAAACAUUUGCCAAUCUCAGGAGGUAUGAUAUCAAGCUUAAUCCAUCAAAGUGUACAUUCGGAGUUCCUGGCGGAAAGUUACUCGGUUUUCUCGUUUCCGAACGAGGAAUCAACGCCAACCCAGAAAAAGUUGGCACUAUACUCCGAAUGAAACGUCAUGUGCAUGUGCACGAUGUACAGAAGCUUACUGGAUGCUUGGCCGCUUUAAGUCGAUUCAUCUCUCGUCUUGGUGAAAAGGCAUUGCCUCUUUACCGACUGAUGAAGAAGUCAGACAAGUUCGAGUGGAGUCUAGAAGCUGAUGCAGCGUUUGCAGAGCUAAAAGCUCUGCUCUCCACCCAGCCGGUGCUUGCUGCCCCAAUCAGCAAAGAGCCUUUGCUGCUUUACAUUGCAGCCAAAGGACAAGUCGUCAGUACAGUACUUACGAUCGAGCGGGAAGAAGAAGGGAAAGCCUUCAAAGUUCAGCGCCCAGUAUAUUAUCUUUCCGAAGUGUUGACCCCAUCGAAGCAGAGAUACCCUCAUUAUCAGAAGCUUGUAUAUGGGAUUUAUAUGACCACGAAGAAGGUUGCUCAUUAUUUCUCUGAUCAUUCCAUUACAGUCGUCAGCGACGCCCCAUUAUCAGAGAUUCUGCACAACAGAGAUGCAACUGGUCGAGUGGCAAAAUGGGCGAUUGAACUCCUUCCCCUUGAUAUCAUGUUUGAGGCAAAUAAAGCCAUCAAGUCCCAAGCUGUAGUAGAUUUCAUCGCCGAGUGGAUUGAACAGCAGCUACCGACUCAAGUUCACUCGGAGCACUGGACCAUGUUCUUUGAUAGUUCUAAGAUGCUGAAUGGUUCCGGUGCUGGGGUGGUGUUGGUUUCCCCCCGAGGAGAUAAGCUCAGAUAUGUGCUCCAGAUCCACUUUGAUUCCUCCAACAAUGAAGCAGAAUACAAAGCACUUUUGUAUGGGUUGCGUAUGGGCAUUUCACUCGGCGUCCGUCGCCUUAUGGUUUAUGGUGACUCAGAUUUGGUGUUCAAUCAGGUGAUGAAGGAGUGGGACCUCAGAAGCCCAGCCAUGACUGGUUACUGCAAUGCAGUGAGAAAGCUUGAGAAGAAAUUUGAAGGGUUAGAGCUCCAUCAUAUACCCCGACUUAAAAAUCAAGCGGCUGAUGAUUUGGCAAAGAUAGGUUCCAAGAGAGAAGCCAUUCCCAGUAAUGUGUUUUUGGAACACAUCCAUACUCCAUCAGUUCAAGAGGAUCCUUUCACCGAAGAAGCUCCACAGCCAAAAAGUGUCACAGAUCUGACUGAAGUUGAAGUUCCAGCGGUGGUCGACCUGAUCAUGGAAGCUUUGGUCAUCACUCCCGACUGGACAGGGCUAUACAUCGCGUAUAUCCUAAGGAAAGAGCUCCCAGAGAAUGAAGAAGAGGCUCGACAGAUCGUCUGUCGAUCCAAAGCCUUUACCGUGAUAAAGGGACAGUUGUACAGAGAAAGCGCGACUGGAGUCGGUCAGAAAUGUAUAACGCCAGAAGAAGGUCGGAUAAUCCUUGAUGAUAUCCACUCGGGGACCUGUGGUCAUCAUGCGUCCUCUCGAACCAUUGUGGCUAAAGCAUACCGAGCAGGAUUUUACUGGCCAAGAGCAAAUGAAAUGGCACAGGAGAUAGUCGACAAGUGUGAAGGAUGUCAGUUUUACUCCAAUCUAUCGCACAAACCCGCCUCAGCCUUGAAGACCAUCCCACUAGUCUGGCCCUUCGCUGUUUGGGGGUUAGAUAUGAUUGGACCACUGAGAACUGGCAGGAGCAGCUUCACUCACUUGCUAGUAGCAGUCGACAAGUUUACCAUUGAAGCUAAGCCUAUCAAGAAUCUGGAUGCUGGCACUGCUAUCAGCUUCAUCAGAGAGUUGGUUUUUAGAUAUGGAGUUCCACAUAGCAUCAUCACUGAUAAUGGGUCAAACUUCGAUUUCGACGAAUUCAGAGCCUUUUGCGCCUCUCGGGGCACACGAGUCGACUACGCUUCAGUCGCUCACCCCCAGUCGAAUGGUCAAGCAGAAAGAGCAAAUGAUCUAAUUCUCAAAGGACUGAAACCCCGGUUGAUGCGCGAUCUUAAGCAUGCAGCAGGAGCGUGGGUCGACGAACUUCCUUCAGUUCUUUGGGGAUUGAGGACCACUCCUAACUAGUCGACUGGGCGAACUCCAUUCUUUUUUGUUUAUGGAGCUGAAGCAGUCUUGCCGAGUGACCUGCUUCACAAUGCACCCCGAGUCGAACUCUACACUGAAGAUGAAGCAGAGCAAGCCCAGCAAGACGUAGUUGACCUUCUAGAAGAAGAAAGAGAGAUGUCCAUGGUCCGAUCGACUAUCUAUCAGCAGGACUUGCGUCGAUUUCAUGCCAGAAACGUGAAGAGUUGAGCCUUCCAAGAAGGAGAUUUGGUUCUCCGAGUGGAUCAACAGAAGCCACACAAGCUCGCUCCUACUUGGGAAGGUCCCUUUAUCGUCACCAAAGUCCUCCACAAUGGAGUGUACCGUCUUUACAAUGUCGGUCACUAGAUUGAUGAGCCUCGAGCUUGGAACGCGGAGCUGCUCCGCCCCUUUUAUACUUAAGUAUUCACUCGGAUGAGAUGUAAUAAAAGUACUUUUGUAGUUUAUUUAUCAAAGACAAGAGUGUUAUAAUUUUCCCCAGUGAUUGUUGUUACUUUUGUUUACAUGAGAAAUCCCGCAGUGGGUGGCUUAGCUACGAAUCCGUUUCGCCUAAGUUUGUAAAAAAAAUCCUUGCCGAGUGCUGAGCCAGCCUCCCACUCGGAGGCUUAGCUACGAAUCCGUUUUGCCUAAGUACUUUAAAAUCCUACCAAGUGAUGAGCCAGUCUCUCACUCGGAGGCUUAGCUGCAGUCCAGUACUCGCCUAAGUGUUUAAAAUCCUACCAAGUGGUGAGCCAGCCUCACACUCGGAGGCUUAGCUGCAGUCCAAGUACUCGCCUAAGUGUUUGAAAUCCUACCGAGUGAUGAGCCAGUAUCUCACUCGGAGGCUUAGCUGCAGUCCAGUACUCGCCUAAGUAUUUAAUACAGUGUGCGCUCCGCAAGGAGGACGAGGUGCAGGUCGACUGCUACCUUCUCCUUCCGAGCUACGCCACAAAUACAACGUGCGCUCUGCAAGGACGAUGAGGUGCAGGUCGACUGCUACCUUCUCCUUCGGAGCUACGCCGCAAAAAAUCCUACCGAGUGGAGAGCAAACCUCCCACUUGGGGGCUUAGCUGCAGCUCAGUGCUCGCCUAAGUAUCUGAAAAUCCUACCGAGUGGAGAGCAAACCUCCCACUCGGGGGCUUAGCUGCGGCCCAGUGCUCGCCUAAGUAUCUGAAAAUCCUACCGAGUGGAGAGCAAACCUCCCACUCGGGGGCUUAGCUGCAGCUCAGUGCUCACCUAAGUAUCUGACAAUCCUACCGAGUGGAGAGCAAAUCUCCCACUCUGAGGCUUAGCUGCAGCCCAGUGCUCACCUAAGUGUCUGACAAUCCUACCGNNNNNNNNNNNNNNNNNNNNNNNNNNNNNNNNNNNNNNNNNNNNNNNNNNNNNNNNNNNNNNNNNNNNNNNNNNNNNNNNNNNNNNNNNNNNNNNNNNNNNNNNNNNNNNNNNNNNNNNNNNNNNNNNNNNNNNNNNNNNNNNNNNNNNNNNNNNNNNNNNNNNNNNNNNNNNNNNNNNNNNNNNNNNNNNNNNNNNNNNNNNNNNNNNNNNNNNNNNNNNNNNNNNNNNNNNNNNNNNNNNNNNNNNNNNNNNNNNNNNNNNNNNNNNNNNNNNNNNNNNNNNNNNNNNNNNNNNNNNNNNNNNNNNNNNNNNNNNNNNNNNNNNNNNNNNNNNNNNNNNNNNNNNNNNNNNNNNNNNNNNNNNNNNNNNNNNNNNNNNNNNNNNNNNNNNNNNNNNNNNNNNNNNNNNNNNNNNNNNNNNNNNNNNNNNNNNNNNNNNNNNNNNNNNNNNNNNNNNNNNNNNNNNNNNNNNNNNNNNNNNNNNNNNNNNNACUCGGGGGCUUAGCUGCAGCGCAGUGCUCGCCUAAGUAUCUGAAAAUCCUACCAAGUGGAGAGCAAACCUCCCACUCGGAGGCUUAGCUGCAGCCCAGUGCUCGCCUAAGUGUCUGAAAAUCCUACCGAGUGGAGAGCAAACCCCCCACUCGGGGGCUUAGCUGCAGCCCAGUGCUCGCCUAAGUAUCUGAAAAUCCUACCGAGUGGAGAGCAAACCUCCCACUCGGGGGCUUAGCUGCAGCCCAGUGCUCGCCCAAGUAUCUGUAAAUCCCACUGAGUGGAGAGCAAUCCUCCCACUCGGGGGCUUAGCUGCAGCCCAGUGCUCGCCUAAGUACUUAAUCUAUUCCGCUCUACAAGGAUGACGAGGCGCAGGUCGAUCGUAACCUUCUCCCUCUAAGAUACGCCACAAAUACAAUGUGCACUCCAUUUGUGCUCCAUCCUUACCUGCAAAAGGCGGUGAAGUGCAGGUCGACUGGGCUUUCCACCUCAGAGCUGCGUCUCAAGCAUUAAAAUAUAUUCCGAGUGAAGAAGAAAGUUUGCUCGAAGGCAAAUGCAAGCAUAUUCAACGAUAAGCAAAGUUUAGAUAACGGAUUCAAAGGUACUCAGGCGUCAAGCCUGCAGAAGUUUAUCGGUUACAAAAACCACUCGGCAUUCCGAGGCAAAUUUAAGGUGAAGCAUAGAAGUUUUUUACUCCUCAGGUGGAGGACUGGAAGGCGCAAUAAACUGUUCAAGGUCGAUUCCAUCUGCAAUCCGAGUGGCAGCAACAAUUAAGGUCUCCAUGAAAGAUUGGAAGUCAUGCUUCUUGGUAUUAUCCACCCUGAUGGACGCCAGCUUGUCCUCUCGAGCAUCCUUGCAGUGAACACGUACCAGGGACAGAGCAACAUCAGCACCACACCUGGCGGAAGACUUCUUCCAUUCCUGCACUCGACCUGGAACGUCAUUCAGUCGAGUCAUUAAAGACUCGAGGUCAUUUUGAAGCGUCUCUCUUGGCCAGAGUGUCGUGUCGAUCCGCGACACCGCAACCUUCAGUCGAGCGAGGUAGUACACCACACCAGAAAUGCGAGAUUCCAGUCGGAACACGUUCAUAGCAGCCUCGUCCUUCAUAGGAGAGUUGAUGGGAUCCAAGUUUUUCUCCAGCCGACUGGUCUCCUCCUCGAAGUUUUGACAGAAUUCUGUAAGCACAGUUUGAGGUUAAACCAACAGUCCAACAAUGAGUCGACGAUAACGAGUCAGUCGGAUAAAAGAGAUUACCUUCAAGCAUGAGGAAUAACUUCUUGGCGAGUCCUUCCAGAUAAGCCUCCAGAUCAUUUUUCUUCCCCAUCAGUUCGCUGGCCUUGUCACUCAGAGCUAUCUUGUCAUUCUUCAGUCGGCUGACCUCCUUGUUGGCCGCGUCGAGAGCAGCUUUCAGACUGGUGUUUUCCUCUUCGAGUUUACUGACUGAAGCCAGCUUUUCUUCUGCCAAUGUCUUGUCCGAAGCCGCUUUAUGCGCCUCAGCGAGGUCAAGGUCCUUCUUCUUCAGAGCCUCCUUCAGUUUAUCUGCAAAGUGACAAUGAGAUCAGAAUCAGGAAUGGACAAAAAAAAGACAAUCGUCAAGAUUCUCACCAAACAUACCUUUUGCCUCCUCCUUCGCCUUCAUGAAGUUCUCCUGGACAAGCUUCAAGUCAAGUUCGAGCUGGAUAUGUUUGUUCUCCAACUCAGUAUAACGAGCCACGAGCUCGCAAGAUUUCUGCGAAAGAUUAGUCGACAGACAUCAAAGAUAGGUCACUUCCGAGUGACUAAGAGAAAAAUCGUAGCAUUUCUAAGACUAGAGCCGACUCAAAAUAUUCAAGUGUAGUCUCGGGGACUACACCCAGUGGGUGCACUCAGCAUGCCCCCACUGGUUCUACCGACUCGGUUCGAUCAGUCGAACGAAAGAGACAGAAAGUUAUGAUCCUAAACCAUAGCUAACUGAUAGCAGUCAGCCACAAAAAAAAGAUGUUCUUCAGACCAUAGUCGACUGCCAGCAGUCGACCAUGGUGUCGGGGACUACACCCAGUGGGUGCACUCAGCGUGCCCCCACUGGUUCCAAGAUUCCACUCGACCAGAUCGAGUGGAGAACUUAGAGUGAACAAAUUCAAAGUAUAGAGACUACAGUCGACUGCCAGCAGUCCACCAUAGUAUCGGGGACUACACCCAGUGGGUGCACACAGCGUGCCCCCACCAAUUCAAACAGUCAAUUGACACACCUAGUGGGUGUAUAGAUACUAAGAUCUUCAGAAAGAAGAGUUUUCAGGUACCAUAUCCUAACAGAACAAGCGGACACCAACUAACCUGAACAUUACUCUAAAGAGCUGAGCUUGCAUCAUAAGCUACUUGGCUGGCGUCUCGGAUUGCCUUCACUUGCUCCAUCAUGACCCCCGCCUGGCGUAUAGCCUCCUUAGCAGCACUUGCUUGGUCCUCUGGGACGUGGUAUGUGGCGAAAAGGGAAGGCGGAUCAGCACUCGACGAUGAAGGACGAGCACUCGUAAGUGGCACAGCAAAGGACACGGUAGUCCGAGUGACGUUGCCUCCCUCCGGAACCAGCGUCUCAGGUGCUGAUACAACCUGAGCAGUCUUACCAGCAAGCGCCUUCUUGUUCCUCCUUUGCCUCAGUGGCUCCUCAUCAUCAUCAUCAGGGAGAUCAAUGACAUGAGGUGGGGCUACAGGAAAGAUUCAAAGUUAAAAAUGAAGAUCCCAUCGACCAAAAGCGAAACUACAGAGAUUGUACCAGGGUUGGAAGUGGCAGCAUCUUCCAUUUCUUGGUCCUCUUUCCUGACUGAGGUUUCAGAGGUAGCAGCACUGCAGAUUCCAGAAAUCAGUCGGUUAGCCAACGAGUCAAUCAAGAGUUUAUUCGUGCCAAACAAGAAAACACAAGUACUGCUAUUACUCGGAAAUAGUGGGAAUCACCAUCCUCAUCUUCGGCAGUGCCUUCGUCGGCUUCGAUGAUGUCACUCGGAGUUGCUUCGGCGCUUUCUCAGUCGGCACCAGAGAGGUCGUCCGAAGGCGUUUCAUCGACUGUCCAAUAGGCACAGUCGCUUUGCCACGCUCGACUGCGGGGUCAUGGGCGAGCUUGGGUCGCCUUUCAGUGCAGGGAGGGACGACUUCCUCCUCCUCUUCCUCCUCCUCCACCUCUUCAUCAGAGUCGUCGUCUUCUUCAUCCUCCUCACCAUCAGAUUGCCACUCUUCCUGACUUUCACCUCUGCUUCCCUCCUCCUCCUCGAUCUGUUCUUGCGCCCCGUUGGGCAUCGAAUACAUCUCAAUAGUAACCUGGAAGACAACAAACAAGACAAAAGUCAGUCGACCGAUGUUAAGCAUACAGGUUGGAGAAAGUAGGAUCACAGUCGAAGAUAUAUAAUUAGGACCUUGUCUGGCUCGUACGAUUGGUCAAGUGGAGGGAUCCUCCUGGCUCCUCGGGGGUUGUCUUUGUUUCCUGUGAUGGCAGUCAUCCACCUCUCCAGUGUGGCAUUCUCGACCUCCUAUGGAUGGACCCGAGUGGUGUCUUCAGUGCCAGAAUACAUCCACAUCGGAUGGUCUCGAUAUUGAAGUGGAUGUAUGCGUCAUCGAAGGAAAACCUCCAGUAGAUCCAUGCCAGUCACCCCAUCACGGAUGAGCUGGACUACACGCUCGACCAACACCUUAACCUGAGCCUUCUCCUCCGGGACCACCUUCAGAGAGGACGGCUUGCUCACUCGAUCCAUGGAGAAAGGAGGGAGUCCAGUCGACUGCCCUGGCGUCGGCUGGUCUUGGCAGUAGAACCAGGUCGACUACCACCCUCGGACCGACUCAGGAAGGACCAUGGCUAGAAAAGCACUUUUACCCCUCAUUUGAACCCCAAGACCCCCACACAUCUGAAUCACUUGGGUUUUCUCGUCACUCGGAUUGGCCUUUUUCACCGUCUGGGAGCGAGAGGUUAAAAUGUGUUUGAAAAGGCCCCAAUGGGGUCGACAACCCAAGAAAUUCUCACACAAGGACACGAAAGCUGCGAGAUAUACUAUGGAGUUGGGGUGUGAAGUGGUGGAGUUGUGCCCCAAUGAAGUUCAGAAAUCCCCGAAAGAAAGGGUGGGGCGGCAAAGAAAAUCCGCGGUCAACAUGGGUGGCCAAGAGGACACACUCACCCUCCCGAGGCUGCGGCUGUCACUCCUUCCCCGAGAGCCUCGCUGGUCCAUGGGGGAUCAGCCCUUCGUUGGCCAGGUCGUCGAGAUCCUUCUGGCGGAUGGUCGAGCGGAUCCAGUCGCCCUAGAUCCAGCCCUGCGGCAGACCGGCCCGCGACGGGGAUCCACCCUGACUGGUCGCCCUUCCCUUCGCCUUCGCCGUCGCCUUCUUCGCCUGCUCCAAAGCCAACGUCUUCUCCUUCACCAUCGUCGCCGGCGAAGCACACACAGAGCAGCAGCGCUGGGAUGGUGGCGAGCGCAGCAGAUGAAUCUGAGGAAGAGGGAGAGGAAAAUGAGGGCGCAUUGUUCAAAAACCCCCGUCGGGCGCCUUAUAUGGGGUUACUUCCGAGUGACUAACUGGUAGGCCCAGACGAUCCUGUCAAAUCCCGCAACAAUCGCGCGCACGAUACGUGGCGAAAAAGGUGGCGCAAAGAUCGAGGCGUUCCUGCCUUAUCCCAUCCGAGUACCGCGGCCUCCUCCGCCUUGCGCGCUUCCUGAAAUUCAGAUCCCGCUAAAUCCGCGAACAGCAGAGCAACUUGUCAGACUGAAGAUUUCCUCCGAUCCGUCGAUCGGAGAACGACAGUACAGAAAAGUCACUCGACAGAUACAAAGAAUGGAUCAAGGCGACUGAAAAAGAAGUUGGUGCCGUCACCUAAAGUCAUUGGUCCAGAACAAGACAUACUCAUAGCACAAAAAACAGAUCGGAAGAAUUCUCAACUCCUUCCUCACUCAAACCUCGAUCCAUUAGGGGGCUAAUGAUGAAGCCAUGUACCUAGGAUAGGGUCAUGGACAUUUCCAAAGUACCCUCCCCAAGGACAUCCCUAGAAGAAACUACCUUUUCAGUCGACCUGGAAGGAUUCCACUCGACGGACUCGAAGACACUCGACCAUGAAGCCACUCACUCGACCACCAGGAGAUCUAGAGUCACUCUGCACACAAACGGUCUGUCAUUAAGUAGUCUUUAUGGUCAUGAUAGCACUUUAUGUAUGGCGUUACCAGUAACGUCAGGCCUUAAUGCACUUUAAACCCUGCAUAACUGAGGGCCAGAGGGAUCUGGCGAACUCUAUAUAAGCCACCCCCCUCCUCAGUGUAAAGGGUUCGCGCCCCUGUAACUCAUACGCAUAUAAUCCAGUCGACCGCCUCCGGGCUCCGAGACGUAGGGCUAUUACUUCCUCCGAGAAGGGCCUGAACUCGUAAAUCUCUUGCGUAUACAACUACUCCAUAGCUAGGAUCUUGCCUCUCCAUACCUACCCCCUAUUCUACUGUCAGGCUUAGAACCACGACAAUAUGUGAAAUAAUAUUACUAUGUAGAAGAACAACAGAAAUUUAAAAACAUAAAGAUGAUUAACAAUAUCAAAUUUCUAUUAUGUUCUAAUUCAAUCUAGUCCAACCAUUCAUUUAUCAGAAUUCUAUAAACACGCCUAAGUAUGAAGCUAUACAAAUAAGUCAAAAACAAAUAUUAGGUUCACCUUAAGUUUCAUUACAUGUAAUGUGUUCGUAAACAGUCUGAACAUAAAGUUUCAGUGACUCUAACUUGUUAUAUGUAGUGCCAAUGACUGUACCCGCGGUCUAAGAUACAAUUCAUCCUAAUUCAAAUCUCCAACACAAAAAUUGCUCUGGGAUGAAAAAAAUGGAACAAAGAACAACAUUAACAAUGAAAUCUUCGACCAUUCAUAUCUUUGAAGACUUUUAAUCCGCAAGGAAAGAAGAUAAUCAUGUUUAGAUAACAACAUCAUGCUUCCCAAAUGAAUCUGCCCCUUAUCCUACCUAUAUAUGCUGCAUGUGUUCUUUUUUUUAGAAAAGGAGGAUGACCUCCGGCCUCUGCAUCUGGGCGAUGCAUACGGCCACUUUAUUAACAAUUCUCAUAAGACCUUACAAAGUCAUACAACAGCAAGACUAAAGUCACCGUCUAAGCAACAGCUGUCGCUAUACCUAUCGAAUUGAUGAAGGGGCGUAGAUAGUCUAGGCCUAAUACCAAACAGACAUCGCGGCCAAACCUAAACAUCUAAGACCUAAGGUCCCAACCAGGACGCCUAUCGGGUAUGGGGCACCUACCAGUCCGGCACACUCCUCAACCAGGACGCCUGCCGGGUAUGAGGUCGCCGCAGCCACCUACCACCAAUCCAUCUUUAGAGUUGUACUGUUGCAUGUACCGUGUCAGGUCUCUCUGCCAACGACACCCGACAGCGUCGUCCUCCUACAUGAGUCCAUCCUCCCACAGCGAACUCUGAAUCUGCACUGCGCCACACCGUCAAGAUCCGUCGCCAUCAGUGUGUAGGAUGAAGCACCGCUCCAGUAAAGAAUCUGUCCUCUGGUCCCUCGAUCAUGUGUGUACCUCCAAGAAUGACGCCCCCAAGGGAGGAACGACACCAGAGCGUCGCCGUCAUUCGAUCAUCCGAUCUAGGGUUUCCCCCAGAGGUAGCAGAGGGUGGCCUUGAACUUCUCCACGGCGAUGCCUUCAAGAAGGGAACGGCGCAGAUAGCGCCGCCACUGCCGGCCUUAGCAGACGCCGAAGGCAAGUUUCACUCAGAUCGGUUCGAAGGGAUCCAAAUCUCGUGCACGGGCCGCCGUCACCACCAGCACCACCAGGCAAAACCCUGGAGCACCGGCAGAUCAGCGAGCCACUGGCACCACCGCAUCCAGAUCGUCGGCCAUGCCGGGCCGCCGCCAUCCCCCGCGUCGUCCGGGUCAGAGACGGAGCCGCCGACCGCGCACAUGGACCAUCGCCGCCUGCACACGCCAGAGCGCCGCCGAGAGCCCAGCGCCCAUCACCGAUUCCCGAGGGCCGCUGUCGCGCGCCCCGAGCAGACUCCCACACACACCAGGGGAAACUGUCGUCGCCCCCAAGCCUGCGCCGGCGCGCCCCGCCUCCAGCGCGCCGCCAACCACCGCCGCGAUCCGCCCAAAUCAGAUCCAGCGAGCCGUGGGAGAAGAGAUCCCGCCGCCGCCCCCGCCGACCGGGCUUUGCCCGGCGGCGCGCCCCGGCGGCAGCGAGGAGGAGAGGUCGGGGGAGGGACGAGGAUGCGGCGGCGCUAGGGUUCCCCCCCGGUUGCCGCGCAGGGACGACACGGGAGGAGUCGGGAGGACGUGGUGUUAUUUCUUUAAAAAUGGGAGAGAUUUUCACUUCCCGGCCUCUGCACCAACCAGGGAUGCAUGUGUUCUUAUUUUCCAGAGCUCAAUAUGCAAGGACCGAUCCAAAGUAGGCUUAACCAUGGAUGUUUCGUGAAAAAGGAAGAUUAGAAGAAACAAGAUCUAAGAAGGACAAGAAAAGAAAGGUUUAAUGAAUAAUGGUAUAAUUUCUACUUCAUAUUUAUGAAGAAGAAAUAUGCUGAUAAUCUCUAUCUUUUUUUUGAACAAAGCAAGGCACCAACAGGCGCCCAAUUUCAUUUCAGCUCAUAAGUGAAGUACAUCAGUGAGUACAGCAGCGAGAAGAUAGACAGCAAGGAGAAGUACAGCCAGAGGGGUAGAGCUGAAAGAGAAAGCAAAGAUAGGUUGAGGAAACACCCAACCAGAUGAUCAACGGCUAAUUUAGAAAGCACAGAGCAAGAUCAUUCCAUCAGUCACAAAAGUAGAUGUAACAGCCCAUCUGCAGCCAUAGGAGAAUGUGAAGAAGUGCUGAUGCUCUGAAGAGAAGCAGAAGAUUGGGAACUGUCCUUAUUCCUUAUCCAAAGUGGCAAAUGCAAGAGAACAUCUCACAGAUUAAUUGUUGCCUCCACUUGCUGGUAUUGAACAAAAUGAGAGUACACCAUCUGUAAAAUAGUCUGGCAGCAAACUUGUUGAACCUGCAUUUCACACACUUAUGACCAUAGCUCAUCUUGUACAGAAUGCAAGCCUGCAAGAAACAUUAAAAGGGAAAGAGGCCAGCGCUUUCUGCAAAAGACAAAGAGAAAAUCCUGCCCGAAGGCGAAUGUUAGGUAAUAACAGUGAAUAGUAUGCAGAUUUAUGCCUUGAAUCUGAAAGUGAGAAAGAAGAGAAAUCAUGGGGCAAGACUGAUGGGAAUGAGCAUGAGCAAAGCAAGAGAUUUGAGAGCUAGCAUUAGAUCUAAAAACCGGCUGAGCAAGAUUGUGAGCAAUACCAUUUAUCUCCCUAGAAAUGUGAAACACUUGAGCAUUCAAAUUAGAUGUGUCUUUGAAAAAAUGAGCAAGAUCAUUCCUAAUAUUCCAAGGAGUGGCUGAAAUAUUUCUUACGGCAGCAAAAGAGGCUAAAGACAAACAAUCCAUAAGGAAAGUGGAGUUAGCAAGAUUAAGUCUCAAAGCUAGAUGUGCAGCACAGGAGAGAGCCACAGCAUCAGCCUGCAAAGGAGUAGAGGUAGGAGGGGCCGAAGCCUGAACCUGAACAUUAAGCUCGCCCUGAUCCGAAGGUAUGGAAAUAAAAACACCUAUACAUGUACCCACUUGCCCUUGAGCGAGACCUGGGAUUUUUGUUGAUCUAAACGCUGCAUCAGAGAAGAUUUUAGUCCCAGGAACUAACAAGUCAGACUUCAGCGUUUUGCCCUGCAAAGGAAGAACAUGAGUUUCCUGAACAUCAUUGGAGUGAGGUUUCUUAGUAGGGGGACAAGAAGGAUCAACCAGUGGCUCAUAGUCCAGAGCUGCAACAACAAUAUUAACUUGAUAAGGAAGAUGAUUUUUCCUAUCAAAAAGAAAAUCAUUUCUAGCUUUCCAAAGGCACCACAAAAAAUUUAAAACAUUCUUAAUGGAAGCAUGAAGAUGUCCCAUUCGAGUAAGCACAAUGAGAAUGGAAUGCAUAGUAUGGUGCCCUUGGGUGAGAACAUCCGAGCGAAGGAACCAGGGCGAAGAAAACCAAGCUGCUCUCGCAAAGUUGCAAAGGAAAAAAACAUGAAAUUCAUCUUCCUGCUGGCCACAUCUACAACAAGUCUGAGCAAUAUGAAUAGAAAAGCGGCCAGCCCUCAUACCCGUAGGCAAAGCCCUUCGAAGAAGUCUCCAAGCAAAAGUUUGAACUCGAGGGAGCAGAUUUUUUGUUUCCAAAUGAACUUAAGAAAAUCUUUCAAGUCCAAAGGAAUAUCUAGAUGAGCAUUUCUUGGAAUACUGUGAAGCUCCUGCAAGCAAAAUUUGUAAGCAGAUUUUGAAGAGCAAAUACCAUUUGGGGUAAGAUCCCAACACAACAAAUCUGGACCAUCAUCAUCUAAAAUUUGAGUAUUAACAAUGUGAGAGGCUAAAGGUUGCUGAAAAAGAGAAAAUAUGAGCGAAUGAUUCCAGCUUUUCAAACCAGGAAGCCAAAGAUCUUUCACAUGAGACGGGUAAACAAAACCAGCUUGUUGUGGAACAAGAUGAUCAUAAAUAGAAUACCAAAGAUUACACCAAGGCAUGCUCCACAAAGAAAUGUCACCCUGAGUGAGUUGAUAAAAAGCAUGAUCUCUUAGUUUAGGCAACAUUUUCAAGAUAGAGGCCCAGAAAGCAGAUUUAGGUGGGGUAGUAGUGGCUCUCCAAAUUGAAGUAUCAGGAAAGUACUUAGCCUUUAACACAAGGUACAAAUGAGAAGAAGGACCAUUGGCUAACCUCCAAGCAGCUGUGAGUAUGAGACUUUCAUUAAUGGCUUUUAGAUUCCUGACGCCCAAGCCACCUUCUCCCUUAGAACUACAAAUAUCCUUCCAUGCCCUAAGGCAGAGACUUUUCUUUGAGUCAGUCUCUCUAACACCUGUCCACCAGAAAUUUCUAAUAACAGUCGUGAGCUUAGCAAUGAAUUUCUUAGAAAACAAGAUGUUUGCCAUGUAAUAGACUGGAAUAGCUGAAAAAACUGAUCGAAUCAAUUCAAGCUUAGCAGCAUGAGAGAGCAUAUUAGCUUUGUAAGAGGGCAGCUUAUGUAAAAAUUUAUCUAACACAAAGUUGUGAGCAGCCACUCUAUUUUUAGCAGGAAGAAUAAGUGGAUGACCAAGAUGAGUGAAAUUAGCAUCAAGAUUAGAAAUAGGAAAUAAUUGCUUAAUGCUUUGAAUCGUAGCUUGAGAAACAUGCGAGCUAAAAAGAAUUGCAGAUUUGCCCCAGUUGGGAGUUUGACCAGAGAGCUCACAAAAUUGAUGAAUAAGAUUAGCCAUAGUCUGAGCUUCUCGAAGAGUAGCCUGUCCACAAACCAAUAAGUCAUCUGCAAAUAGAAGAGAAUGAACAGAGGGGCAGUUUGGACCAAGAGAAAUACCCUGCAAAUGGUUAGCCUGAAGAGCCUCAUUAAGCGAUAUCGAAAGUUCAUUAAUGGCAAUAACAAACAAGUAAGGAGACAUGGGACAGCCCUGCCUAAUCCCUCGAAAACUUUUGAACUUAUGAGAAGGUUGUCCAUUGAUUAGCACAGAGAAUGUGGGAGAAGAGAUGCAUGCAUGAACUAAAUUAAUGAAAUGACCAUGCGGCCCUUUACGAGCAAGCGCAGAAACAAUAGAGUCCCAUUCUAGUCUGUCAAAAGCUUUAGCAAGAUCAAUUUUAAGCAUGAAGGCAUCCUGUUUCCAAGAUUUGAGGGAGAAAGAAUGAGCAAUUUCCUGGGCAAUGAUAAUAUUAUCACUAAUUCUCCUACCCUCGAUAAAAGCUUGUUGAGCAGGAUCUAUAUAACUAGGAAGGUGAGGCUUAAUCCUGUUGGCAAGAGAUUUGGCAAUGAUCUUAUAAACAACAUUACAAAGACUAAUAGGUCGGUAGUCCAUAGGCACUUGAGGAACAAGCUUUUUAGGAAUGAGAGCAAUGUUGGUGUCAUUAAUGUGCGGAGGAAGAAUUCCAGUUAAAUAAAAGUUAAUAACAAGCUGAGUUACCUCAUCUCCAAUCCAGUCCCAAGUAGCUAAAUAGAACUCAAAAUUAAAACCAUCCGGUCCUGGAGAAGCAUUGAGUUUCAUAUCCUUAAGAAUCUGUAAAAUCUCAUGAUUGUCAGGAAGAACAUAAGUAGGAUCCAAAGAGCCGCCGGGCCAUUGAGUGGAAAGGUAAGGUCUACUCACAAUAUUAUUGGGAGAAGAGAAAAUGUAGCGAAAAUAGUUAAUAAAGGUAUUCAUGAUAGCGGUAGGAUUGAAAUUAAUCAUAUUAUUCUCAUCCUUAACGGAACAAAUGGUAUUUCUCUUCCUACGCUUGACAACAGCUUGGUGGAAAAAUUUAGUGUUACGGUCACCAGCCACAGCGCACUUAUUCUUACUACGUUGCUUAUAGAAUUGAUUAAGUUUAGAAAGAGUGUGCUCAUAUGUAGCAGUGAGACAAGUUUCUAACUUGUGAUCCUGCUGCUGGAAAGGAAGUUGCUGAAGUUGAUUGAUGCGAGCUUCCAGAUCCAAAAGCUCAUUUUGAAGAGGCUUUUUCUUCUUACACCACCUUUUUAAAGAUCCUGCCAAAGAAGAAGACUUUGCUACGAAAGAAGAUGAGGAAGUAGCAUUCCAGGCAGAUUUAGCAAAGGCAUGAAAAUCUUUUUCCAUCAACCACCAAUUUUCAAAUUUGAAAGUUUGUCGAGGCUUGACAAAAUUACCUUCAGUAGACACUAGAAUGGGGGCAUGAUCACUCAGGAUAAUAGGCAAAUUAAGAACUUUGGUAGUAGGAUAGUGCGUGCACCAAUCCGAGUUAACUAAACAACGAUCGAGGCAUCUAUAAAUAGGAUUGGAAGUGUGUUGUCUACCACGCCAAGUAUAGGCAGGACCACUAUAACCUAUAUCAAACAAGCCACAAUUUUUCACAAGAGAACGAAAAGCAUGCAUACGAUAGUAAUUCACAUUGCCAUUACAACCAUCAAUAUCAUACAAGAUGUCAUUCAAAUCCCCCAUACACAUCAUGGGCAUGCCUAGAUUAUCUACUACUACUAUUAAACAAUCGAGUUGUGGCAGAAACAUUACAUCUCAGCCAUACAUCCGCCAUCUCUCAAUGGACCAGAUUGUCUCAAUGUUGUAUCACAUCAUUUACCAAAAUCAAUUACCAAUAACAUUUACCAAAAUCAAUUACCAAUAAUUGCCAUGAUCUAUGCCAUCGUAAUUACGCAAAACUUACCAACCUGAGCCUAUUUUAAUCAUAAUCAAUUAGCAAUAAUCAAUCAUAAUCAAUUAACAAUAAUUACCAUGAUCUAAUAAUUACGCAAUAAUUACCGCGAUCUCGCUCCGACUGGAGACCUCCACCUUGGGCCGUCCGGUCCUCGCUCAAACCUCUCGAUUCGAAUUUCUGAGGCAGCCCUCCUCAUGCCGCCGUCGACCUCCUUGCUCCAACCCCUAUCUGUGUUGUACACGUACAUAUCUCUUCUCUACUACUAUUAAACAAGCAAACAUUUUCUUUCUUAAAGAUACCCGUUAAGUGUACAUCGAUUAAUUAUCAUCGUUUGAUCAUCUAAAUUAAUGAAAGCUAACAGAUCAGACUAAUCUGAUGAGAUAUCAAAGGGUGCAAUUAGCAAUUACUGAAGGCGGACCACUCCACCGGCGGACGAAAUUUUUCUACGCCUGCUUCGGCAACUUCCGCUCAAGCAUCCAACCAAAUCUUUGAUAAUUACUACUCCUAUACCAUAUAUAAUUGCCAUCUAAUUAUUAUUAACCUUUUUUGUUGUCGGAGCAUCUAAUUAUUAGUAUCAACUAAAAGAGGAAGCCACUCAACCUAAUUGAUCUCUUCCUACCCCGCGUUGAUGCUAUCGGCGUCGAAACAUGCCCCUUCAUCCCUCCAUGUGCCCUCUCUAUCUACGUCAUCGUCCCUUCCUUUUAUACCUCGGCUGAAAACAUAUCUUCUCUAAUCCCUCGCACUAUCCGCCAUUGCCUCUGCAACGCAACACACACCACCUCUGUCGCCGCCGUAUGGGACACCGGAGUUGCUGCGACCUUCGAUUCGACGCGCUACCAGAUCAGGGUGGAGACGGUCUGUGCCGGUCUGACCAGCCUGGCAGUCCUAUUUUCUGUGACUAGAACGCCUGCGCUCCAGACCGGGCCGGAUCGAGCGGAUCGAGCGGACAGGCAAGUGGCGACGACGAUCGGCGGCAGGAGACCAUGACGAGCACGCACGACGGUAGGAGGCCACGACGACUGUCCCGGCGGCGCAUGGCAGCAGGAGGCCAUGGAUGGCGCCUGCAGGAGACGUCUACGACGUGGACACCGACAACAGCGAGGACGACGAAGGAGCCAUCGUGACGGCCAGUCGCGGCAACUCUGGUGCGCUCCUGCACUCGCUGACGUUGUCCAUGGGCUCUGGGUCCCUCUCCACCUGCGUCAGCAUGCAACAGGCGCCCGCACGCGCCCAUUCCUAAGGCGCUGCCGGCGGCGAGUACAUCGGACAGAAACAGGAGGAUUCACACAACUUCGAUGCAUUGACUGUAUAACCUCUUAUUUUCGUGGAUGUCUCCUGCGCGCACGCAGAUGCAUUGACUGUAUGGAUGGAGCGAGAUUUGGUUUUUCUUCAGUUUUCUAUAGGGACAUGCAACAUGAGACCUGACGACCUUUUCACGUGCAUGGAAUCAUUUUCUGUGGACGAAGCGAGCACGGCGGCGACGACAAGUUCAAUUUCAUCGUCAGAGAAUUAAGGACGAAGUGGGCACCCGAGCUAGUUGUUUGCAGAGCAGAAGAACCGUCGUUGGGAUCUGCCAUACCUUGCUCGGAAUACAUCGAGAGUAUCGCUCCUCUCCAGACAAUGCCGAACAUUUUCACGGUUCUUUCUUCUACUUCCUUACAAGCAUUCCUGUUUUUACAACUUGGGUUUGUAAGGACGUGUGUUGCUUAAUACUCAAUAAUCCUAGGCCUUUUUGCAGAAAAUAAAUAAAUUGAAUGAAGUCUUUUUUUGUUCACCUUCUCAACUACAACGAGACUGAAGAUGCCGACUGAAGAUGCCUACGCUUUAUAACAAUUGAUUAAACAUAUAAAAAACUGAGAUAAUUAGGUGCCGGUGCUCUAUGCAUACGAUGAUUCAUUUAAAUGAUAGGUCGAUUUGUAAUAUCUUUAUUAGUAUUAGAAUAUCUUUUCUACGGGAAUUCUUAUUUUUGUCGGUAACCAAGGUGGGCAAAAGCGGACCUGUAUUAUUUUCAUUACCAUUUAUUUAAAAAACAGAAGGUGAAACAAUCAAGCAUCAUCGUUGACCGGAGUGGAGAUCUGAGUCUGACCAACACCUGCCUACCUCCGCCAAACCAUCACUUCCAGACACACCAAUGUGGCCUCACCCACCAGACGCGGAUCCAACCUGCGCGAGAAGAAGCAGAUAGCCGCCAAUGGGCGUCCUGACGGGCACCACUGGGGCUAAACCUUCCUGGGACUGCGCCCCCACAGACAACAUAGGUGCUGCCACGACCCUCCCACAUGGAGCCGUGCAACCACCACCGCCACCCAUCAUUGUCUAGGGGUGGCACUGUUGCUGAGAGGGACGUCUCCCUAUGAGCAGCACGCGACACAUACAUCGGAUCGCCACGCUCCACCGAUCACCUGAGACCUGUGCCAAAAUAACAGCCUGCGAAAAAGGAUGCCCUGCCUCCACCUUCCCUGGGGCACAGGUGGCUUUGUCGGCGCCCCCUCCGACAGCGGUGAAGCGAGGGAGGAGGGGUGGUCUUGCGGUGCAGGUAGGGUUUUUUCCAUAUCACCCGAGUAGAAUAACGCGAAUAUAAUAUUAGUCGAGACGUGCGUUGCACGUGCACACUUACUAGUCAUACACAAAAGAAGAAACUUGGUCCCAGAUGACACUAGUCUGCCAUAUAUGCAAAUCAAACAAAAGUUUACCCCCGAAUCUACCUGAACUACUUUAUCUAAUAUAUAGUGGAAAGCAGCACUAUGAACAGAGAUUUUAAGAUCAUCGGUCCACAUUAACCAAAGACCUCCUGAAGUACCUCUAGAAGGAACAACAAAACCAUUAGUAACAUCAAACCUGUUAACAAGAUCAAUAGAACGAACUUUGGAGGACUUGAUUUCCGAAACAAAAGUUAUCUGAGCCUUCGUGGACCGCAUCAAAUUAGCCAGGUAUAGCAUCCGCUCAUUGCCGAGGCCCCUGCCCAUACCUCGACAAUUCCAAGCAAUGGCCCUCAUGGCGGAGCUAGCAUCAGCACAGGCCCCAGAGCAGCCAAGAGCGGACAGGAAGAAAAGCAACAACCGGUACUUGGAUCUUGAGGCCACCGAACGGAUCUGGGAGGAAGAGGACUAAAGGAAAGGAAUCCAGAGAGAAAAGAGAUGGGAUGGGGUGAAUCAGGCUACGAAAGACGGGGGAUCCAAGAGGCGACAACUGAGAUGGGCAGGAUUAGAAGAAUCAGGGGAUCAGCACCGAGCCGCCAAGAUGAAGCACGGGCCAGCAAUCAGGAAAGGGAUAAAAAGAGGAUCAAGGGGAAGAUAAGGAAAUAAAGAGAUUAGAUCAGAGGAGAGGGGGGAGGAAGGGCAGCAUCCGCCAAUCACCAGAUACUCACCGGAAGUCGCCACCGCUUUUCACCUUUCAUGCUCUGGAUUUGAGAACAGAGGCGGAGCUUGUGGAUGAGGGACAUGCUAUUGAAAUAACAGGAGAAAAGAUGGGAGAGCAAAUAGAUCAGAGGAGAAUCAAGAAGGACGUAGAGGAAAGGAUCAAGGGGAAUGGAGAAUCGGCACAACGCCAGUCGCCGGACAUCCGCCGGAGUUCGCCACGGGGGCAGAGUCGUGGGGCUGUUUUCCUUUCUUGCUUCUUGAAUUUCCGCCCGGUUCCUCCCAUGGGCAUCUCUAUCUAUUUCAACCAACCUUCCGAUAGAAGUCCACUUGCAUUGCUGAUAAUCUGUAUCUAUUGUAAGAUGCGAACUAGAAAGUGAGAGAUAGCAACGAAGAAGAACAUCGGAAGAAGAGCUAGCUAUCUGUACUACGAAUGGAUCGUUUACUUGGGACUUGUAUAUGUCCAGAUACACUUACCGUAUAUACCUCACACCAAGAGUUAUCUAGCCCCACCGAAAAACAGAUAUACACAGCAUUACGUAUUAUACAACAUAAAAAGACUAUAUACACAAAAAUAUGUAUGAAUCUUGGCGCACAGCCCACAAAGUGGGUGCCGUAAAUCCUCUCCCUCGCAAACAUGCAAGGAUCCGUUUGCAAUCUCAACAACUCCACAAAUCGCACAUGAUUCCACCCUUUUCUGUUUUCUCCACCAAAUGGCGUGAAAAAGAAGGGCCUUGAGGGCAUCGCGCUCGCUCACCACGAGAGAAGCAGCUGCACAGCCGAAUAUUUGCUAUUUUGCUUGUUCCGGGUCACUGCUCGGCCGUGGCGUGACUGGCUAGCUAGCCAAAGCCAAGCGAGGAGAAAAAGGCAGCACCACGAAAUGUUCUCUGCAACUUCUUUACGGUUUGCCCGGCCGGGGCCCAGGCACUUUCACGACAAAUCCAACACGUGUGAAAUGGCGUAUAUAGUAUAGUCGACACAGCACUCACAGUGACGGACAUCACUAGACCUUCGGGAAAAAGAAAGAACUCAGACCAUCACAUCGCAUCCAUGCACACCACUUUCCUUCUUUCUUCCUCGAAUAUCUGCAGCAGUAGAUUAAUAACGAGCCAACAGUAACAGAGGUACGCAUGAUCACGGGUAAUUGAUGGCUUCAUUAGUCAAAGAUCGUCUACCUCCACCUAAGUAAAGUUAGCUUCUCUCUGGCAGGGCAGGCAGGUUCUACACUGUUCAAAUGCACAAGCGUGCGUGCAACUUUUUCAACUCGUCGAUCGUGCGUGUCACUAUGUGUGUUCCAACAUUAUUCCGUAAGUCUAUGGCUUAAGCAAUCACCUAUUAUUGCAUGCCUUCUAGCAAUAAGUAGUACUACAAGUAACUACUGGUGCAUUUUGCACGCAUGAGGCAUUCUUCAUUCUUCGGGGGAAAUGGUUAGGGAUAAAGUGAUGUGCAUGCUGUGCCGGCCAACCUUGCUAAGCACGUCCCCAUAUGAUUAGUGUGCCUUUUUCCAGACUUCCAGGCGUGUAUCUCAGGUAUUAGAGCAUCUUUAGCCGCGCCCCAACAGACACCCCUCCCCCGACAUUUUUUUAGCGUCGGCGCCCAAAAAUCGGCCCAGUCGUGCCCCCAGGAGCCCGUUUUUCAUCGGUUUGGGUCGAAACUGGCGCCGGCGGACCCAGGCCGAACCCGGCGUGCUGGGGGCGCCCCGGUGCACCGGGCAAUCGUUUUUGACGCGAAAGAAUGGCGGGCCCGUCGAGUCAGCGACCCCGCGCCUCGUCGUCCUCAUCGUCUCGGUUUCCCGUGGGGAAUCAAUGCCAAGGCUGCCGCCGGUCAGCCUUCCAUUGAUUCCUCACGGGCGGCGCGGUGAGGCGACGCGGCCCCUCCCGCCACGCGUACACACGACGCCGCCCCCCGGCCGCUAUAUAAGCCCCCCCUGCCUCGCCGUCGAACGCACCCCACCAUCAGCCCUCCUCUCUCCCCAUGCACGCACAGCUGCCGCCGCCUCUGAACUCUCUUUCCCCCCUUCUUCGACGAAGACGAUGUGCGAAAGGUUCCCCGGCGAUGGGGCGGCGGCCAAUGGCUUCAGUCACCACUCUCUCCACGAGUGGGAAACCCAUCUCCUCCACCAAGUGAACAAUCCGGCGGCUCCUGACGUCCGCGCGUCGGGGCGGUGGCGGCUCAGCGCCGGGGGCGUCCCCGUUCCCCCGCUGCCCGACGUCGAGCACCCCACUACUUCCAGGCCGAGAUUGACCGCGUGCGGGUGCCUCCACCAACAACGCGCCACUGGUGAGGGGGCGCAACAACAGCGACGGCCGCCGCCUGUGGUAGGGCGCCCCCGGCAGCAAGCUACAGGACGUCCUCGAGUACCUCGAGGGCGGCAACGACCCGCCGCUGACGUACCCGGCUGCCCCCGCUGGAGUUGCGGUCCAUGGAUGCCAAGGAGGAUGCUGGGCGGGUCCUCCUCCUGCUCCUCCCACUCCUCCGGGUCACCGGCGCUCUUAAGCGUCAAGGCCGAGCCCGUGGAAACGCCGUUGGGCCGGCGCAACCGCGGCAUCGUCAUCAACGAGGGCGGCGGCGGUUCCUCGGGCGGCGGCGACGGUUCCUCCCGCCUCGUCAGGCCGAAGACAGAGCCGGUGCUCGGCCCCGUCAAGCGCGAGCACAACGACGAGGCCGCCAUGAAGUGGGCGCGGGAGGACUGGGCGCGGACGAAGAGGGAGCGCCAGCGCCGCGCCCUCGAGGAGAUCGCCGCUCGACGGCGUGGCCGCGACGAGGGAGGCGUCGUCGUCCUCGACGACAGCGACAACGAGGUGCCGCCGCCGGCUAAACCAAUCCGCCAAGAGUACCCUGGAUAGGAGUCGACCAGGGACGGCCGCGUGAAGGAUGAGAAGAAGGACGGCUUCGGCGUGUUCUACGAGUUUUUCGGCCAGUAGGCGCGGCCUUUUUUCCUUCCUUUUUGUAUUGUUAUGUUUCUACAUGUAAAAAAGCUGUGAACCGCCUUCGCCGAAUGUAUGUCAUGUUUGCUGAAAUUUGUCUAAUUAUGUUUUAAAAAAACUUGAAAAAGACCGUCUGGGACCGACCUGGGGCGGCGGCUGGGAAGCCGAUUAUUCCCACGCCGAAAAUACCGCCGGUUCACCUUCAAACGGCGCUUUUUUCUAGCCCUUCAGAGGCCGAACAGCUAGUGAUGCUCUUAGAGCGACCGAAGAAUCAAGGCCUAAGGAUCGAUGCGAUUUGGUUUGCUUUAAAGAUGCUAUAAUUUGAGACGUCCCCGGGUUUAUUAAUUAAUUAGGCUGAUGGCCUGCAGGUACUGGUGGUCAAUUGAUUCUGGAGUUGCGUGCUUAAUUUGGAACCUAAAGAACAUGGAGAUCUCUUGAUUCCUGAUUAUUUUGGAACCUAAAUAUUCUUGCAAGGCUCGUGGUAUUUUGAAUACCUUUACUUGUUCGAGUCCUUUGCCGCUUAUCAGCUUCUAUGGGGGAGAAAGGCGAACAUUGGGCCUUGUGUAAAAAACAAGUGUAAUCCUUCAAAUGUUUCUUUUGUAGGGCAUCGGUUUUUUUUUUUGGUGGACGCAAAUUUGUUUCCGCCGCUCCAAGUAAAAAGAAUAUUUAUAUAUGGUAGUUUUGUGUGUGAUCAUACAUGUUUUAUCACAAUUUUAAACAUUCUAUUUUUUGCGGGGAAAACAUUCAAUGUUAUGAAAUUUUGAACUGAUGCGGAUUGGCUGGCCAAGCACUCAGGACUUGUCAUGCCAAGUGUUGUGUUCUAUCUUAAAUGCUACUCCCUCCGUCCUAAAUUACUCGUCGCUGAAAUGGAUGUAUCUAAAACUAAAAUACAUCCAGAUACAUCCAUACGUGCGACAAGUAAUUCGGAGCGGAGGGAGUACUAGCUACUCCGUAAAUAAAUUACUAGUAAGAAAGUGCCAAAGCGUGCGUGCAUAAUUGACUUAAUAAGCAGAAGAUUGUACGUUUUACUAUGAGUACUGAAAUUGUUGAAAAUAAUAUAAUACUAGUUAGACCCGAAUCACCACUAGCUACUCCGUUUUUGUGCUCAUGGAUGCUGGCCUGAAGAUUCGGGUCUCGCAGUCGCAGUACACAAGUACUGCCGACUCAUGGUGGCCUCUCCAAUUGUCUGUCCAUUUGCAAGGAUACGAAGUAUAGUUGGGAAUAUAUAUAGCUAGCUGGCACUACAGUCCCUCGGUACCUCGUGUGACGUGUGACGUCUGUGCACUGCAUUAAUGUGAAACUUUUCGUCGAUUGCGCGUACACACACGCGUACAGAUGCGCUCGCGUCUGUCUCUUGUAAUCUCAAGAAGAAUAUGCUUAGCAAUUGGGUUUAUGGCAUAGCAUCGUAUCGCUGAAGCCUGAAGGGCUGUCAUCACAGUUUCUCCGGACGGCUCGCAAACACCUUUCCUUUGUCGUGAUCACGCACUAGCUAGCCAUAUCUAUUUCCAUGUGACACUACGUGCCCUAGUUACCAUCCAGGUUUGUCUCGCCAAAGUGCCCCAACCUUAGCAAUCUGAUUAUCUAGCAACUGUAGCAAGCUAGCUAGCCAGUGUGCGAGCUUUUUCGCCAACCUUUUUAAUCUUGCAUGCAAUGUACGUACUUCCUCCGUUCCAAAAUAGAUGACCCAACUUUGUACUAAGGUUAGUACAAAGUUGGAUCAUCUAUUUUGGAACGGAGGGAGUACGAUUUAUUGGUUGCAACUCCCAUAUUUGGCACAUUGUUCGAUCGAAAGAAAUUUUAGCUUCUAACAGAAGUCAGCUACACAAGGAUUUAGGAACCUACUGUUAUACUGGCUAGCUCUUCAAUACUCCCUCCGUUCCUAAAUAAUUGUCUUUUUAGAGAUUUCAACAAGUGACUACAUACGGAGCAAAAUGAGUGAAUCUACACUCUAAAAGAUGUCUACAUACAUCCGUAUGUUGUAGUCCAUUUGAGAUGGCUAGAAAGACAAUUAUUUAGGAACGGAGGGAGUAGAUAUUAAGAUCCGAUCGCGAAUGGGCCAAAAGUGGAUUUUUUUUUUGAAACGGAGGCAAAUGCUUUGCCUCAUCCAUUAAUUAAGAUAGAAAAGAGUUUGUUACAAGACACCCAACAAACACGGCAUGCGGAUUACUCGCGUAAAAUAAAGGACCCUAGCUUCUUUGCGCCGGCGAUGACCCAAAGGUUGGCCUCUGUAGAAAUGAAGGAGAGCAAAUUGGCGGUGGAGCACUCUUAUGCUUAAACACUCUUGCGUUACGCUCGUUCCAAAUCGUCCAUGAGACGAGCAUAGUGAGGGAGGCCUUGGCUUGGCGGUUCGGCGUACCAUCGGCGCAGGUGCUAGCCCACCACUCGUCCACCGAGUCGAACAGGGGCCAAGCGGAAGUGUCAAGCCCAUGCAUGAGGAAUUUCUCAAUGACCAAAGACCAAAGACGCCGGGUGUAGCGGCAGCACCGUGCUGCAAAGAGGGCAGAGAUCGCAAUUAGGCCACCCACGCUUUACCAAUCUAUCCGCCGUCCAAACUCUGUCUUGAAGGGCCAACCAAGCAAAAAAAUUGACUUUGGGGUGGUGCCCAAACCUUCCAAACCAUUUUGUCCAUGGGAGAAAGGACCGUCCCUAGGAACUGCGCCCUAUACGCGGAGGCCGCCGAGUAUUGCCCACAGGUAGUGUGUUUCCAAAGGAUAUCAUCUUCGUUGAGCUCGUCAAGAUGGACCUCAUUUAAUAUCAUCCAUAGAGCGAAGAAUUGCGUGNNNNNNNNNNNNNNNNNNNNNNNNNNNNNNNNNNNNNNNNNNNNNNNNNNNNNNNNNNNNNNNNNNNNNNNNNNNNNNNNNNNNNNNNNNNNNNNNNNNNNNNNNNNNNNNNNNNNNNNNNNNNNNNNNNNNNNNNNNNNNNNNNNNNNNNNNNNNNNNNNNNNNNNNNNNNNNNNNNNNNNNNNNNNNNNNNNNNNNNNNNNNNNNNNNNNNNNNNNNNNNNAGAAUCCAAGUGUUGUGCUUCAUGGCCUCCCUCACCUUCCAAUUCUUUCUCUUGGAGGCUUCAUAGAUGGGCGGGGCAAUGUCUUUAGGCAUUCUCCCAAAGAGCCAAGGAGAGUCCCAAAAGGGGGUCCUCGCACCGUUACCAACGGUGAUGGUGGUGGAAGCAUAGAAAAAGUUGAGGUCCUCCUCAUUACAUGGGUUUCCCAUUCCCACCCACAUUUUGGUGGGCUCCUUCCGUUCGUACCACGGCCAUCCCAAACGAAGAGCCCUCAUAAACUUGUCAGUGUUGAGGACCCCGAGAGCUCCGUACUCAAGGGGCCGGCAAACAUUCUCUCAAUUCACCUUGCAUUUGGCCCCCGUUGUCUUGUCCGAACCGGACCAAAGGAAAGCUCUCUCGAGCUUGUUGACGCUGUGAAGGAUGGUUGGUGGGAUGACCAACUGGGUGGCGGGGUAGACUAGUUGGGAAGUGAUCACGGACUUGAGAAGGGUCGUACGUCCAAUUGUGGUGAUGUUCUGGCCAUCAUACGUUGAUAACUUGCUUGCAACUUUGUCCAUGAGAAAUUGGAGAUCCACCAACUUUAGCUUCCAAACGGAGAGGGGGAGCCCCAAGUAUCGCAGUGGGAAAGAGGUCCGUGCAGCCGGCAAACUCUGAGUUAAGCGUCCCAAAUCAAGGUGGAAAAGUGGAUUUUCAUUAUUGAGUGCCAUGGCAAUGCCCCAACAUCAUUGUUGUCCACGGAAGGAUGAAAAAGAAGCAAAAAGGCAACAUCACAGUUCGAUCUAGCAUAGCUAUCGAGCAAUGCAUGAUUUGUUUCUAAAUAUGCAACGCAUGCUGAAGCCAUUUGCCUCCCUCAGGCCCUCCCUCUUUUUUAAAGCCGGCCCAGCAAAAAGUUGCACCUAGCAUUUACACACACACACAACAAAAAAAAGUUGAUCAACAGCAGCCUAGGCAUGUGAGAAAUCGGGCAGAAGUCAGUUUUGAUGGGUGGCAUUAUUUCUUUUGAGCAAUCAGAUCAUAUGGCCACUUUUGGGUGGCUUUUCUUUUCAGCAUUACAUGUCACUUUGCUAAGGUUUGAAACAGACUAAAAGUUGAUAGAAUUUUAGAUGGGCCCGUGAGCUUAGCUUUGUCCAUACGCAGAGACACUGAAACACAUUCCAGUUGCAUGAUCAAAUCGGCUAGACAUAUACUCCCUCCAUUUCUAAAUAUAAGCCUUUUAGAGACUUCAAUACAAACUAUAUAUAUACGGACAUAUAUAGACAUAUUUUAGAGUGUAUAUUCACUUAUUUUGCUAUGUAGUCCUUUAUUGAAAUCUCCAAUAAAGACUUAUAUUUAGGAAGGGAGGGACUAUAUAUACUAGUGAUCUUCCUUGGUACAACAAGAAUUAAUUAAGUCAGUGCUGCCAAAUUAGCAUGUAACAUACAAUAUCACAGUGUAUAAGGCUGCAUCACAAAGGCGCCAAAAAAAGUACGUGGUGCGCUAUUCUAUAUAAGCACGUCUCGGCAUAUACAUUGCAUGAUGCAGCUGGAAUCCAUGGAUUUGCCGGAACCAAAUCAAAUCUACCUGAUCACUUGGUAUUUUAAUCAGCGAGAGCGUAUGGAACAAAAGAAGCUAGAUAUCGCAAUCUAGAUCGACAGAGUUGAUUAAGCAAACACUCGCUCGUGACACAUAAGUUAGUGCCGUCCAGGAGAAAUUUAUGCCCAACACCGUCCAUGUUUUUGGGUGUCUGUCAUGUCCAUGUUUCAUUCGUAAACGCGUACCAGGUACUAGCUAGAAAGAUACAGCCACAGGUACUUACCUAGCAAGAACAGAAAUUUGUGCUAGCUAGCUGCAUCAACUAAGCAGUAUGUUAAUUUAUUCGUUGGAUUUGUCCUAGCUACCGUUCGAAGCAACAAGAUCACACAUAUCUGACCAUUGGAUUUGCGAGCUAGGUAGAAACACUACCGUACCGGCCGGCCGGCUGACCUGUGAUACAUGCAGACUGAUUUGUGGCAAUGUGUCAUUUUACAGAGUAAAAUUUAAACCCCAGAGACACAAUUAAUCAUCCAGCCGACCUGACUUUGGCACUGCACCAAAAAAUCCUCAGACCGGCCAAAUUAAUUGUCGGCUAAACGAUCGCGUCUUUCCGUAUCACUCCCAAUCAUCAAAUCUAGUCACCACCCAUUAAGCUUUUGCUUUUGCUUGGCAGCUAGCUAGGUGCAUAUGUACAUUUGCCCUCUUCGAUUUGCAAUUGCUUUUGUCACAGUACUGCAUGCAACUGGACAGGUAGCACAUUAAUCAUUACAAACCAUAGGAUAUUGUGUACUUUCAACAGCAACAACCACAUAUCAGUUGCAACCAGAAAAUUGAAAGUGACAUUUCCGAGAGGCAGGUACGGCGCCGACGUGUGAAACCGGCAAACCAAACUACAAAAGGGACUAAUUGAUUUAUUAAACUGCGCUUAGCAAAUGUACUGGCUUUGAAGGAGGAAGCUUCCAUGCGUCUUACGCCAACAAAACGUCAUGCAUCUACACGUACGUAUAAUCUUAACCAUAGCAAAUACUGCGAAGCAACCGAGAGAAGUCGAUCGAUCGAUCGAUUGAUGUAACGUAACGUUUUUAAGUAAUGGCCGCCACGUAUGAUUGACUAUGAAUCGACUGUGCCCUUUGGGUUCUUUCUCUCUGUCCUUGUCUCCACCGAUCCUCUUGAAAAAGCGCUCGCCCGGGAAGAAUCUCAGCUGGCGCACUGACAUGUGCUUGACUAGGCACGUAGUAAGUACACAAACACACACAUGGUCUUUCCCUCCUUGGUAGCUCAGUUUUGCACCCAACGCAUGCAUGUGCUUGGACGCUUGGUACGUAAUAAAGUUAAAUGAAUCAGCUAAGAUAUGCAUACAAUUUCGUUGAGCACGUACAGAGACAUAGUGUCUCUGCACGUCGCCGGAAGCGGCAUCCACGCAGACAUGUGCAGCCACGAGCAUGCAAUGCAUAUGCACCGCGAACCGGAGACCCACGGUGAAAGGUAACGAUGAGUUAAUGACCCAUUCUUUUUGGAAGAACAUAUACGUCCUUAAUUGCGUAGGUAGGCCAUAGAUUAGUCUUCACAAGGUAACUAAUAAAGCUUCAUCACGCCACAUACAUCCCUCGAAACAAACUUUCACCCCGCUUUAUAUAUAAAGCAACAACCUAACAUAAUAGACGGCCGAAUGAUACAAGGUGAUGAAGUAGCCCUCAUACAAUGCCGAUCCCAAGAUAAUCAGAUUACACAGUAAAUACGCUAUCGAGAGAGAGCAUAGAGAGAUCAGAGUACAACGCCAUGCAACACACCUAACCUCCACGACAACGAUUGGGGUGGAUAAUGGCGCGAACGUCGCCGCUACCGAGUCCACCAUGGACAAGGGUCUUCACCCAGAACCCUGACACGAAAAGGAGAACCACGACAACAUCUUUAGGAAGAGAGUGCCACCCGCGAGCGUCGCCGUCGUCGGCGUCAAAGUGCGAAGCUUUCACUCGGCAGCUCCACCGUGUCACCACGAGGCCUCCAGGACACACGCGAUGAGGAUGGAUCCCCAGAUCUGGAUCGGGGCGCCACCACUGCCAAAGACAGAAAACACGCUCGGGCUACCCGCUGCUACACCUCUUACCGCCCACACAACCAACAGGGAAAACCGCCAUGGUGCCCCGACGGAGAGCCAACCAUGCAGACCGCCAUCCUGAGCCGCCACCCCGACAUCCAUGUUCGAGGCAACGCCCACUGCUCACAUCAUGAAGCACCCACCAAAGUAGGAAGAGUAAAAAAGGUUCCUCAAAAAAGAGAGUAAAAAAGGUAACUCCUUGGAGUCCUAGCCCGGCAUUAGCCAUGGAGUCUGGGUCAGCGCCUUCACCGUAGGAGGCAACCACGCCUGCGUCCAUUGCCAAUCUCAGUGGACCGGAGGAUACACAACCCCGCGGCUACUGACGGUCGUCGCUGAUCUCGCUCGCAUGACACCAUGCCUGUGGCCUCUGGCACCGAUUUGCACAACCAAGGAGCGAUGUCCCGACCACCACCAUCGACCAUUGUACCAGUGUGGAGAGGGAUCCCAUCGCUCACGAGCACCAACCAGACUGAGCCCACCAUCGUCUACCAAGAGCCAGAGCUCCAACCCGUCCCGGGUCAACAUGGCAGUCGGGUCAGGUUUGGUCGGGUUGACCUCUCCCAAACCCAUGCCCGAUUCUCUAGUCGGGUCCAUCACCCGCCCAUGACACUACGCAUGGGUCAAAGUUCAGACCCAUGCCCGAACCCGUCGGGUAACCCGGCCCACUCAGGCACCCAUCGGGUCCGUGUUAAUGUUAAAAUAAUUUUAAUUUUGCUCUUUCCAAGCGUUUUUAAGUUAAAUUAAUUUCGUUUUUUUCCGAAUGGAAAGGGGCAAAAAAUAUCUUUGCAAGGUUACCGGAAUGGAACACACGAACAAACUCUGCAUCGAGGUGGUUCUGGUUCUUAUUUUUAUUCGAAAUGGAGGUUAACCCCCGGCCUCUGCAUCAGAAUGAUGCAUACGUCCAUAUUAUUAAUAAGCAAAGGUUGAACAAAGUCUUCAGGUCUGAAAAGAAAUAAAUGCUCACAUAGAGCAAAAACACACAAAAACAGGAUAGCCACAACCGGCAGGCAAAAGAGAAGAUAGGAAGCUUAACUCCUAUCCUAUUACAUGACCGCCAUCCAAACCGGUUAAAAAUAGCCCGUUCUACCGUCUCCCACCGGAUAGACCCAGUAACCAUACGCUCCCUGGCAUCCGUCGGAGUGAGUAGCAACCACAUACGGAUCACCGAAGUGGCCCAGAAAAUAACCUGCAAGAAACGAAUAUUUGUUGUUCUGUUAAAAACCAAAUCAUUUCCGCAGUUCCAUAAUGCCCAUAAUAAAGCACACACUCUUACACGGAUAUGUCUCGCCGUUUCUGAAUCUAUUCCAUCUAACCACGUCCCAAAUAACGUGUUGAUAGAAUUCGGAGGAGUAAUAUUAAAUGCUAUGUGGACAGACCGCCAUCAAUUUUUUGCCAUUGGGCAGUCAAGAAAGAGGUGUUUGAUGGACUCAUCAUGAGCACAGAAGCAACAUCUUCUAGAACCUGUCCAGUUGUGUUUUGCCAAAUUGUCCUUAGUUAGAAUGACUUGUUUAUGGACAAAUAAUACGUCUCCAACGUAUUUAUAAUUUUUGAUUGUUCCAUGCUAUUAUAUUACCCCUUUUUGGAUAUUUAUGGGCUUUAUUUUACACAUUUAUAUCAUUUUUGGGACUAACCAACUAACCGGAGGCCCAGCCCAUAUUGCUGUUUUUUUACCUAUUUCAGUAUUUUGAAGAAAAGGAAUAUCAAACGGAAUGAAACCUUCGGGAGCGUGAUUUUUGGAACGAACGUGAUCUAGGGGACUUGGAGUGCAAGUCAAGAAGCAGCCNNNNNNNNNNNNNNNNNNNNNNNNNNNNNNNNNNNNNNNNNNNNNNNNNNNNNNNNNNNNNNNNNNNNNNNNNNNNNNNNNNNNNNNNNNNNNNNNNNNNNNNNNNNNNNNNNNNNNNNNNNNNNNNNNNNNNNNNNNNNNNNNNNNNNNNNNNNNNNNNNNNNNNNNNNNNNNNNNNNNNNNNNNNNNNNNNNNNNNNNNNGUGGGCCCUUCGGGCGGCCGCCGACGUACUUCUUCCUCCUAUAUAUACCUACGUACCCCGAAAACAUCCAGGGGCACCAUAAAACACAAUUUUCACCACCGUAACCUUCUGUAUCCGCGAGAUCCCAUCUUGGAGCCUUCGCCAACACUCUGCCGGAGGGGGAAUCGACCACAGAGGGCUUCUACAUCAACAUCCUUGCCCCUCCGAUGAGCUGUGAGUAGUUUACCACAAACCUACGGGUCCAUAGUUAUUAGCUAGAUGGUUUCUUCUCUCUUUUUGGAUCUCAAUACAAUGUUCUCCCCCUCUCUUGUGGUGUGUUUGUCGAGAUCCGAUGAAUUGUGGGUUUAUGAUCAAGUUUAUCUAUAAAUAAUAUUUGAAUCUUCUCUGAAUUCUUUUAUGUAUGAUUGAGUUAUCUUUGCAAGUCUCUUCAAAUUAUCAGUUUGGUUUGGCCUACUAGAUUGAUCUUUCUUGCCAUGGGAGAAGUGCUUAGCUUUGGGUUCAAUCUUGCGGUGUCCUUACGCAGUGACAGAAAGGGUUGCAAGGCACGUAUUGUAUUGUGGCCAUCGAGGAUAACAAGAUGGGGUUUAUAUCAUACUACUUGAGUUUAUCCCUCUACAUCAUGUUAUCUUGCUUAAUGUGUUACUCUGUUCUUAUGAACUUAAUACUCUAGAUGCAGGCAGGAGUCGGUCGAUGUGUGGAGUAAUAGUAGUAGAUGAAGGAAGGAGUUGGUCUACUUGUUAUGGACGUGAUGCCUAUAUACAAGAUCAUGCCUAGAUAAUCUCAUAACUAUGCGCUUUUCUAUCAAUUGCUCGAUAGUAAUUUGUUCACCCACCGUAAUACUUAUGCUAUCUUGAGAGAAGCCACUAGUGAAACCUAUGGCCCUCGGGUCUAUCUCUUAUCGUAUUUGCUUUCAAUCUACUUUUAUUUGCAUCUUUACUUUUUGCAUCUAUAUUAUAAAAUACCAAAAAUAUAUUUAUCUUAGCAUACUAUCUUUAUUAGAUCUCACUUUCGCAAGUGGCCGUGAAGGGAUUGACAACCCCUUUAUUGCGUUGGUUGCGUGUUCUCAGUUUGUUUGUGUAGGUGCGUGGGACUUUUGAGGAGCCUCCUACUGGAUUGAUACCUUGGUUCUCAAAAACUGAGGGAAAUACUUACGCUACUAUUGUUGCAUCACCCUCUCCUCUUCGAGGAAAACCAACGCAAGCUCAAGACGUAGCAAGAAGGAUUUUUGGUGCCGUUACCGGGGAGGUCUUCGCUCAAGUCAAUACAUAUCAAGUACCCAUCACAAACCCAUCUCCCUCGCAUUUACAUUAUUUGCCAUUUGCCUCUUGUUUUCCUCUCCCCCACUUCACCCUUGCCGUUUUAUUCGCCCUCUCUUUCCCAAUCUUCUCCUUUCUUUUUUGCUUGCCUUUUUCUGUUUGCUUGUGUGUUGGAUUACUUGUUGCCAUGGCGCAAGAUAAUACGAAAUUGUGUGAUUUCUCGAAUACCAAUAAUAAUGAUUUCCUUAGUACUCCGAUUGCUCGUCUUAAUGAUGUUGAGUCUUGUGAAAUCAAUACUGCUUUGUUGAAUCUUGUUAUGAAAGAUCAAUUCGCCGGCCUUCCUAGUGAAGAUGCCGCUACUCAUCUAAACAAUUUUGUUGAUUUGUGUGAUAUGCAAAAGAAGAAAGAUACGGAUAACAAUAUUGUUAAAUUGAAGUUAUUUCCGUUUUCGCUUAGAGAACGUGCUAAAGUUUGGUUUUCGUAUUUGCCUAAAAAUAGUAUUGAUUCUUGGAACAAGUGCAAAGAUGCUUUUAUCUCUAAGUAUUUUCCUCCCGCUAAGAUCAUCACUCUUAGGAACGAUAUUAUGAAUUUUAGACAACUUGAUCAUGAGCAUGUUGCCCAAUCUUGGGAAAGAAUGAAAUUGAUGCUUCGCAAUUGCCCUACUCAUGGUUUGAAUUUAUGGAUGAUCAUACAAAAUUUUUAUGCCGGUUUGAACUUUGCUUCUAGAAACCUUUUAGAUUCGGCCGCGGGAGGCACGUUUAUAUCACGUUAGGAGAUGCUACAAAACUUCUUGAUAAUAUUAUGGCUAAUUAUUCUCAAUGGCACACCGAAAGAUCUUCUAGUAAAAAAGUGCAUGCAAUAGAGGAAAUCAAUUUUUUGAGUGGAAAGAUGGAUGAACUUAUGAAGAUGUUUGCUACUAAAAAUACUCCUCUUGAUCCCAAUGAUAUGCAUUUGUCUUAUUUGAUUGAGAAUAAUAAUGAAUCUAUGGAUGUGAAUUUUGUUGGUAGGAAAAGUUUUGGAAAUAACGCUUAUAGAGGAAACUUUAAUGCUAGAUCGUUCCCUAGUAAUUCCUCUAAUAAUUAUGGAAAUUCCUACAAUAAUUCUUAUCAUAAUUUUAAUAAGAUGCCCUCUGAUUUUGAGAAUAGUGUGAAAGAAUUUAUGAUUUCUCAAAAGAAUUUAAUGCUUUGCUUGAAGAAAAAUUGCUCAAAGUUGAUGAUUUGGCUAGGAACGUUGAUAGACUUUCGCUUGAUGUUGAUUCUCUUAAACUUAGAUCUUCUCCUCCUAAGCAUGAUAUCAAUGAGUCUCACAAAGUAAUGAGAAUUUCCAUUGAUGAGUGUAAGGAAAGAACCGCUAGAUUGUGUUCUAAGAAAGAAAGCUUUAUAAAAGCGUGGUCUUCUAGUUUCCAUGAAAAUAAUGAUGAGGAUUUUAAAGUUAUUGAUGUGUCUCCUAUUAGAUCUAUGUUUUGCAAUAUGAAUUUUGAUGAUUAUGGGACUGAUGAUGAAUCAACUUUUCCUAGAAGGCAUCCCAAGAAUUCGGAGUCUUUAGAUCUUAAUACUAAAAUUGGUAAAAUGAGAUUGGAGAAUCCUCAACUUCUAAUAACAUUGAACCUACUAUCUUGGAUUUCAAGGAAUUUGAUUAUGAUAAUUGCUCUUUAAAAGGUUGUAUUUCCUUAUUGCAAUCCGUUUUUAAUUCUCCUCAUGCUUAUAGUCAAAAUAAAGCUUUUACCAAACAUAUUGUUGAUGCCUUGAUGCAAUCUUAUGAUGAAAAACUUAAUUUGGAAGUUUCUAUACCUAGAAAACUUAAUGAUGAGUGGGAACCUACUAUAAAGAUUAGAAUUAAAGAUUAUGAGUGUUUUGCUUUGUGUGAUUUGGGUGCUAGUGUUUCCACGAUUCCGAAAAUUUUAUGUGAUAUUCUAGGUUUCCAUGAUCUUGAUGAUUGCUCUUUAAAUUUGCACCUUGCGGAUCCACCAUUAAAAAACCAAUGGGAAGGAUCAAUGAUGUUCUUAUUGUUGCAAAUAGAAAUUUGGUUCCCGUGGAUUUUAUCGUUCUUGAUAUAUAUUGCAAUCUUUCUUGCCCUAUUAUUCUUGGUAGGCCUUUCCUUAGAACGAUUGGUGCGAUUAUUGAUAUGAAGGAAGGGAAUAUUAGAUUCCUAUUCCCAUUAAAGAAAGGCAUGGAGCACUUUCCAAGAAAGAAAGUCAAAUUACCUUAUGAAUCCAUCAUGCGGGCUACUUAUGAAUUUAGUGCCAAAGAUGGCACCCGUUAGAUCUAUCUUCGCUUUUAUGCCUAGCUAGGGGCGUUAAACGAUAGCGCUAGUUGGGAGGCAACCCAAUUUUCUUUAUGUUCUUUGUUUUUGCUCCUGUUUAGUAAAACAUCUUGCAUCUACCUUCUUCUUAGAUGUGUUUUUAUCUUUUAAUUAGUGUUUGUGCCGAGUAGAACCUAUAGGAUAACCUACGAUGAUAGUUGAUUUGAUUCUGCUGAAAAACAGAAACUUUGCACGCACGAAUAUAAUUUUGUUAAAUCACAGGAACGUGCUUUUGCGUUGAUUCUUUUUGAUGCUAUUCAAUAAACAAAUUGUUCAGGACUUCCUAUUUUGGUAGGAUUUUUAGAGUUCCAUAAAUUGGUGUUAGUUACAGAUUGCUACAGACUGUUCUAUUUUUGACAGAUUCUGUUUUUCGUGUGUUGUUUGCUUAUUUUGAUGCAUCUAUGACUAGUAAAAUAGUUUAUGAACCAUAGAGAAGUUGGAAUACAGUAGGUUUAACACCAAAAUAAAUAAAGAAUGAGUUCAUUGCAGUACCUUAUGUGGUGGUUUUGUUUUCUUUCACUAACGGAGCUUAUAAGAUUUCCUGUUGAGUUUUGUGUUGUGAAGUUUUCAAGUUUUGGGUAAAGCUUUUAUGGACUAUGGAAUAAGGAGUGGCAAGAGCCUAAGCUUGGGGAUGCCCAUGGCACCCCAAGAUAUUAAAGGAUAGCCAAAAGCCUAAGCUUGGGGAUGCCCCGGGAAGGCAUCCCCUCUUUUGUCUUCGUUCAUUGGUAACGUUACUUGGAGCAAUAUUUUUAUUCGCCACAUGGUAUGUGUUUUGCUUGGAGCGUCAUGUAUUAUAUUAGUCUCUGCUUUUUAGUUUAUCAUAAUGAUCUUUGCUGUACACACCUUUUGUGAGAAGCCUAUUUGAUUAAAAUUUGCUAGAAUACUCUAUGUGCUUCACUUAUAUCUUUUGAGCUUAAUAGUUUUUGCUCUAGUGCUUCACUUAUAUUUUUUAGAGCACGGUGGUGUCUUAAUUUUGAAGAAAUUUCUAGUCUCUCAUGCCUCACUUAUAUCUUUUUGAGAGUCUUUUAGAACAUCAUGGUAUUUGAUAUGGUUACAAAGUUGGUCUUAGAAUGAUGAGCAUCCAAGUUGAGUAUAAUAAAAACUAUCAUAGAAAAAGAAUUGGAUGCUAUGAUCAAUUUGAUGCUUGAUAAUUGUUUUGAGAUAUAAAGGUAGUAAUGUUAGGGUCAUGCUAGUGGGUAAUUAUGAAAUUGAGAAAUACUUUUGUUGAAGUUGGCAAGUCCCGUAGCAUGCACGUAUGGUAAAAGUUGUGUGACAAAUUUGUUGCAUGAGGUGCUCUUUUGAUUGUCUUCCUUAUGAGUGGCAGUCGGAGACGAGCGAUGGUUUUUUCCUACCAAUCUAUCCCUCUUGGGGCAUGCAUAGUAGUACUUUGCUUCGAGGGCUAAGUAGGCUUUUGCAAUAAGUAUAUGAGUUCUUUUGACUAAUGUGAGUCCAUGGAUAUAUGCACACUCAUCCUUUCACUUUGCUAGCCUUUAUUAUUACCGCGCAACUCUCGCCGGUAUCAUGAACCCUUUAUUUACCUUCCUCAAAAUAGCCACCAUACCUACCUAUGAUGGCAUUUCCAUAGCCAUUCCGAGAUAUAUUGCCAUGCAACUUUCCACCGUUCCGUUUAUUAUGACAUGUUCCAUCAUUGUCAUAUUGCUCUUUGCAUGGUCAUGUAGUUGACAUCGUAUUUGUGGCAAGGCCACUUUCAUAAUUUUCAUACAUGUCGCUCUUGGUUCAUUGCAUAUCCCGGUACACCGCCGGAGGCAUUCAUAUAGAGUCAUAUCUUGUUCCAGCUUUGAGUUGUAAUUCUUGAGUUGUAAAUCCAUAAAAGUGUGAUGAUCUUCAUUAUUAGAGCAUUGUCCUAGUGAGGAAAGGAUGAUGAAGGCUAUGAUUCCCCCACAAGUCGGGAUCAGACUUCGGACUUUACAAAAAAAUGAGAAAAGAAAAAAAAGGCCAAAAAAAGGCCAAAGAAAAAAAGAAAAGAAAAGAAAAAAUAAAAUGAGAGAAAAAAAGAAGGGACAAUGCUACUAUCUCUUUUUCCACACUUGUGCUUUAAAAUAGCACCAUGAUCUUCGUGAUAGAGAGUCUCCUAUGUUGUCACUUUCAUAUACUAGUGGAAAUUUUUCAUUAUAGAACUUGGCUUGUAUAUUCCAAUGAUGGGCUUCCUCAAAAUGUCCUAGGUCUUCGUGAGCAAGCAAGUUGGAUGCACACCCACUUAGUUUCUUUUGUUGAGCUUUCAUAUAUUUAUAGCUCUAGUGCAUCUGUUGCAUGGAAAUCCCUACUCACUCACAUUGAUAUCUAUUAAUGGGCAUCUCUAUAUAGCCCAUUAAUACGCCUAGUUGAUGUGAGACUAUCUUCUCCCUUUUUGUACUCACAACCACCACCAUAUACCACCAUAGUGCUAUGUCCAUGGCAUACGCUCAUGUAUUGCGUAAGAGUUGAAAAAGCUGAAGCGCGUUAAAAAGUAUGAAACAAUUGCUCGGCUCAUCAUCGGGGUUGUGCAUGAUGGGAGUAUUUUGUGUAAUGAAAAUGAAGCAUGGCCUAACUAUAUGAUUUUGUAGGGAUAAGCUUUCUUUGGCUAUGCUAUUUUGAUAGGAAAUGAUUAUUUGUUAGUAUGCUUCGAAGCAUUAUUAUUUUUAUGUUUUAUAAGCUUUUAUUUUGUAUCACAUGGUUCAGAACAUUCAUGCCACAAUCAAGACAAUUACAUUGAGAAUUAUGCUAGGUAGCAUUCCACAUCAAAAAUUUCUUUUUUAUCAUUUACCUACUCGAGGACGAGCAGGAAUUAAGCUUGGGGAUGCUUGAUAAGUCUCCAACGUAUCUAUAAUUUUUGAUUGUUCCAUGCUAUUAUAUUACCCCCUUUUGGAUGUUUAUGGGCAUUAUUUUACACAUUUAUAUCAUUUUUGGGACUAACCUACUAACCGGAGGUCCAGCCCAUAUUGCUGUUUUUUUGCCUAUUUCAGUAUUUCGAAGAAAAGGAAUAUCAAACGGAGUCCAAACGGAAUGAAACCUUCGGGAGCGUGAUUUUUGGAACGAACGUGAUCCAGGGGACUUGGAGUGCAAGUCAAGAAGCAGCCGAGGCCCCCAAGAGAUAGGAGGCCGCGCCCCCUGUAGGGCGCGCCCCCUGUCUCGUGGGCCCUUCGGGCGGCCACCGACGUACUUAUUCCUCCUAUAUAUACCUACGUACCCCGAAAACAUCCAGGGGCACCACGAAACACAAUUUCCACCAACGUAACCUUCUGUAUCCGCAAGAUCCCAUCUUGGAGCCUUCGCCGGCACUCUGCCGGAGGGGGAAUCAACCAUGGAGGGCUUCUACAUCAACAUCCUUGCCCCUCCGAUGAGCUGUGAGUAGUUUACCACAGACCUACGAGUCCAUAGUUAUUAGAUAGAUGGCUUCUUCUCUCUUUUUGGAUCUCAAUACAAUGUUCUCCCCCUCUCUUGUGGAGAUCUAUUCAAUGUAAACUCUUUUUGCAGUGUGUUUGUCGAGAUCCGAUGAAUUGUGGGUUUAUGAUCAAGUUUAUCUAUGAAUAACAUUUGAAUCUUCUCUGAAUUCUUUUAUGUAUGAUUGAGUUAUCUUUGCAAGUCUCUUAGAAUUAUCAGUUUGGUUUGGCCUACUAGAUUGAUCUUUCUUGCCAUGGGAGAAGUGCUUAGCUUUGGGUUCAAUCUUGCGGUGUCCUUACCCAGUGACAGAAAGGGUUGCAAGGCACGUAUUGUAUUGUGGCCAUCGAGGAUAACAAGAUGGGGUUUAUAUCAUAUUGCUUGAGUUUAUCCCUCUACAUCAUGUCAUCUUGCUUAAUGCGUUACUCUGUUCUUAUGAACUUAAUACUCUAGAUGCAGGCAGGACUCGGUCGAUGUGUGGAGUAAUAGUAGUAGAUGCAGGCAGGAGUCGGUCUACUUGUUAUGGACGUGAUGCCUAUAUACAUGAUCAUGCCUAGAUAAUCUCAUAACUAUGCGCUUUUCUAUCAAUUGCUCGAUAGUAAUUUGUUCACCCACCGUAAUACUUAUGCUAUCUUGAGAGAAGCCACUAGUGAAACCUAUGGCCCUCGGGUCUAUCUCUUAUCGUAUUUGCUUUCAAUCUACUUUUAUUUGCAUCUUUACUUUUUGCAUCUAUAUUAUAAAAUACCAAAAAUAUAUUUAUCUUAUCAUACUAUCUUUAUUAGAUCUCACUUUCGCAAGUGGCCGUGAAGGGAUUGACAACCCCUUUAUUGCGUUGGUUGCGAGUUCUCAGUUUGUUUGUGUAGGUGCGUGGGACUUUUGAGGAGCCUCCUACUGGAUUGAUACCUUGGUUCUCAAAAACUGAGGGAAAUACUUACGCUACUAUUGCUGCAUCACCCUCUCCUCUUCGAGGAAAACCAAUGCAAGCUCAAGACGUAGCAACAAACCACAUAAACACUUUAAUUUUUAAAGGCACUUUAAUUCUCCAAACAUGCUUUGAGCGAGGAAUAGGGUCAGUGUUUAUAAUAUCCAAAUACAUGGACUUAACUGAAAACUCUCCAUUCUUAGUUAGUUUCCAGUGCAAUUGAUCUGGCUAUUGAGAGCGGUGAACAUCCAUCAAUCUUCUCACAAGAUGGAGCCAAACUUCCCAACGGUUUCCCGCUAAAGUCCUCCUUAAUUGAAUAUUGAGAGGGUUGGACUGUAAUACUGUUGCAACGUAAGCAUCUCUUCACUGAACAAUAUUAUAGAGAGAAGGAUAUUGGAGUGCAAGGGGUGUCUCCCCUAACCAAUGUUCCUCCCAGAAUCUCGUGGUAAUACCAUUUCCAACUAUGAAUUUUGUCAUGUUGAAGAAAACUGAUCACUCUCAUCUGUCCCUUUCAAAAUGGUUUGUCGUUCGGUCUGACCGUCACCUAGGAUAAGGUGGUUCUUAUAUAGGCAUCCAUCCUUUCUCACUGUGCUUCCACUUUCGAGGCGGUACUAAUACCACAGAUGAUACCUUCGCUACUACUACUCGGCAGGUUAAUUUACACCAUCUAGGUGGGGAACACAAGCAGUGCGUUGGAUGCAUGGCCGAGCCGUUUUGAUGCACGGAGAAGCCGGUAAAGUACGCAUUGUGCAACUAACCUCAUGGAACAUAGUUUUGGGUUCUUUGCGGCUCUUGUCUAUACAAAAGAAAUCUCCGUUCUUAUAGGGAAAUACCCUUUGGUUCUUUGGUGUAUAAUACACCUAAUUUGGGAAAAUUAAUAACUUAUAGAAGUCAAAAAAGUUUAGAACUUUUUUAGUAUAAACUUGACUUCCUUUUACACUAGUAGUAUAUAAAUUUUCAUGAAUAAAAAUCACCAUUGAUUUUAGGGAAAAAAACAAAAAAUAUUGGUAUUAUAGGUCACCAUACAAAUUAUUUUUGGCUGAAUUUUUUGUUGAUUUAAAUGAAGUCAACGGGGUUUAUUCUUUUUUGGCAUUUUUUACAAGUACAAUCAAAGGUCAAAUUUAUUUCAAAAAUAAUUUCAACAUUUUUCAAAAAAAUUAUUUAUUUAUUAUAUUUUUUACAUAUAAGUUGUAUAAACAGCCAUAGACCAAGGACAUGUUUGGUUGCCCGCAUUAGGCCCAACCAGGCCGAGUUGGGCAAAGAAAAGUGUGUUUGGUUGGAUACGCGGUGGGCUGGCUCACAUGGGCACGAACCUUAAAGCCCAGAGCCUGGCUUGCUGGAAACCUCGAAUCGGUUUCCGGGGCGAGCCAAGCUCAGUGCAGCGCAAGCUCGCACUUGCCGCGGCAACCCGUAAACGAGUGGGGAUGGUGGGAGAUGCAAAUUGGGAGCGGCGGCACGAUGCCAAAUCNNNNNNNNNNNNNNNNNNNNNNNNNNNNNNNNNNNNNNNNNNNNNNNNNNNNNNNNNNNNNNNNNNNNNNNNNNNNNNNNNNNNNNNNNNNNNNNNNNNNNNNNNNNNNNNNNNNNNNNNNNNNNNNNNNNNNNNNNNNNNNNNNNNNNNNNNNNNNNNNNNNNNNNNNNNNNNNNNNNNNNNNNNNNNNNNNNNNNNNNNNNNNNNNNNNNNNNNNNNNNNNNNNNNNNNNNNNNNNNNNNNNNNNNNNNNNNNNNNNNNNNNNNNNNNNNNNNNNNNNNNNNNNNNNNNNNNNNNNNNNNNNNNNNNNNNNNNNNNNNNNNNNNNNNNNNNNNNNNNNNNNNNNNNNNNNNNNNNNNNNNNNNNNNNNNNNNNNNNNGGACGGCCACUUCCUCUAGCAUCACCACUAGCGACGGUGACUCGGAUUUGCGCAAGCAGUGGUGGGCGCGGUAGCAGCACUAUCCGAUAAAAGGAAGUGGUGCUCCCCUUCCUGUUGGCCACUGUCGGGUCGUCCUUGUUGGGGAACGUUGCCAUGGAAAACAAAAACAAAAUCUACGCACACGCAAUGAUCUAUCCAUGGAGAUGCAUAGCAACGGGGGGAGUGUGUAAGUGCAUCUAGUGCCACCCCUAGUUGGUUUUGGAGUAUUGACGACAAACCUGGUUGAUCGACUAAUGUGUUUGUGAGAAUUGUAGGAUAACAUAGGUAGUAGUCCCUCAUUGAUUUGGUUUACCUACCAGAGAUGACCCCUAAAAAUGUGUGAAGACAUUGAAGACAAUGGUGUUCUGUGAAGCUAUUCACGUUGAAGACUAUGACAUGAGAAGACAUUGAGUCAAGACUAUGGAGCGCGAAGAUUUAGUUGUUUUGUUGUGUCCUUUUCUUCUUUGUUGAGUCAUAGGAACCACCGCACUAUUAAGUGGGGUCCAAGUGAACAAAGUCAGAGUGACUGAAGUGAUGCUCAACCAAAUCCUAUGUCUUCGAGCGAAGACAAUGAGAGCAAAUCUUAUCCAUAGUCGGAUGAGUCAGCUUUACUUGUAGCCCAAGUCAAGUUGUCGCGUGCAUUUGAAAUAUGACCGUUGUGACACAUGUCAGUUCUUUAGUGACCCAGGGUCAUUUCAGACAAAUCAGAUCGGGUUGCCCAGUGGCUAUAAAUAGCAAACCCCCUACACCAUAAAUUGGUGGCUGCUUAGAGUUAGUACACGGCUUUUGUCGUUUGAGAGCAACCCACCGCCGAAGCUUUUGAGAGAGAAUCCUUGCGAGGACAAAGCCCAAACCACCCAGAGCCCAAAGAGUGUUUGGCAUCACUGAAGACUUUCUGUCCGCGUGAUCUGAAGACUUGUUACACUUGAGGACUGUGAAUCCUCCAGCCGGUUAGGCGUCACGUUCUGAGCAUCCGAGAGUCAUUGUGGAUUGCCGGUGAAUGGAGUCUGUGAAGGUUCGGAAGUCUACCUUGAAGACUUACCAGAGUGAUUGGGCGGGGACUAGGUGUCCUUAGCUCAAGGGGAAUAAGGUGAAGACGCAGUCUUCUGAGUUGAAUCUCAGCCUCCCUAACCAGACGUACAGUUGUAACAGCAACUGGAACUGGUCGAACAAAUCCCUGUCCUCCUGAUGCUACUGGUUCUAUCUCUCACUUCUCUCUACUUUCAGUUUGUCUUCGUGAAGUCAUUGCCUGCUUGCAUUAUCUGUUUGACUUCACUGUGUGACUACCUGUUCUGAUUGGCUUCAUACUAUCUUCCAUCCUGAUAUUUACUACCUUGCUGCUAUUAGUCUUCGUGCUUUCACUUUAUUGAAUACUUGACUAUGGCUUGUCUAGUGUAGUCUACCUUCCGCUGCAUACGAAUAGUGUCGUUUCUAUUGUGUGUCUUCGAAACUCCCAUGUUUUGAAGACUUUAAUAAAAAUCGCCUAUUCACCCCCCCUCUAGUCGAUAACUAGCCCUUUCAAUUGGUAUCAGAGCAAGGUAUUCCCUUGUUCUGUGUGAUUCGGUUUAACCACCUGGAGUUUUAGCUAUGUCGACUGUAGGGAUAAUCAAAGUCUCCGCUGUGUGCCCCAUCUUUGAUGGCACUGAAUAUCCCUACUAGAAGAAUAGGAUGCACAUGCAUCUUGAAGCCAUUGAUGUCGAUCUAUGGUAUGUUUCAAGAAUGGUGUUCCCAAGACUGGUGAAGGUGUCACCCCUGCUGACGUCAAGAAGUUCAUUCAACUGGACUCCACCGCCAAGAACAUCAUCUGUGGUCAUCUGACCAAAGGACAGUAUGGCCGUUGAUACGUCUCCAACGUAUCUAUAAUUGUUGAUUGCUCCAUGCUACUUUAUCUACUGUUUUGGACUAUAUUGGGCUUUAUUUUCCACUUUUAUAUUAUUUUUGGGACUAACCUAUUAACCGGAGGCCCAGCCUAGAAUUGUUGUUUUUUGCCUAUUUCAGUGUUUCGAAGAAACGGAAUAUCAAACGGAGUCCAAACGGAAUGAAACCUUCGGAAACGUGAUUUUCUCACCGAACGUGAUCCAGGAGACUUGGACCCUACUCCAAGAAGUAACAGAGGCGGUCACGAGGGUGGGGGGCGCCCCCCUAGGGCGCGCCCCCUGCCUCCUGGCCCCCCUGUUGCUCCACCGACGUACUCCUUCCUCCUAUAUAUACCUAUGUACCCCCAAACGAUCAAAAGAGGAGCCAAAAUCCUAAUUCCACCGCCGCAACCUUCUGUAUCCAUGAGAUCCCAUCUUGGGGCAUGGUCCGGAGCUCCGCCGGAGGGGGCAUCCACCAUGGAGUGCUUCUACAUCAACACCAUAGCCCCUCCGAUGAAGUGUGAGUAGUUUACUUCAGACCUUCGGGUCCAUAGCUAGUAGCUAGAUGGCUUUUUCUCUCUUUUUGGAUCUCAAUACAAUGUUCUCCCCCUCUCUCAUGGAGAUCUAUUCGAUGUAAUCUUCUUUUUGCGGUGUGUUUGUUGAGAUCGAUGAAUUGUGGGUUUAUGAUCCAGCUUAUCUAUGAAUAAUAUUUGAAUCUUUUCUGAAUUCUUUUAUGUAUGAUUGAGUUAUCUUUGCAAGUCUCUUUGAAUUAUCCGUUUGGUUUGGCCAACUAGAUUGGUAGUUCUUGCAAUGGGAGAAGUGCUUAGCUUUGGGUUCAAUCUUGCGGUGUCCUUUCCCAGUGACAGAAGGGGCAUCAAGGCACGUAUUGUAUUGUUGCCAUUGAGGAUAACAAGAUGGAUUUUUUAUCAUAUUGCAUGAAUUUAUCCCUCUACAUCAUGUCAUCUUGCUUAAGGCGUUACUCUGUUUUUAACUUAAUACUCUAGAUGCAUGCUGGAUAGUGGUCGAUGAGUGGAGUAAUAGUAGUAGAUGCAGAAUUGUUUCGGUCUAUUUGUCUUGGACUUGAUGCCUAUAUACAUGAUCAUACCUAGAUAUACUCAUAACUAUGCUCAGUUCUGUCAAUUGCUCAACAGUAAUUUGUUCACCGACCGUAGAAUAUCUAUGCUCUUGAGAGAAGCCACUAGUGAAACCUAUAUAUGGCCCCCGGGUCUACUCUCAUCAUAUCAAUCUCCAUUACUUUAUUACUUGCUUUGUUUUUACUUUGCCUUUUACUUUUCACUUUGCAUCUAUAUACCAAAAAUACCAAAAAUAUUAUUUAGCAUCUCUAUCAGAUCUCACUCUCGUAAGUGACCGUGAAGGGAUUGACAACCCCUAAUCACGUUGGUUGCGAGGAGCUAUCGUUUUGUGUAGGUACGAGGGACUUGUGCGUGGCCUCCUACUGGAUUGAUACCUUGGUUCUCAAAAACCGAGGGAAAUACUUACGCUACUUUGCUGCAUCAUCCUCUCCUCUUCGGGGAAAUCCAACGCAGUGCUCAAGAGGUAGCAGCCGUGUGAGUGCUCUGGAAACGUUGAAGCUAGUCUGGGACUGGCUCUCCAAGGUCAAUGAAGGCGUCUCAACUCAGCGAUAUCAACGGAUCAGUACUCUCCACAACCUCUUCAACCGCUUCAAGAGACACGACAAUGAGAAUGUCCAACUCACAUUUGAUCGCCCCACUGAUAUCACAAAUGAGCUCCAAGCACUCGGCGCCACUGAGAUUAUGAUGCAUGAGAUAGUGAAGAUACUACUGAGAUCUCUUGACAGCUCAUUUGACACCUUAGCCCUGAUGAUACAAGAACGCCCUGACUUCAAGUCUCUCGAUCCGUUUGACAUACUUGAGAGGCUCAACACACAUGAGUACCAGCUAUCUGAGAAACGAGAUAUUUAUGGCCCCCACUAUGGCCGAACUCGCGCUUUGAUGGCAGAGGCUGCUGCUUCCUCAUCUGAAGAAAAAUCUGACUGCAGUUCUGGUGAUCCUGAAGACAUUGGAAAGGAGCUUGCUAUGCUUGUGAAGAAGUUCCAGAAAUUCACCAAGAAGAAAGGCUUCAGAAAGUCUUCACGAUCCAGCUCAAGGAAUGAUGAAGCUUCUGCCUAUGACCACAAGAAGAGAACCUGCCACAAGUGCAAGAAACCUGGUCACUACAUCUCUGAGUGUCCACACUAGUGCAGAACCGGGCAAUAGCACCGGUUCGUAAGGCCCUUUAGUGCCGGUUCCAAAACCAGCACUAAAGUGUGGUCACUAAAGGCCCCCCCCUUUAGUACCGGUUCAGCAUGAACCGGUGCUAAAGGGCAACCACGUGGCACGAGCCAGCUCCGGGGGCCUGGAGCCCUUUAGUACCGGUUGGUAAGACCAACCGGUACUAUAAGGUUUGGGGUUUUUUUUAGUUUUAUGAUUUCUUUUUCAUUUAAUUUUGUGUUUCCAUUUUAAUUCUUUUUCGUUUGCUGGUAUUUUACGAUACUACACAUUGUGUUACUAUUCAUCACCCGGGUGCAGAAUAAGUUAUUCUUCACCCAAGGUAAUAUUACGAUCAUUUCACAAAUAAAUUAUGUUUCAAAUACAAAUAGUUACAGCCAUAUUGAUUCACUGCGUAAAAAUUGGCAUAAAAAAGAUCAGAAGACAAGAAAAAUUACAUUUUAUGUACAUUUUACAAUAUGUUUUUACAUUUGUAAUUUACGUAACANNNNNNNNNNNNNNNNNNNNNNNNNNNNNNNNNNNNNNNNNNNNNNNNNNNNNNNNNNNNNNNNNNNNNNNNNNNNNNNNNNNNNNNNNNNNNNNNNNNNNNNNNNNNNNNNNNNNNNNNNNNNNNNNNNNNNNNNNNNNNNNNNNNNNNNNNNNNNNNNNNNNNNNNNNNNNNNNNNNNNNNNNNNNNNNNNNNNNNNNNNNNNNNNNNNNNNNNNNNNNNNNNNNNNNNNNNNNNNNNNNNNNNNNNNNNNNNNNNNNNNNNNNNNNNNNNNNNNNNNNNNNNNNNNNNNNNNNNNNNNNNNNNNNNNNNNNNNNNNNNNNNNNNNNNNNNNNNNNNNNNNNNNNNNNNNNNNNNNNNNNNNNNNNNNNNNNNNNNNNNNNNNNNNNNNNNNNNNNNNNNNNNNNNNNNNNNNNNNNNNNNNNNNNNNNNNNNNNNNNNNNNNNNNNNNNNNNNNNNNNNNNNNNNNNNNNNNNNNNNAAAUAUUUUUACGGCAAUUAUAUAUUUUUCUUACGUUCUCUUUUUGCAUCUGAAAUAAGAUAAAAUUUAAGAAACGUAAAAUUACGGUGCAUUAAUGUUAAAAUAGAGAGGGGUGAAGAAUAACUAUUUCUCACCUAGGGUGACGAAUAUAUAUAUAUAUAUAUAUAUAUAUAUAUAUAUAUAUAUAUAUAUAUAUAUAUAUAUAUAUAUAUAUAUAUAUAUAUAUAUAUAACUAUUCUGCUAAUAUUAGCAGAAUAACUAUUCUGCACAUCACUUCGACACUGCACGCUCAACAGAAGUGCACUACAUCAUUUUGACGACGAGCACUGCAAUAGAGACUAGUGAACUUCUCGUCGGAAAAAACUGCACGCGUUAGUUUUUUGGUACUGUUUUCGCUCUAAUUUUUUAACCGUUUAUUGGAAUAAGGCGUGUAAUAUAUCAUUGAAAAGCUAUGGAUUAGGCGCAACUUCGACAUGUUGAACACUUUUCGAGAUUCCACACGGUUUAAGAGCAGUUUUGAAAAUAGUGCGGCGGAUGACGAGUGGCAGCGAGCGUUUUUUCGCGUUUUUUUCUAAACCGCUUGUCGGAACGAAGCAAAUGAUACGCCGUUGGAUAGAUAUCGUCGAGGCACAUCUUUUCCAUAUAUAAAUCUUUCUCUAAUUCAUUACGGUUUAAGAGCAGUUUCAAAUUUACUAAAUCACGGAACUCUGUUUUUCAAAAAAAUUUGAGAUUUUUGGUACUAUUUUAGCUCCAGUUUUCUAACCGUUUGUCGAAAUGAGACAUAUGAUACGCCGUUGGAAAGCUACGGACCAGGCGCAACUUUCAUAUGUUGAAAUGGUUUUGAGAUUCCUUACAAUUUUUAGUUAAUUUUGAAAAUCGUGCGGCUGACUUCGAGAGGCAGCGGCUGUUUUUUCGCGAAAUUUUUACGAACCGCUGGUCAGGAUAAUUCAAAUCAUACGCCGUUGGAAAGAUAUCGACGAGACGCAACUUUUUCAUGUAGAACACUCUCUCUAAUUCAUUACGGUUUAAGAGCAGUUUUCAAAUUACCGAAAUGCGGGCACUCUGUUUUUCGCGACACCAAAAUCGACGUGGGUACUUCUCCGACUGAAAACCGCACUGCAUCGGACGAAAAAUCGCACUGCAUCGGACGGGUAAAACAACUGCAUGAUUUCUUUUUUGUGGGACGUAAAUUUUUGAAGACGAGGAAGAAAACCACACUGCUUUUAGACUGAAAACCGCACUGCAUCAGACGGGCUAGCGGACUGCAUGAUUUCUUUUUUGUGGGACGCAAACUUUUGAAGACAAGGAAGAAAACCGCACUGCUUUUAGACUGAAAACUCGCACUUCAUCGGACAGACAAGUGCACUUUAUGAUUUCUUUUUUGUGGGACAUAAAUUUUUCCCAAACGAGGUAGCAAACCGCACUGCUUCAGACUAAAAACCACAGUACAUGAGAAGGGCAAGUGCACUGCACCGUUUCUUUUGUCAGACAUAAUUUUUCUGAUGCGAGGAAGUGAAGUGCGCUUCACAUCGUGCGUAAGUUAACCGCAAAAUUAUGGAGAAGUGAACCGCGUUACUUUUUGUUCUUGUUUCGGUAACGCUUUUUUAUUUGCACUUACGAGAUGAACAUCAUCAGACGGCCGUCCGCACUGCUUCAUAUGGAGAACCGCACUACAAUAGACGCUUCAUAUGGAAAACCGCAAUGCCAUAGACGGGCAAGCGAACUUAAUUGUUUUUAUGCAUUUUAUUUUAAAUGGAGUGGACAAAAAAGUCCUUCAUAGUGGACAUUUUUUAAGACCAAAGUGCACCACAUUUGCAUAUUUUUUAAAAUGUGUUUUGUUCUAAAUGGGAUGUACUGAAUAGUCCUUCGUAGUGGACUUCUUUUAGUCCAAAGUGCACCGCAUUUGCAUGUUUUUUAAAUACAUUUUGUUUUAAAUGGGGUGUACCGAAAAAUCCUUCAUAGUGGACUUUAGUGCUAAAUGAAGUGUACUGAAGAGUCCUUCGUAGCAGACUUUUUUUUAAACCAAAAAGUGCACUGCAUUUGCAUUUUUUUAAAUGCAUUUUGUUUUAAAUGGAGUGUAUUGAAAAAUCCUUCGUGCUGGAAUUUUUUGGUAAGACCAAAGUGCACUGCAUUUGCAUUUUUUUUAAAUGCACUUUGGUAUAAAUGUAGUAGAAUAGUUCUUCCUAGUGGACCUUUUUUUAGACCAAAGUGCACCGCAUGAUCGAAAAGAAUGAACCACAAGACCAUGCUUUUUAUGGACAACAAUAUUUUAAACACAAAUCAUGUAUGUGUUCACCGUACAUGGCAACCGAGUUAAUGUAUUCAAACACAAACAAAAUUGCACGCGCCCAAACGACAAUGCUUUUGCCCACAACCGCUACCCUUUUGUGCCGGACUGAACUUUUGUUCACUAGUAUAGUAGAAGUGUUAGUUUCCUUAUAGGAUGCAAAUAUGUACAACUCUCUCUUGAAGGAUGAGGAGGUGGGGAGACGCCGGGCGGGAGGAGGAGGAGGCGGGGCUGCGCCGGCCGGGAGGUGGAGGCGGGGCGGCACCGGCCGGGGGUAGGAGGAGGCGGGGUUGGAGGUGGAGGUUGUGCGACGGCGGGGCAGGAGGUGGUGGUCGCGGGGAGUGGAGGGGCACGGGAAGGGAGGGGAGUUGGUGCUCGAACAAGAUAAGGUGGUUUGUUUGUAGCUACAUCGGUACGUGGGGUGUUAGCAGAAUAACGCGGGUGUUAGCAGAAUAAGGGUCUUAAGGGUGUUAUCAUAAUAGACCCAUCCUAUAUAUAGGGUGGGUCUAUUAUGAUAACACCCAUAAGAGUCUUAUUCUGCACACCAAAUCGCUUAUUCUGCUAACACCCCAAACGCACUCCCCACGUGCCUCCCACCCCACCUCCGGCACGAAACCUACCUCCUGCCCCGAUCCAAACCCCCACCUCCCUGCACCUUCUUCCCCGGCCACGCACAACUACUCGCCGCGUCCACCUUCUCUCUUUCUGGCCGGCGUGCAUGCCACCAGCGCCGCCCCCGCGGGCUUCCUUCCCCACGGCCGCGAGCUUCCCCUCCCCUUCCCCACUCCGCCCGUUCGAGCUCCCCCAACCUGUCCCCUCCCCUGACACCUUCUUCCUACGCCGCCGCCCACAACCCAGCGCCGUCCCGCCCCCCACGUGCCAUCGGGAUCCCGCGCCGCCGCCACGAAAACACCAGAUCGGGCCUCCCCCAGGUGCAGCCGNNNNNNNNNNNNNNNNNNNNNNNNNNNNNNNNNNNNNNNNNNNNNNNNNNNNNNNNNNNNNNNNNNNNNNNNNNNNNNNNNNNNNNNNNNNNNNNNNNNNNNNNNNNNNNNNNNNNNNNNNNNNNNNNNNNNNNNNNNNNNNNNNNNNNNNNNNNNNNNNNNNNNNNNNNNNNNNNNNNNNNNNNNNNNNNNNNNNNNNNNNNNNNNNNNNNNNNNNNNNNNNNNNNNNNNNNNNNNNNNNNNNNNNNNNNNNNNNNNNNNNNNNNNNNNNNNNNNNNNNNNNNNNNNNNNNNNNNNNNNNNNNNNNNNNNNNNNNNNNNNNNNNNNNNNNNNNNNNNNNNNNNNNNNNNNNNNNNNNNNNNNNNNNNNNNNNNNNNNNNNNNNNNNNNNNNNNNNNNCCCUCCCACCACCAACCUUCGGCCAGCCUCUGCCCCAUACUGCACUGCCCCACCAUCCUCCUCGUGCGCCGCGUAGGAGCGCCACCUCACCCGCGCCGCCCCCACCAUCCUCCUCCUGCUCCCAACCCACUUCCCUCUCUGGUAGCUCAAUCCAAAUCGGGAUCGAGUGCAUCUCCCUCGUCGGCGAGCUCGCUCUGCCUCGUAGGCUCCUGUGCGGCAACAUCUAGAGGAGCACGAGGGCCGAGCGAUUUGGUUGCUCCUCCCCGUGCAGUUCGCCUUCACCACCGCUCACUCGACUGCCGCUCCUCCUCCAAUCUCCCUUCCCCAGCGACUAUCCCAAGAUGUUGUUGUCUCCUCCCUUCCUCUCUUAUCUCCACAGUCGGUGAGUUCCCCUGUCCCUUCUUGCCACUCCAUCCUACUCCCUCUAGCACUGGCGCAGAGCUCCUAACAGCAUGUGCUUUGAAAAAGCUUGAGAUGCAGCUCGCCGACGUGUGCUCGAUGCCACCCGUUCCUGGCAGUGUCCACAAAGCCGUUCUGUUUGCACGGGAAAGCGGUUCUGCAACUCGUCCCUGCAGUUCCUGGUCGUGGAUCCAUUUUCUUAACCUUUUUUAAUGUGAUGUAUCGGCGUAUUUUGCAUCAAAGUUUACUGCUCGGGGGUGCACUUCAGUCCGAUGGAGGGGCACGUGCAGCUCUGUUAUUUUAUUUUUGACCUGUUGUGCUUUGUUUGUUUUUGUGUAAAAAGAAGUCACGCUCGGGCCGCACUGCAGUCCGAUGGCGGGGCGCGUUCAGUGCUCUGUUGCUUCAGUGGGAGAAAAGGGAGUCCUAGUGUCGCCUCUAAACUCUUUUGGUGAUGCGGUUAUGUCCACCUACACGCACAACCCAAAAAAAGUGUCGAGUGGACUAUACGGUUGGUUGUUCCUGGGUUCAAUUCACUAAUGUGAGUGUGGCUGUGUAAAUGAAUGGAUAUGUAUGUGUUUGAAGCUCACUUUGUCCUCUCAUGCAAUUCACUAUAAAACUCCCUUGUGGUUCACUUGGUAAUCCGAAACAAAAACACCUCGGAAAGCAGCUCACUUCUCAUUACAUGUGGUUCACUUGCUCAGUCCCUGCGAUCCACUCGCCCGGUCUACACACGUAAAAAAAUAUUGAAUUUGGAAAAAGCUCAAGCAGUUCACUUUCGGUAGUGUCGCGGCCCGUUUAUGGUAGUCUCGAGGUUCACUUUUCAUUGUAUUGUGGUUCGCCAACACUCGACAUGAAGUGCACUCCACCUCGUUUGGGAAAAUUUGCAUCCCACAAAAAAAAAUCAUGCAGUGCACUUGUCUGUCAGAUGAAGUACAGUAUUUUAUCUGAAGCAGUGCGUUCUUCUUUCCCCGUUCGAGAAAAAAUAGGUCUAAACAAAAAGAAACCAUGCAGUGCACUUGCCCAUCUAAUGAAGUGCGGUAUUUCAUCAGAAGCGGUGCGUUCUUCUUUCCUCGUCCGAGGAAAAAUACGUCUAAACAAAAAGAAACCACGCAGUGAACUUGUCCAUCUGAUGCAGUGCGGUAUUUCGUCUGAAAUAGUGCGUUCUUCUGUCCGAUGCAGUACAUACGACGAUUUUGGUCUCGCGAAGAACAGUGUCCGCUUUUCGGUAAAAUCAAAACUGCUCUUAAAGCGUAAGGAAUUAGAGAGAGUGUUCUACAUGAAAAAAUUGCGUCUCGUCGAUAUCUUUCCAACGCCGUAUCGUUUGAAUCAUUCCGACCAGCGGUUUGCAAAAAUUUCGCGAAAAACGGCCGCUGCCACUCGUCAUCCGCCGCACGAUUUUCAAAAUUAACUUAAAACCGUAAGGAAUCUCAAAAAUAUUUCAACAUACGAAAGUUGCGCCUCAUUCAUAGCUUUCCAACGGCGUAUCACAUGCCUCGUUUCGACAAACGGUUCAAAUACUAGAGCGAAAACAGUACCGAAAAUUUGAAAAAAUUUGAAAAACAGAAUUCCGCAAUUUAGUAAAUUUGAAACUGCCCUUAAACCGUAACGAAUUAGAGAAAGAUUUAUAUAUAGAAAAGAUGCGCCUCGACGAUAUCUAUCCAACGGUGUAUCAUUUGAUUCAUUCCGACAAGCGGUUUAGAAAAAAACAUGAAAAAAGCUCGCUGCCACUCGUCAUCCGCCGCACCAUUUUUAAAACUGCUCUUGAACCGUGUGGAAUCUUGAAAAGUGUUGAACAUGUCGAAGUUGCGCCUAAUCCAUAGCUUUUCAACGGUGUAUUACACGCCUUAUUCCGAUAAACGGUUAAAAAACUAGAGCGAAAACAGUACCGAAGAAACACCGCGUGCAGUUUUUUUCGACACGAAGUUCACUCGUGCGAGUACUGUAGCACACUUGGUUCAAACAAUGACGUGCACUUGCAUUGAGAGUGCAGUGCGGAAGUGGUGUGCAGAAUAGUUAUUCUGCUAAUAUAUAUAAAUAGAAUUUCUAGUAGAACCAACCAUGCAUAUAUAUAUCAUCAAUGUCUCACAAACCACCAUAUUAAGUAAUUCACACAUACACACAUGUAUAGCUAUAUAUGAUUUCUCCUACAUAUGCAUGUUGCCUUUGGAGCCAGUGGCAUUAGCCUAAUUGGUGCCUUCGGAUCACGAUGACAAUUGGAAGUGGUUUUCAUGGGGGCGGUAGCGGGUAAUAGUAUUCUCCCUUCGGAUUUAUGACCUGGUCGAGCAAAAAUCCCGCUAUUUCCUCUUGAAGUGCUUCUAUGCGCUCCGUUUCUAGGAGCUUCUUCCGCACCUCUUUGAACUGUUAAGAAGGAGAUCAAUAUGCAUGUGUAUUAGUUGUGUGACUAGAUAUCGAUAAUGGUGUAAAAAUUGUGAAUAGUGUUCUGACAAGCGUACCCAUUCCUGUCUUUGAGAUCUGCUCCUUUAGGACGCCAUCAUGCGAAUGUUCUCGCAAACGCAGAAUGCACACAGAUCAGUCCCCUGCGCCUGCUUCAGGGCCUUUACGAGAAUGGAAUUUGAUUAGAUAAUAAUUAAUCAAGCAUGAUAAUUAAAGAGAUGGCAGCUAGCUAGCUAGUACUACUUAAUUACUUACCUUGGGUUGAAACCAUUUAAGCUUUUUUUUCCAUUCGCCUUCCGUGACGCUGAUGAACCUUGCCCAAGCCCUGCCCGCCGACAAAGAAAAUGAAUAAAGGGGUUAUUAAAUAGUUCAUAUCAUGAAAUGACGAACUAAAUAGGCCGAGAUAUAUAGUUAAUAAUGAUUGAAAUUACCUGUUGACUAUCCCAAACAAGAUGUUAUAGUCAGUUUUUUCUUUGAGUAGUGAGUCCAGUACUUCAACUGUUCUGGUGUCAACUUUAAUGAUACACAAGACACAGUGAAAUCUGCAUGCACACACGUUUGCAUGUCUUAAUUAAGCGGGUAUAUGUAAGCAAAAACAUGUAGCUAGCUAGUAGGCAAAAACAGAGAAUUUGUAGUACAAGACAGUGACUCACUGGAAGUUGUAAGGAAGUAGUAUAUUUUCAUUGUAUUUGAGGCGCUUCAAGAACUCUAGCAUGUUGUCCUCUACGUUCUUUUGAUGAUGUGGAUUUAUUAGCCAUGUGUAUUCAUUAACAGUGUUUGGGUCAAUGAACCCAAUGCCAAAGCGUCCACCUUUUCUCAUUUCAUACAUAUUCAUCCUGCAUAAUACCAAAGAAAAGAAUAUAGUGAGGAUAAUUACAGGUAAUGAUUGAUCAAAAUGAUCACUACAGCUAGCUUGAGACUUAAAUUACAGAAAGAAAUCACUUACAGAUAAUAGCAACUGACGAUAGAUUUGUUGAGUGCGUCUUGAUUGUAUAACUGAAACAGUUCAGAAUACUCAACAGACAGAGCUUUCUCAUGGAAGUAAUGCUCCUCCUUGACAUUCACCAUGAGGGACAAUCGAUCUGAAAUCUUGGUAAUGUUCAUGUACCAUUGAUGCAAUUCAUACAUUCUCGUUGGGAGGUUCUUGACCUUGUCUGGCUCGACCAAAGGUUGGCUCGAUCUCGAGGAGUUGUCCAACAGUGAUGUUGAGAACUUCAUCCUGCAUUAUAUGCUCCUCCGUUAUUACCACAUUGCCCACCUCGGGAACGUGCACUGUUUGCCCACAAUAAUAUUGGGCGCGCGUACUGUCAUGUGUUGUUGGCACAACAAGCGAGGGGAUCGAUUGCGCCGCCUGUUCUCCCAGCUGGGGAAUGGUUUUCCCGCAUUUUUUGACAGCUGCUUCUUGUUUGCUCGAUCCCGAGCCAGCCUCCUUACGUAGACGUUCUCGAUUUAACUUCCUGAUGUGACGCUCAUAGUCUGUGUCAACAGGCUUGGGAGCUGGUGGUUGAGCCAUAUGAAUGAAGUGGUCAAUCGUUUCCUCAGGCACUUUCUCCCUUGGCGGCGGUGGCGGUUUCGGUGCAAAAUGGGCUUCCACCUCGGCCUUCGAUAUGGCUGCGAUUUCCUCCUUGGACCUGUCAUAAGCCCUCUGCGGAAGAGGCGUGAGACUUGGACCAUAUUUAUAUCGCUUGCCUCCGCCUGUACUUCCUGUACUACCUCGACUCGUACCGCUACGCACCAUAGCUGCGGGGUGUCUCUUCUGCGAUUGCUGAGGCGGCGGAGACGGCUGACGGGGCUGAGUUGGAUGAGGAGGAGUGGCCUGAAGCUGUGCCGUACUUGGAGGAGGAGUGGCCUGAGGUUGUGCCGGACUUGGAGGAGGAGUGGACGUCUGAUGCUGUGGUGGACUUGGAGGAGGAGGAGUGGCCUGACACUUUGCCGGACUUGGAGGAGGAGUGGCCUGACACUUUCCGGACUUGGUGGACUUGCAAGAGCUGGAGUCUGCUGACUCGGUGGUGGACUUCGACGAGGAGUCGGCUGACGCGGUGUCGGUGGCCUUCGCAAGAUGAUGCAAUCCUUUUUCCAUAGGAUGAUACGAUGUUUGGCCUCUCCGAGAAAGCGCUCGCCGUCACCUCCAGGAAUGUCAAGCUGUAGCUCCGAAUAUGGUGGGUCCACCACCUCAUCAACCAAGACACGAGCAUAGCCCGCUGGAAUCGGGUUGCAAUGGAAGGUUGCCUCGGGGGGAUUUGUAAAAGCAACACCGUCUGCCACCUUCAUGGAUAUGUUCUUCAUUUUGACGUGUAGCUCGCAGUUAGUGUUCUCCGUGAUGUCAUCCAUGGGGUAUCUACCCAGCAUUGCGUCGUCCGGGACGGAACCCACGCUGCUUCUCGGCAUGGAUGGGCCGGUGCUAUCCAAUGCUGGAUCAUCCGCUAGCUGCUGCAGCUGCUGAGACCCCCUUUGCUGGGUAAGUGAGUCGAUCUGCUCCUGCUGCCGCUGGAAUUUGACUGCCAAUUCCACUUGACUUGCUUCUAGGCCUUGAAGGCGUUCAUAGUCCCGCUUCCUCUGCUCCUCCUCCAUCUUCCUCUUCUUCUCCUCCGCAAUCUUCUUUCUCGCAUGGGUUCUGUAGUCGGUGUUCCAUUCUGAAAACCCCUCAUACCACGGAAUAGCGCCCUUGCCUCGUGUUCUUCCCGGGUGUUCAGGAUUUCCCAGGGCACGCGUAAGCUCGUCGUUCUCUCUGUUGGGCUGGAACACCCCCGAUCGUGCCUCUUCUGUUGCAACAAGUAUCGCAUCGUCGGCUCCCUUCAGACUUGCCCUCGUCGAAACAUUGCCUGUCUCCGGGUCCAACUCCCCCCAUGCGCAUAGAACCAAGUCCUGACCCUAGGGGGCCAGCUCUUAGUAACCGGAGUGAUACCUGCGUCCUCCAUCUCUUUCUCAGACUUAUCCCAGUUAGGCAUUGCCACCGCAUAGCCACCUGGCCCCAGCUUAUGGGACUUAUCCUUUUUUUGGCAUUCUUCUUGUUUAUUCUCGACCGUUCCUUAGCUAAUUCCGAAUCCUUGAAUUUCACGAAAUCGUCCCAAUGAACACGUUGGUUCUCUAGUGUUCCCUCGAAUAUUGGAGUCUUCCUUCCUCCCUUGACGUACUUGUUCCAUUCAUGAUUCUUGUGGUUCUUGAAUGCAACCGCCAUCUUCCUAAGAGCAAUGUCCUUGACUUUCUGCACAUCUGCUUCUGUGAAAUGAUCUGGUAGGGUGAAAUGUUCCAUGAGAGUAUCCCAAAGCAGAUCUUUUUGAUUCUUGUCGACAAAAGUAACAUCUGGACGUGGCUUUGCUGGCUCUCUCCAUUCUUGAAGUUUGAUCGGGAGUUGGUCCUUCACAAGAAUUCCGCACUGACGAACGAACUUGUCCGCAAUCUUCUUAGGCGCUAAUGGUUCGCCAGUAGGGCUGCAUGCCUCGAUAUUGUACUUUACGCCCUGCUUCAACUUUUUGUUCGGGCCUCGUUUCGUCCUUUUGCCUGAACAUUUGCUCGAUCCGGAUGGCUGAAAGAACAAAGAUCGAUUCGUUAAUAUAUCUUCAAGUCCUUUAAAACAUGCGAUGAUCACCAGAUGCCUGCUUAUAUAAAUAUAUAUACCUCGCCGGUCUUUGUUGUUUCAGGAUCAACAUGUUCUUCGUCAUCGUCAUAAUCGUAGUUCAUGACUUCAUCAAUUCGGUCGUCGCGAUCGAAUAUCAUAUCACCCUCUCCGGUGUUGUUUAGAAAUUCGGAGCCGUCAUAAUCUUCUUCAUUCUGAUCAUCAUCUGGCCCGCGUAUCAUAUCUAACAUGGUCUGUUCUCCCCCUCUGUCGUAUUGUCUGCCAUAGCUUUUAUUUAACUAAUCCAAAAGAAAUAUAAAACAAUUUAGUAUUCAAAUUACAUCGUCUCGAAUAAUAGAUAUAAUCUCGAAUACAUUGUCUAGAAUAAUAGAUAUAAUCUUGAAUACAUCGUCUCGAAUAAUAUAUAAUAUUGAAUAGUACAUCACUGGCUAGGUAGCUAAUAAAGAUCAAAUACUACAGAAGAAUCUAGGACACUUGCGGUUCCUGCGGCGCGGGCGGUGGACACCCAAAGAGAAGGAACCCUCACAGGAUCAUAGCUGAAGUGAGAUCCCCGAAGAAACUGCCAGGUAUUGGAGAACCUGCCGCCCUCUAACGCAACCAUGUAGCGAUGGAUGUGCUCGUCCUCCUCCCUGACACGGUGACGUACCACCUCCGGCGGGGCCGGGUCCCUUCGCACCGAAACUGGCCCACGCGAACGCCACCAAACGAGAUCAGGGUCGACGACGGGACCUGGGGCUGGGUUCCUCAUCAAGCGGCGCGCCCCUCCAGGCAGCACCUCCCAGUGCCAGCCCGGCGGAGCCCAGUCCCGGACAUGGGUCGGCUGGACGUCGUCGCGGACAGGUCGACGGCGAGGAUGCGGGCCGGGCAUUGUCGAGAACAAAUACUAGCUAUAUGCCCGCAAAAAGUAACAUUUUUUUAAUGAUUGGAUUUUGAUAACUAAAAUUUCUAACAUUUCUAUAUAACACUAAUUAUGCUAUCAUUGCAUAUGUCAAAAAUCUAUAUACUAUUUCAUACUAAUUAAGCAUCUAACACUAAAAACAGAAAACACAACUUCUAUACAUCCAUUAAAAAACUGAAAAACAACAUUAUAUAAAAAAUUUCCAUACUAAUUAAACACUAAUUAUAUCCAUCUAACAUGCAUUCAUACAUAUAUAAUAGUGAAAAAAUAAUAAUCUAAAUAAUCUAAACUAAUUAAACAUACAAAAUACGUAUAUACUAAUAUAUACAUGCAUUAAUUCAUACAUAUGUACGUGUGUGUGUGUGUGUNNNNNNNNNNNNNNNNNNNNNNNNNNNNNNNNNNNNNNNNNNNNNNNNNNNNNNNNNNNNNNNNNNNNNNNNNNNNNNNNNNNNNNNNNNNNNNNNNNNNNNNNNNNNNNNNNNNNNNNNNNNNNNNNNNNNNNNNNNNNNNNNNNNNNNNNNNNNNNNNNNNNNNNNNNNNNNNNNNNNNNNNNNNNNNNNNNNNNNNNNNNNNNNNNNNNNNNNNNNNNNNNNNNNNNNNNNNNNNNNNNNNNNNNNNNNNNNNNNNNNNNNNNNNNNNNNNNNNNNNNNNNNNNNNNNNNNNNNNNNNNNNNNNNNNNNNNNNNNNNNNNNNNNNNNNNNNNNNNNNNNNNNNNNNNNNNNNNNNNNNNNNNNNNNNNNNNNNNNNNNNNNNNNNNNNNNNNNNNNNNNNNNNNNNNNNNNNNNNNNNNNNNNNNNNNNNNNNNNNNNNNNNNNNNNNNNNNNNNNNNNNNNNNNNGGGGGCGGUGACGGGCCGGGGCGUGACACGGGGGCGGAGACGCGGGGACGACGCGACGGGGACGGGCCCGGGGGCGGCGACGGCGACGGAGACAAGGGCGGCGACGGGGACGGGGACGGGGGCGGCGACGGCGACGGAGACGACGGAAACAGAGGAACAAACAGAGGGAAAAUGAAAUUUUCAUACCUGUUGUAUAUAUAGAAGGCACCUUUAGUACCGGUUGGAGCCACCAACCGGUACUAAAGGCCUGUUUUGGCCAGGCCAAGCGGCGGGAACCGCACCCCUUUAGUACCGGGUCGUGGCACCAACCGGUACUAAAGGCCCCCCUUUAGUACCGGUUGGAGCCACCAACCGGUACUAAUGGCCGUGCGCUGCCACCCGCGGUGCGCUAUGUUUAGUCCCACCUCGCCGAGCGAAGGGCAGCCGCACUGGUUUAUAAACCCAGCCGCGGCUACCCUUUCGAACUCCUCUAUAUAUAACUGGGGCAGCAAGUACAGGUCAUCUUCAAUAGAGGUGUCAUGCAUGGUACGUGUCUACAACCAGCUGGCGAAACUCCUGGUUUGUUCACGUGUAAUCCAGUCAUCAGACCGCUCCGGGUGUUUGGAGCGUAGCAAAUUCUUGUGUUCAUCCAUAUACGGAGCCACCAAGGUGGAAUUCUGUAGAACUGUGUAGUGUGCAUCAGUGAGAGAAUGUCCGUCCAUAGAUAUUAUUUGUUUCCCUCCUAGCGUGCCUUUUCCAUCCAGUCUGCCCUUAUGCCGGAUUCAGGAACACCAAUCGGCUUAAGGUCAGCAAUAAAGUCAAUACGAAACUCAAUGACCUCCUCAUUUUAAUGGCCCUUGGAGAUGCUUCCUUCUGGCCUAGCACGGUUAUGAACAUAUUUCUUUAAUACUCCCAUGAACCUCUCAAAGGGGAACAUAUUGUGUAGAAAUACAGGACCCAAAACGUUAAUCUCUUCGCAUAGGUGAACUAGGACGUGCGUCAUGAUGUUGAAGAAGGAUGGUGGGAACACCAACUCGAAACUGACAAGACAUUGCACCAAAUCAUUCUGUAACCUUGGUAUGAUUUCUGGAUCGAUUACCUUCUGAGAGAUUGCAUUGAGAAAUGCACAUAGCUUCACAAUGGCUAAUCGAACGUUUUCCGGUAGAAGCCCCCUCAAUGAAACCAGAAGCAGUUGCGUCAUAAUCACGUGGCAGUCAUGAGACUUUAGGUUCUGUAACUUUUUCUCUGCCAUGUUGAUUAUUCCCUUUAUAUUCGACGAGAAGCCAGACGGUACCUUAAUACUGAGCAGGCAUUCAAAGAAGAUUUCCUUCUCUUCUUUGGUAAGAGCGUAGCUUGCAUGACCCUGAUGUAUGCCGUCUUCUCCGUGCAUACGUUGCUGGUCCUCCCGUGCCUCAGGUGUAUCUUUUGUCUUCCCAUACACGCCCAAGAAGCCAAGCAGGGUCACGCAAAGAUUCUUCGUCACGUGCAUCACGUCGAUUGCGGAGCGGACCUCUAGGUCUUUCCAAUAUGGCAGGUCCCAAAAUAUAGAUUUCUUCUUCCACAUGGGUGCGCGUCCGUCAGCGUCCUUCGGAACAGGUUGUCCGCCAGGACCCUUUCCAAAUAUCACCUUCAAAUCCUUGAGCAUAUCAUGUACAUCAGCACCAGUACAGUGGCGAGGCUUCGUCCGGUGAUCCGCCUCACCUUUGAAAUGCUUGCCUUUCUUUCUUACGGGAUGCCUGCUCAGAAGAAAUCGACGAUGUCCCAGGUACACAUUCUUCUUACAACUAUUCAAAUAUAUAUUGUCGGUACCAUCCAAACAGUGUGUGCAUCCGCGGUAUCCCUUGUUUGUCUAUCCUGAAAGGUUACUGAGAGCAGGCCAAUCAUUGAUGGUCACGAACAGCAACGCCUUUAGGUCAAAUUCUUCCCCCAUGGGCUCAUCCCACGCACGUACACCUGUUCCAUUCCACAGUUGUAAGAGUUCUUCAACUAAUGGCCUUAGGUACACAUCAAUGUCGUUGCCGGGUUGCUUAGGGCCUUGGAUGAGCACUGGCAUCAUAAUGAACUUCCGCUUCAUGCACAACCAAGGAGGAAGGUUAUACAAACAUAGAGUCACAGGCCAGGUGCUAUGGUUGCUGCUCUGCUCCCCAAAAGGAUUAAUGCUAUCUGUGCUUAGACCAAACCAUACGCUCAUUGCGUCAUCUGCAAACUCCUUCCCAUACUUUCUUUCGAUUUUUCUCCACUGCGACCCGUCAGCGGGUACUCUCAACUUUCCGUCUUUCUUACGGUCUUCUCUGUGCCAUCGCAUCGCCUUGGCAUGCUCUUUCUUUUGGAACAAACGUUUCAACUGUGGUAUUAUAGGAGAAUACCACAUCACCUUGGCAGGAAUCUUCUUCCUGGGGCGCUCGCCCUCGACAUCACCAUGCUCAUCGCGGCUGAUCUUAUAGCGCAAUGCACCACAUACCGGGCAAGCGUUCAAAUCCUCGUACUCACCGCGGUAGAGGAUGCAAUCAUUAGGGUAUGCAUGUAUCUUCUGCACCUCUAACCCUAGAGGGCAGACAGCCUUCUUUGCUUCGUACGUACUCUCGGGCAAUUCGUUGUCCUUUGGAAGCAUAUCCUUUAUCAUUACCAGCAACCUUCCAAAUCCCUUGUCAGAUACACCAUUCUCUGCCUUCCAUUGCAGCAAUUCCAGUGUGGUGCCCAGCUUUUUCUUGUCACCUACGCAAUUCGGGUACAACAAUUUUUUGUGAUCCUCUAACAUGCGCUGCAACUUCUUCUUCUCCAAAUCACUUGCGCAGUUUCUCUUUGCAUCGGCAAUGGCCCGACCUAGAUCAUCAACGGGCUCAUCUGAUGCCUCUUCUUCAGCUUCUUCCCGCAUUGCCGGCUCAGCUUCUUCCCGCAUUACCGGCUCAGCUUCUUCCCCCAUUGUUGUAUCAUCGUAUUCAGGGAACCCAUGGCCAGGAUAGCUGUCGUCGUCCUCUUCUUCUUCAUUGUCUUCCAUCAUAACCCCUCUUUCUCCGUGCUUGGUCCAAACAUUAUAGUGGGGCAUGAAACCGGACUCAAACAGGUGGACGUGAAUGGUUCUUGACGUAGAGUAAUUGCAACCAUUCUUACAGCCAGCACAUGGACAAGGCAUAAAACCAUCCGCCCGCUUGUUUGCCUCAGCCGCAAGCAGAAAAGUAUGCACGCCCUCAACGAACUGGGGAGAGCAUCGGUCAUCGUACAUCCAUUGCCGGCUCAUCUUCAUUACACAACACCGAAUAGACCAAAUUAAUACAAGUUCAUACAUAAAGUUCAUACAAAACUUAAAUGCAACAAACAAAUAACUCUCUAGCUAAAGCAUUUAAAUGCAACAACAAAUGCGAUCAAGAUCGCAACUUAGGUAACAAUUGAUCCAACAACAUAAUGAUACCAAGCCUCACUAUUGAUGGCAUAUUUUCUAAUCUUUCUAAUCUUCAAGCGCAUUUUCUCCAUCUUGAUCUUGUGAUCAUCGACGACAUCGGCAACAUGCAACUCCAAUUCCAUCUUCUCCCCCUCAAUUCUUUUCAAUUUUUCUUUCAUGUACUCAUUUUCUCUUUCAACUAAAUUUAACCUCUCGACAAUAGGGUCGGUUGGAAUUUCCGGUUCACAUACCUCCUAGAUAAAAAUAUCUAUGUCAACUUUAUGGGCAUAAUUUGUCAUAAACACAAAAUGCAACAAAUAGUUUUAAAAGAGAAUAUUCCACAUCUGAAUCAUAACAAGGACGAGGGCCGACGGGGACGGAUAUCAAAACCAUGGCACUAUGUAUAACAGACAACGUACGGGUAAGAUAAUUAUUAUACGAGUAACUAUAUAUCCAAAUCACACAAACAUCAAUUUUUUAUAUAAAAUUUCAUGAACAAGAGGCUCACCACAAGGUGGUGCCAGCGACGGGACGGUGCGGGCGAUCGACGGUGGUUACGACGGAGAUUUAGAAGGCACUAAGUAAACCACACCUACAUAUGCAAACUAAGUGUUAUUUUUGACCUCAAAUUGCAUAUAAAUCAAAUACUAGCACAUAUAUGUAUUUCCUCCCAAAUUACUAAACUCACAAAUUAAUAACUAUAUAAAGCAUUGCAAGAGCUAAUCUAGCAAUGAGAGAUGAAAGGACAAAGUUGCUAACCUUUGUGAUCAUUUGAAUGGAUGGGGGCCUUCAAAUCUUGACAAAUUUUGGGCAAAAUGUGUGAUGAGCUCGAGAGGAAGAGGGGAAGAACAGAGAGGAGAGGGGAAAGGGGAAGAACAGAGCGAGCUCGGGUGGACGAAGGGUUUAUGUAGGACGACCUUUAGUACCGGUUCGUGCCAAGAACCGGUACUAAAGGUGCUGGAGGGGGCCCAGACUGACAACAUCCUGCCACCACUCUCAUUAGUACCGGUUCGUGGCACGAACCGGUGCUAAAGGUUAGUCACGAACCAGUACUAAUGAGAGCGGCCCGGCUAGCCGUUGGAACCGGCACUAAUGUAUACAUUUGUGCCAGCUCUAAUACAAACCGGCACUAAUGUGCUUCACGUUUGACCCUUUUUCUACUAGUGCCAUAGUGGUACAAUGAGAAGAAGAAUAAUAAGAAGAGCAAAUAAUAUGAUUCUGAUGACAAGAAGAAGAAGAAAUCCUCCAAGUCUUCUUCCAAGUCUUCAUCACACAAGAAGAGCUCAUCUCGCAAGGCUCGUGCUUUUGUUGGCAAGGAAAUGGAUUCAUAGGAGGAGUCUGCUUCUGAGGAGGCGAAGGUUGAGUCUGAGGAAGACUCUGACUCUGGUGUUGUGAGUCUGGCUCUAGCUACAGCCUAUGUCGCCAAGUCCAUCUUUACCACUGAAGACAAUGGCUCCGUCACCAACGCUGAUGAUAAUGACAAGGACGACUCGCCUCCCACCUACUGCUUCAUGGCACAUGGUGCCAAGGUAAAAUCAUGCGAUGCUUACUUUCAAACAUCAAGUGAAGAUGACUCUGAUGGUGAAUCCAAACCUAGUUACAAAACACUUGCUAAAAUUGCAACUGAAGAAGAGAAAGCUAUGGAACAUACUCAAAAACUGUUAGACAAAAGCGAUGACCUGUUGGACGCGGAAAUGACCAAGUCUCAGUCCUUAAUUGAAGACAUUAAAAAUCUUCAUGUUAAGUACCAGGAACUUGAAGGUCGACCUGAAUCGCUCUCAACUUCUCAUGAAAAGCUUUCCUAUGAUUAUCUUCAAAGGAAGCAGGAACUUGAGAAAUUGAGAUCGGCUCAUGAGGAUCUUCAAAAGGAGAACGAGUCACUUCGCGCUCAACAGAUCAGUCCCGCUCGGGAAGGAUUUGAACCACCAUGUCUAAAAUGCAUUGAGCGUGAUAACGUUGCCUCUGUUGCUGAAUGUUCUACUGCUACUACUAUUGCAAUAUCUUCAACUGCUGAUGUGGUAACUAACCCCUCUACUGACGAUACCACUACUAUUGCUGAUGAGAAUGCCAUGUUGAAGACACUGCUUGAGACAGGGACGUACAAAAGUCUCAAAGGGCAUCAGACAUUAUGUGAUGUCCUCAAAAAGCAGAUUCUGAACCGAAACCCUAGGAAAGAGGGUGUUGGGUUCGAGAGGAAAAUGAAUGUUGAUGGGUCGUACUGGAAGCCUGAGCAGUACCCCAAAACCACAUGGGUUGCUUCAAAGGAACCUUCAGUAGAUCCAUCCACCUUGUCUGGUUUCACUUGUGCUAACCCCAUUAUCAUUGAUGAAUCCUUUGAUGCAAACUAUAAACUGUUUAAGAAUCAGAAUGGUGAAGUGUUUGCCAGGUAUAUUGGUACUAACUACAGGAAUGGGCCACCUAUGAAGAAGAUAUGGGUACCCAAAAGCUGUCUUGAGAAUCUUCCAGUGAAUGUCAUCAUGACACCUCCUGUGAAGAAGACAAACCCCAUACCAAAGGCUUCAUAUGGUCCAAAAGCUUCAUACAGACCGAGGACUCAUCUGAGUCACCCUAACGUCAAUGUUUUGCAGGGAAAUCAUACUCAGACCCAUGAAUAUGAGCGUGUUUCCUCAAAUCGCUAUGUUCAUAGAACUAAGAACUUUUCUGCUUAUUCCUAUGAGUAUUAUUCAUCUCCUGUAAAGCUAUUUACUAGGGCUCCAAAGCCGAAAUUCCCAGAUGCUGCACUUAGACUCAUUGCUUCUAAGCCACACCUGAAAAUGUGGGUGAUUAAGAAAACUUAACUCUCUUUUGCAGGGAAAGGUCUCCAGCCGGAAAUCUAAGGCGUCCAAAACUAAUGCUGGGGACCUUAAACAUCUUGUGGGGCGCAAGAUAAAAUGCCCAAAUGGUCUUACUAUGUAUUUCGUUCUGGGAUUCCUUGACACUCAUCCUAUCUAUUCUAACCAAGAUCUGAAUUUUCAUGUUCCACUUGUUUGUCAAAUGUUUAUGCUUCACAACUCGCUUGGUGAAGCCUAUCCCCCAAACUGCACUGUAGGCUAUGACACCUCGUGCUUCAGAAUGGAUUAUGGACAAUGGAUGCACUAACCACAUGAGGCGAUCGAAGUCUUCUGAUGGAUUCAACGCUACGUCCAUCAGACAAGAAUCACAUCACAUUUACUGACACUGGUAAAAGCAAGGUAUUGGGUCUAGGUAAAGUUGCAAUAUCAAGGGAUCAGCACAUGGAUAAAGUGAUGCUUGUUGAAUCCCUUGGUUUCAACUUAAUGUCUGUCUCAAUGCUUUGUGACUUAAACAUGAUUGUGCUAUUUGGAAAAUAUCGAUGCCUUGUGCUAAUGGAAUCUGACACGUCUCUAGUCUUUGAAGGGUAUCGGAAAGAUGAUCUGUAUAUGGUAGAUUUCUCAGCAGGACCACAGAUGGCCGUAUGUCUUCUAGCAAAAGCUUGAGAAUGCUGGCUUUGGCAUCGAAGGCUAGGACAAGCUGGCAUGAAGAACUUGCACACUCUCGUGAAGAAGAAGCAUGUCGUGGGCAUCGAAGCCGUCAAGUUCAAGAAGGAUCAUCUGUGUGGUGCCUGCGAAGCUGGAAAGAUGACCAGGGCCAAGCAUCCUUCAAAGACAAUCAUGACUACAUCUCAACCCUUUGAGCUGCUACACAUGGACUUAUUCGGCCCUACUCACUACUCUACUCUCAAUGCUACUGCUUGCCUCUAUGGCUUUAUCGUUGUUGAUGAUUACUCUAGAUAUACUUGGGUGCAUAUAAUCCUCUACAAGACUGAAGUUCAGGAUGUCUUCAGACGCUUUGCCAAUCAUGCCAUGACGAUCUAUGCACUACUAGGAAAAGGCCUACUAAUGGCGCACCAGUUUUGCCUACUAAUGGCGCAUUACUGGUGCGCCAUUAGUAUCACGCCACUAGUAUUUUUUACUAAUGGCGCACCACUGGUGUGCCGUUAGUAUCUGGUAUACUAAUGGCGCACCACGCAGUGCGCCAUUAGUAUUGUUCACAGUGCGCCACUAGUGUCUGCUAUACUAAUGGCGCACCACAUGGUAGUGCGCCAUUAGUAACAAUUUUUUUUAAAAAAAAUCGUUUUUUCUUAAUCUCAGGUCACUAUUUCACAUAUGAGAUAUCCAACACAUAUAUAUACAACAAGCAUCCAUAUAAAAAUCAUAUCCAACACACAAGUUUCAUCGUAUAUACAUACAUAGCCAACACAUAGUUCCAUUGUUACAUAUUACAAAAGUUUCACAUUGUUCAUCCAACACCGUUAUCCAUCAAUUCACAAAAGUUUCACAUUGAUACAAAAUAAAAACACAAAUGGAAAAGAAGCACUCCAUCCAUGCAAGCUUCCGUGAAUUAAAUCAAAUCUGCAAAAUGAUAAACAAGAAGUUAGAAGAAGAAGAAGAAGAAGAGAAGAAGAAGACUAGAAGAAUACUAGAAGAAGAAGAACACUAGAAGAAGAAUAAGAAGAAGAAUAAGAAGAAUAAGAAGAAGACUAUAAGAUUUAUUAUGUAAACUUGAUCAUUUUGUGCUAACAUAAGUAAUUUUGGAGCUAACCUAUAGGAAACUAAGCAUAUAAGCUCUCUAAGUUAGCAUAUUAGAACCAACUUAGGUAAAAUGAAGCUAACCUAUGUCAUUUUGGAAAAGAAGAAGAAUAAGAAGAAUAAGAAGAAGACUACAAGCUUAUUAUGUAAACUUGAUCAUUUUGUGCUAACAUAAGUAAUUUUGGAGCUAACAUAUAGGAAACUAAGCAUAUAAGCUCUAAGUUAGCAUAUUAGAGCCAACUUAGGUAAAAUGAAGCUAACCUAUGUCAUUUUGGAAAAGAAGAAGAAUAAGAAGAAGACUAUAAGCUUAUUAUGUAACUUGAUCAUUUUGUGCUAACAUAAGUUAUUUUGGAGCUAACCUAUAGGAAACUAAGCAUAUAAGCUCUAAGUUAGCAUACUAGAGCCAACUUAGGUAAAAUGAAGCUAACCUAUAGGAAACUAAGCAUAUUAGAGAUAACAUAGGUAACUAAGUAUAUAUAUAUAUAUAUAUAUAUAUAUAUCAUUUUGGAGAUCUGACAUACCUGACAUAGUUCAGUUCUCAUUGUUCUUCUCCUUCUCCUUCCUCAGCCUGAUGCGCCAAGAGCGGCGAGGCGGUGGAGGCAGUGGGAUGUAGUCUUCUACCACAAUUGGCGUGGUCAUGUCGCCCAGCUGUGGGAUCGCCGGCGCCACCAGCGGUGCGUGGUCAUUUUCAGGCACCACCACCAUCGCGAGGCCACCUUCAGGCAGGACGGGCACGACCAUCGCUAGGUCAUCCUCAGCCACCUCCAUCUCUUGCCCAUGGUCAGCCACCACCAUCUCUUGCCCAUGGUCAGCCACCACCAUCUCUUGCCCUUGGUCAGCCACCACCAGUGCUAGGUCAUCCUCAGCCUGAUUCCCAUUAUCAUCCUGCAGCUCCUCAUCCCCACUCUACUCCUCUUCUCCCGCACUCCAGUCCAGAUCAUCCUUCUUGUUGUCUAUGCUACUGCUAGAAUCGCUGCUACUUUCGCUAAAGCCAGAAUCGGUGUUGCUUUUGCUACAGCCAUAGUCGCUGCUGCUUUGGCUGUAGCCAGUGUCGCUGCUGCUGCUCCCAUUGCCUGUCGAAAUGCAACAAUGACCGUUAACAGUCGAUGUGAGACAAAGCCAAAUGUAGAGGAAUAAGAAGAGGCAGAACGUACUGGCAUCAUCAUCGUCAGCGUAGCGCAUGCGACACAUAGUCGCGUUGAACACCUUCACGAUGAGCAUGGUGGCGUCGUCGUCGUACCUGAAGAGAAGGAAGUACCCCAGCCGCAGGUCGUAGGCACGGUAGAACUUCUCCCACCCACGAUACAAGUACAUGUGGCCCUCCUUGAUCACCAACUCCACAUCCCACUGCUUGCGAAACCCGCUGCCGGUCUGUCGCAGCUUCACAUUAUUUGGCGGAUCUUCACCCAGCAUGUUCAUAAAACUGUCAGGCAGCCUCUGCAGUUUGGGAAAAUGAGUGAUGUAGCAAACAACAGAUAUCAUAAUGAUAUGGGUGAAGGGGAGAUCUCUCAUUUUAUAUACCUGCGUCAUGGAUGAUACUGAAGUCCCAAGUAUGAUACUGAAGAACUCAGAAGAAUCCAACUCGUACUGCGGUGUGGCAGAGCGGCGGUGGCUGCUUCCCCCCAUCUCUGAUAAGCAGCAGAAGAGACCAAUUAGUACCCUUACAACAGAUCAUAAAACAUGCAUGAUAACAGGCUGUACUGAUCACCGUGUGGUUUGAGUGAAACCUAUGUCUGUCACUUUAAUUCUUGUUGGGGUUUAUCCCCUAUACCUCCUAAUCCCUGUCCACUUAACUAAGUACUAAGAUACCCCGGCCCAUGCAUUAGUCGCAAGUACCCCAUAUGUCCUAUUUUUAGCAAAGUCAUGCUAAAAUUCACGGAAAAUUUCAACAUGAUCUUUGCUGAAAAUAGGACAUAUGGAGUACCCGAAUUUGCCGGAACGGAAGUUAAUCGACAUUCCGGUAAACUCAAGGGCCUCUCGGGGUACCUGCAAAUUCAUCACGACACAAUGGUCGGAGACAAAACCCAGCAACUUUACACGUCUUUCACAGAUUUGUUUGCAAGUUCUGAUAUGUAAUAAAGAUGAGCCUCCAAUGCUGAUUUGUUUGCAUUGUUUUAGGAGUAUAAACUAAGUAUGCAAACUGGAUAUACACUGAAUUUAAAUAAAUUUACAGAAAAAUACCAUGUGCUUGUGGGUGUGGUGUCCUAUUUGUAGAAAAAUACCAUGUGUGAGUGGAGUGCAGUGUUCUGCAGAAGCAGGUGUUCAGUUGGGUUUCUGCUACUGAAACUUGCCAAUUGCAAAGAGUACUGAUAUUGUAAAACUACUGUAAAUCUACUCCUCUAUACAAAUCUUAAAAGCAGGUCUACUUUACCUAAAAUUCACCUAAGAGCUACUGCAAGCAGGUCUACUUGCUUUUGGUGUGUUCUUGCACAACCUGUUUCUCUGCAAUGCCACAUAAGCAUGUGUACUAAACCUCUGUCUAAUAAGUAUUGAGGCAAACAAAUAUUGCUCCCAACUGAACAUUUUCAGUUAACUGUAGCAACAAGUAUUGGAACACUGUGCUCAAAAAGUUCAGUUAACAGUAUUGACUACAACUCAUUGAAACAAAAAGGGCAGAUAAUCCUUUUAACCAUUCUGUGAGUUUUGAAUGAGCUAGUUACUUGGCUGCUGCUAUGUCCUAGUACUAUGCAAAAGUACUACUCAUUUGAUACGACGAUGAUAGCACUCCGGGUCAUGGUUAGGAGUAGGCUUGGGACAUGGACCUGAUUUAGCAUUUAGUAACAUCAUCAAUUCUGAUGCCAAACUAGUUUAAUCCCUAGGAAUUAGUUGUUAACAUAAUCACCCAGGGCCCCAACAUUAGGCAAUAAUGAGCUUCUUUUGCAUAGUUUUCUAUGCGAAAGCGAUGCUAAAGGAAAGAUUUUAUUUUGUUUGCGCUAAACAAGGCCUACUAAUGAAGCUCCAACUACGAAGAAGAAUCAGACCCUAUCCACCAAGAUAUAUUGGCGUAUGAGACUGCCAUAAUCUUGAUGAAGUAUCUUUGUGCAAAGAACAGGCACAAAUUGAAGUGAGCAUCUGAAACCAUGAGGCCGGCUAAAAGUUUUUGAGCACAUCUCCAAGCUACUACUAGAGUUUAUCACUUGAAUCCAUGGACCGUCCAGCAAAGCAAGGCAACCAAGAACAAGACAUGGCACAAAUCCUCGAAGAUAUAUUAUUGGCAUAGUAUAAAACUGUCAUGAUCUUGAUGAAGUACACUGCAGAUGUAUCAUGUUGAUACUACUAUAUAUCAACAAAUCUGCGAGUUGAUGAUUACACACAUAAAACUUGCAAUGAUGAAGGAAGCACUCAUGUCAAAUACUAGCAGUGACUAAAAACUGAGAAUUUGAUGUCAGUGCAUAAUUUUAUCCCUCCCCUGCCUUCCAUCUACUCUGCAUCUGAUGCAUACUACCAGUUGUGACAACAUAUUCAGAAAGUGCAUUCUGCAGGGUGCGGCCACAGCGAGGCAGGACGUGGGUGGCGCACGACCACGCGAGGGGCGGCCGGCGCGGUGAGCACGAGCCCGCAGGGAAGUGGUGGGCGGCACAAACGGCGACUAAACAAGGGGAAAAGAGGGGGAAUCGAUGGAGACGCUCACCGCGGAGCUGGGGAAGGAGAUGGAGAGGCCGACGGUGGUCGGAGUAGCGCGGAUCGACGCCGAGAAGCAGUGGUCGGUGAUGAGGAAGAAGAGGUCGAUGCGCUCGAUCCUUGAUGACCCGACUCCAAUCCGUGGACGCCGCUCCGGUGGCCGCGGUGACGUGGACGUGGGGCCUCCUCUCCUGGUGGACGUGGGGCGGCGCCGAGGCUCCAAGUCUCCGGCGGCUCCGAGGGUUAGGGAGGGAGGCGGCGCUCGCGGGGGAGGCGGUGCUCGGAGGGAGGCGGCGCUCGAGGGGGAGGAAGGGAAGAGGGAGGCGGCGGGGGCGUGUGGGCGGUUGAGGCAGACGGAGGCGGCGGACGUCGGGGGCGCGUGGGCGGCUGUGGAGGCGGCGUAGUUUGGGGUCGAUCGAGUGGGGAAUCUGGCGAGGAAGGGAGGGAGGCCACAGUGCGAGGGCAAUAGGUGGAGUGGGGGGAGGGUUCUAAUUGCGCACCUCCCCCAAGUGCGCCAUAAGUAUGACUAUUCUAAUGGCGCACCUCACCUCGGUGCGCCAUUAGAAUUUUGUUUUAAUUACUAGUCCGACUGGUCAGGUUAUAUUCCACCUAACCCUAUCUAAAUUAGAACCCACCCACUAGCUUGACUGGUUAGCACGCAGCACACACACUAGGAGGUCCUGGGUUCGAUUCCCAGGCUCCUCAAUUUUUGUUUUUAUGCAUUUAAAAUGCUGUUUGAUAUUUAUUUGUGUUUAAAUAUGUUCAAACUUGUUUAAAUCAUAACAGUAAUAUUUUUUAUAAAAACAGUAAUAAUUUUUUAAAAAAUAUGUUCAAAUUUGUUAUUUGAAAAUAUUUAUGAAUAUGAAAAAAUAUUUAUAUGGGGGGAGGGUGCGGGGGGUCGGCGGCGGCGGUGGAGUGGGGGAGGGUGCGGGCCGGGGGUCGGCGGCGGCGGCCGGUGGAGCGGGGGAGGGUGCGGUGGCUGCCAAAUGGAUUGACUCCAUCGGUGCUCGCGCCCAGCACGAUGUUCCUUGGAUCCUUUCCAAAUUCUGGGUGUUCGAAGUUCAACGCUUGCCACUGGCUCGCAUCCUUUGGGUGACUCAGCAUCUUGUCUUUUUUAUUUAUCUCCGGAUCAUUUGCGUCAUCUUCUCGCUUCUUCUCCUCCAUAUCCGCGUGCCAACGCAGGAGCUUUGCUACCUUAGGGUCCGCGAAAUACCGCUGCAGACAAGGAGUGAUCGGAAAGUACCACACCACUUUUCGAGGAGCUUUCUUCCUCUUCUUGUAUCGACUGACGCCGCACACCGGACAUAUGGUAGACUCCGCGUGCUCGUCCCAAUAAAUGAUGCAAUUGUUCAUGCACACAUGGUAUUUCACGUGCGGUAAAUCUAGAGGACACACGAUUUUCUUCGCCUCCUCGAAACUGGUCGGGCACUUGUUCCCCUUGGGAAGACGUUCGUGCUAGAAUGACAUGUUCUCGUUGAAGCAUGCGUCGGUCAUUUUGUGUUUUACCUUCAUCUCCAAAGCCAUGAGCGUUACUUUCAGGAGGGUAUCCUCGGGCUUGCAUCCUUCAUACAAUGGAGUAACCGCGUCUAUCUCCAGUUGAUCCAGCUUGGCUUUCUCUCGGGCGGCAGCUCUUGCGUUAUCCGUUUGCUUGAGAAGCAGCUCUUGAAUAUGAGGGUCUUGCACCCAGCCCAUCGAUGGUCCAUCGUCGUCUGCUCUGCCGGCAUCUUCAUCUUCAUGAUCAUGCCCUUCGUCUGCUCCGACAUCUUCCUCAUCAUCUUGUCCGACAUCUUCUACAUGAUGACUGUGUACAGCAUCACCGUCGUGAUCAUGUCCUGGAGAUUCUUCGUCUUCUCGCCCGCCCUAGCCGUGGUGGUUGUCUUGCUGCCCUUCCUCAUUUCUUGCCCGGCCCCCAUGGACGACUUCAUAGUCAUCUUCAUCACCUUGCUACCGAUAGCCAUCCAUGAAACCACGCAAGAGCAGGUGGUCCCGCACCUGCCCGGAAUCCGGGUCCGUAAUAAGGCUCUUCAGCUUGCAUCUUCGACACGGACAUCUUAUCUCCGUCUCGUUCUUUUGAAGCAUCUCGGCCUUCGCAGAGCUCAAAAACCUAUUCACGAUGCCUUUGGUCAUCGUGCGGACCAUGGUCGCCUGCGGGGUAGAGCAAAACGAUAUUUUAGAACCAAGAAAAAAUUAGUAACCCUGGUACUAAUGGCGCACCAUAUGCAAAUGCGCCAUUAGUAACCCUGGUUACUAAUGGUGCACCUGCUUCUGGUGUGCCAUUAGAAGUUUUGCAAAAAAAUUAAAAAAAAGUAUAUAUUCUAAUGGCACACCGUGGCAUAGUGCGCCAUUACUAGUUUAAACUAGUAAUGGCGCACUGAACCACGGUGCGCCAUUAGUAGUUUUGCAAAAAAAGAAUAAAAGAUAAACAACAGUAGUGGCGCACCAUGUUCCUGGUGCGCCAUUAGUGUCUUCCACACUAAUGGCGCACCACAUGACAGGUGCGCCAUUAGUGUCCAUCCCAUCUAUAGCCCUUUUCCUAGUAGUGAUGGCAUCAAGAUCAAGCACAUCAGAAGCGACAACGUCACUGAGUUCAAGAACACCGGCCUCGACCUCUAUCUGGAUACUCUGGGUAUCAAUCAUGAGUUCUCUGCUCCUUACACACCUCAGCAGAAUGGCAUCACAGAGCGCAAGAACAGAACUCUUAUUGAGAUGGCUCGAACGAUGCUUGAUGAGUACAAGACUCCAUGGAAGUUCUGGCCCGAAGCCAUUGACACUGGUUGCCACAUCAUCAACCAUGUUUAUCUUCACAAGCUUCUGAAGAAAACAUCCUAUGAACUCCUAACUGGUAAGAAGCCAAAUGUAAGCUACUUCAGAGUAUUUGGUGCUAGGUGUUGGAUCAAGGAUCCACAUCACACGUCAAAAUUUGCACCGAAAGCACAUGAAGGUUUUAUGCUUGGUUAUGGAAAGGAUUCACACUCCUACAGAGUCUUCAACCUCUUUCACUAUAAAGUGGUUGAAACUGUGGAUGUGCGGUUCAAUGAGACUAACAGCUCGCAAAGAGAGCACCUGCCAAAUGUGCUAGAUGAAGUACCUCCAAGUGAAUCAAUCAAGCAGAUGGGAAUUGGAGAUAUCAUACCUUCUGAGAAUCACACUGAAGAAGAGCUUAUCAUUUCUGCACCUAAUCAACCUGAAGACAAUGCUCAGACUGAAGACAAUCCCCCAAAUGAUGACAUUGAUCAGCAAGAGCAAAAUCUUCGUCCUGUUCAUCCUCGUGUUGCAAAUGAAGUUCAGAUUGAGAAUAUAAUUGACAGCUUGAAUGCACCUGGUCCACUCACUCGUUCAAAAGCAACUCAAAGAGCAACACAUCUAACCAAUUUCUGUGGGCGUUUUGCAUUCGUCUCAAUCUCUGAACCCAAGAAAGUCGAUGAAGCCUUCAUGGAACCUGAAUGGAUUCAAACUAUGCAACAAGAGCUUCAACAGUUCGAGCUGAAUAAUGUGUGGGAAUUGGUCAAGCGUCCUGAUCCUCGGAAGCACAAUAUCAUUGGCACCAAAUGGAUAUAUCACAACAAGCAAGAUGAGCAUGGACAAGUCGUCAGAAACAAGGCUCAUCUCGUUACACAAGGUUACACUCAAGUGGAAGGAAUUAACUUCGAUAAAACAUUUGCUCCGAUGGCAAGGCUUGAAGCCAUUCUCAUACUGCUAACCUAUGCAAAUCAUCACAACAUCCUUCUGUAUCAAAUGGAUGUGAAGAGUGCUUUUCUCAAUAGAAAGAUAGAAGAAGAAAUAUAUGUCGCACAACCUCCUGGCUUUGAAGAUCCAAAACAUCCUGAUAUGGUAUACAAGCUCAACAAGGCACUGUAUGGCCUCAAACAAGCCCCUCGUGCUUGGUAUGAUACGCUCAAAGACUUCUUGAAGAGCAAAGGCUUCAAACCUGGUUCACUAGAUCCUACUCUCUUCACGAAGACAUAUGAUGGUGAACUGUUUGUGUGCCAAAUCUAUGUGGAUGACAUUAUCUUCGGCUGCACCAACAAGAAAUACAGUGAUGAGUUUGGUCACAUGAUGCAAGAGCAAUAUCAGAUGUCCAUGAUGGGCGAGCUGAAAUUCUUUAUGGGUCUCCAAAUCCGUCAGCAAUGCAACGGCAUCUUCAUAUCUCAAGAAAAUACCUCAAAGAUUGCCUAAAGAAGUUUGGAAUGCAAGACUGCAAAGGAUACACGAUGCCAAUGCCAACCAAAAGUCAUCUGGGUCCCGACGACAAUGGUAAAGAGUUUGAUCAAAAGGUAUACCGCUCCAUGAUUGGUUCUUUGCUUUAUUUAUGUGCAUCUAGGCUAGAUAUAAUGCUUAGUGUUUGCAUGUGUGCCCGAUUCCAAGCGGCACCAAAGGAAUCGCAUCACUUAACUGUGAAGUGAAUUCUUCGAUAUUUGGCUUACACCCCAACAUUAGGAUUAUGGUAUCCAAAGGGCCCAGAGUUUGAUCUAGUUGGAUUCUCAGAUGAUGAUUAUGCUGGUGACAAGGUUGAUCGCAAGUCCACAUCAGGCACAUGUCACUUUCUGGGACGAUCUCUUGUCUGUUGGUCUUCAAGGAAGCAGAACUAUGUAUCUCUCUCCACUGUUGAAUCUGAAUACAUUGCUGCUGGAUCUUGCUAUGCUCAGCUUCUCUGGAUAAAGCAAACUCUCAAGUACUAUGGUAUUCAUUGAAGAAUGUGCCUCUCUACUGCGACAAUGAGAGUGCCAUCAAGAUAGCCAACAACCCAGUUCAGCACUUGAAGACAAAGCACAUUGAAAUUCGUCAUCACUUUCUCAGAGAUCAUGUUAUGAAGGAAGAUAUUGAUAUCAUUCAUGUCAAGACAGAAGAGCAAUUGGCUGAUAUCUUCACAAAGCCCUAGGAUAAGAAAAGGUUUUGCAAGUUGUGGUGUGAGCUAAAUAUCUUGGAAUCCUCAAAUGUCCUGUGAUUAGGCACACAUCCUAACACUUAUGCAUUUUGAUGACUUAGAUGUGCAACACACAAAGUAAUGUAUAUCUUCAAUCACUGAAGACAUACACUGUAAGUGUGAAUACAUUAAUGCGGAAUUUGAGUUCGGUGCGCCACGAUAAUUGUGCAUCGUGUCUGGGUCUAAUACUUCCUAUACGGUUGGUAACGCCACCACCAAACUUUUGUUUGAAGUGUUUCUCUAGGCGUCAUAUUUGCGAAGCCUUCAUCUUGUUGAUUUGGUCUUAUACUAGUUAUAUACAUAUUUGUGUUUUGUCCUCUACAACAUUCACUUAUAGCUAUGACUUCGUGCUGAAUCUUUUGAUCUAAGUGAAUGUGAUCGGACCCUAAACUAUCUAUGCUUCUACCUCAACUCUAUCUGUCCAAAUCAUAUGCAUUCUAUUGAAAACUGUCGAUUGUCUUCACUGAGACCUUGUCAGCUGAAGACAAUCUGACAAACAUUUAUAUCUGUUUUUAAUGCUAUAUCCUUUUUGCCUGAAAGCCGGAGAAUUCGGACGACCACUCCGACAAUCCAGGCGUGCGUGGGAACAUGGAACAACUUCCAAGGUGUUGCAUGCUUGCCACGUGCCCUUCAGAUAUGAACCGCUAGGGGCACCUAUGUAAUUGCGAUGUGCCGUCCCUUUCCUUAUAAAUACCCAUCACAUCUUGGUCAAAAAUUCUUCUUCCACCUCGCCACCGCUCGCAAACCCUAGCGCCUCCGCUAGCUCUCAACGACACCGGUGAUGAAGCGCUUAGCUACCGCGACUUCUCCGACGCCGUCCCCACGCCGGCCGCGGACCUCGUCCUCUCUGCCAUCGCCGUAGGUGUCCUCCAUCGCCAAGUUAGGGCAUAGAAGAUCGAACUGCUCGGCCUCCAACUUCGCUCCGUCUAGCAGUUCUUCAUGUGGUAAUUAAAAUUCACUUUUUACCGUCUUUUCAAUCUGAUGGAUUCAUCCUUCUUUACCAAAAGUAGUUUCUAGAUCUCCAAAGUUGAAUCUAUCUCUUUCUCCAUCUCAUACUAUGCCUAGUCUGUUCACUUAUGCUUCUCUACAAGUUAGAUUCCUCACUUGUACUUAUUCUUGGAUUCAUACAAAUCUGGAACCAACUCUCAUCAAAUAAGUGAAUGUCUUCGCGUUAUGAGGUCAAUGUCUUCAAACUGAUUUAUCUUCAAAAUCUUCUGAGAAUGCAUAUGACCUCUUCCCCUUCCCUCGCACCUCUAAUGCUGUCACAGGUACAUGUCCGUGGGAGAAUCCCUUGGUUCUCAUAGUCUGCAUUCGUUUGCAGAAUUCUUACAGAGUCACAUCAAUUCUCCUGAAGCUAGUUCUUGUCUGACCAGCCGUCGGAAGCCCUUGCAAGUACUGAAGCCUUUCAGAUUAAGCUUCAUGGCCACUGACAAAUCAGCACAGAAGGGUGGCAGACAGCACCGUGGGAACACUUCCAAAGAUUUGCCUCCAGAUUUGCACGAGCUGUACAAAACAGACCCGGAGCAAACCUAUGGAGGACGCAAGAAUCAAAUCCAAUGGACUCGAAGAUAUUGGGCAGAGGAAUGGUUCAAGUGCCGAUUCGUCACAGAAGAGCAUGCAGAGAAGAAUGCCAUCAAGCAACCCUGGGGUGAUAUACUAUACAAAAAUCUUCCUCCCAGGACCCAGGCUGAAGCUAUUGAGCAAGGUUUCUAUCCAUGCAUGGUGCGCGGACCACAACCAGAGAAUGCUCACCCUACUUCUCUGCUGUGGUGCCAUGAAGACAAUCUAUUCAAGCGCAACUACCAGUUCGCCAAAGACUCAGCUGUAAAGAACAAGAAGGAAUUCGGACUUGACUUGAACCCAGGUCAAUUUGCUCCUCGGGAAGAUGGGACCCGUGAAGCCAAUGAAAACAGGAUCGUCCCCUUCUACAACCUUGCAGGCCUCAUCACACACAUUGUCAUCCAAGGUGCAAAAGUGGAUCAUUCUGGUGAUGAUGCUGACACUGAUGAUGCACCAGCUCCUCCUCCUAAGCCACAGAAGCAAAACAAAGCUAAGGCUUCAAAAUCAACUGAGGCACCAAAAGCUUCUCGAGUGAAGUCAUUGGCAACUGCCCCUCCUGCUCCAAGUAACACUUCUGAAGAUCUCUCUCGCAUCUCGAAGAAGAAAGAGAAGACUCAGAAGAAAGAUGUUCAAAGUUCUGGUCAAGCCCUAACACCUGCUGCCGUUCUGAGGAAUGAGACUGAAGCCAUUGAUCUGUCAACAGACGAUGAGUGCGGUGAUGAUGCUCUUGAGCAACUGAUUAAGAGCAAGCAAGAGGCGGAGAUCUUCAAUGAUCUGCCCCUCUUCGAUGUGAACAUUCUUGACAACUUCACUGAUGAGUGCUUUGACAACCCAAAUCUCAGCUUUGACGAUCUUUAGCUCCCGAUUGGCAUCAGCGUCGCCUUCCAAGGCGCAAUUGCUCUUGAGCUGGCUCUGGCUCAGAGAAUUGUUGAAUUGAAGAACAAGAUUGACUAUGAGAAAGAGCAGUUCAAGAAGCAUGUGGCCAAGCUCAGCGUGGCUGAUGUUCAAAACUUCAAGGUGAUGCUGCAUGACCUCAAGGAGGCGUUUCGCAAGAAGCACGAAGAAGCCAAAGGUUCAAGAGAGCGCAUGAAGAAUCUAGUUGCCAAGUGUGUUCAAGCUUACAAUGAAGCUGAGAAGCGCAAGGCGCUUGGGCGUCCUGGCAUCGACCCCAAGCUGGCUGCCAAGAAGAAGAAGAAGCCUAUUGUGCCCCAAACUGAAGCACCAAGGCGGGAAGAACCUCACAUUGUCUUCCCUGCCAGCAUGACAGGCUCGAAGCCUAAGGUCCCCACAGUGGCUUCAGAACAGAAGACAUGGGUCCUUGAGUGGAUGACAGGCAAUGUCCAUCAUGAAGCCAAAGCUCUUGACCUCAUUGAGCUUACUGGCCUAUCCACUCCAGGUGAAAUCUAUGAACCUGGUUGUCAGCUUCACCGCAAUGUGUUGGAAAGUAUCUUUUAGAAGCCAGAGCCCAACAUGAGCCAAAUGUUGAGCAUGAUGAAGCCACUGCCACAGGAUGCUGAAUAUCCCAAGGAAUUCUUUGUUGAAGACCUAGAGUAUCUACCCCGCACCAUCUAUCACAUUAUCAGGCAAACUCUAUGGCCCAUCAAAGGACAUUCUUCCUCAGCAAAACUCAAAGGCGCAAUGAAUACAUUGGUCUUCUAUAUUUUCAAUGGCAUCAGCUUCAAUGCUCAGGAUUUCUUCAUUCACCAAUUUGCUGCAUCUGGCUCAGAUAUAUUUGGUAUGAAAUUCUAUGCUCCUUGGAUUAUGCGACUGAUCAAGCUUCACUCUGCUAUUGACUAUCAGCCCUCUGCGUGCAAUCAUCUCAUAUUUCUGCCAGAGGUUGAUAUGUCCGUCGAAGCCAUCUACCCAGAGCAUGCCAAGGAAGCACUAUAUCUUCACAAUGCAGAUGAUCAGAGUUUCUCUCAGCGUGUUGAAGGUGUUCAGGCUGCUUCUCAUGUUUAUCCGCUGGCCGACAACACUCGCCGUGCACGCACUGAAGCAACAGAAAGCACUAUUGCUCCAAGGCAUCGGAAGCGAUCUCGAGGGCUCAAUGACCGAGAGCUUCUCGUGGCCUUGCAUCAGAAACAUGACAAGCAUCACUACUGGCUAAAGCGUCAAAUGCAAAGCCUCUUGGUGGAUGUCAAUCGCAUUCGCAACCUUGCCACCAAGAAUGACCUUGUUACUCAUGAAACCUGUCGGAGGUCUUGGAAGAGUCUGGCAUUGCUCAGUGCUGAAGCUGAUCUUCAAGACGAUGGCUUCACCGAGAGAUUCAAGUUCGACUCCACUCCUCCCAGGAAUGUUAUCUUGCGUCGAACCCCGUCUCUUGAAGAUUCAGAGUACUCCUCCUCCGCAGCAACUAUAAAUGCCAGAGUCCUUGAUGACGCCGAUGAUGCCACUUCACCACCUCCAAGCUCGGUGCGUAUCGACACUGCAUCAAGUUCUUCUGCACCACCAAACCUCAACGACGACCCUACUGCUUCACCUACUCCUCAUGGGAAUGAGUAGAAACUAUGUCUUCAAACCUUUUUGGUCCUCACUGACAAAAGGGGGAGAAGCAUAUGUUGAUAGUCUUCAAGCAGGUCCAUAUGGGUGGUUGCUAUACUUUUGCCUAGUGCUUACAACUCUCGCUUUUGAUACAUUUGGUUCUUUGAGUUGUAACACUUAAACUUGAUGGUCAUCUGCUACUUUUUCUGCUAUUCUGUGAUGCAACGAUAAAUUCCGCAUGUGCGAUGAUAAAUCCUGCAUGAAGUCAUUUCGCAGACGUCCAUUUUUCAUUAUGCAUGUCAUUAUUCCUGUAUAUUUGUUCAUGCAUGAUGUAUUGUCUUCAUAUGGUGAAGAGGAUCUCCACAAGUACAACCUGCCAUGUGCAUUUGCAUUCCAACGCAAAACAUUUAUAUGCACAUCUUCAGGGGGAGCCUUUUUGCCACCUAUGAAGACAAUAUCUUAAUCCUUUAAAAUUUCACAUACUUUUAUCCCCGUUGAAAACUUCAACCAGUUUGUCAUCAAUCACCAAAAAGGAGGGAGAUUGUAAGUGCAUCUAGUGCCACCCCUAGUUGGUUUUGGAGUAUUGACGACAAACCUGGUUAAGGCACUAAUGUGUUUGUGAGAAUUGCAGGAUAACAGAGGUAGUAGACCCUCAAUGAUUCGGUUUACCUACCGGAGAUGACCCCUAAAAAUGUGUGAAGACAUUGAAGACAAUGGUGGUCUGUGAAGCUAUUCACGUUGAAGACUAUGACAUGAUAAGACAUUGAGUGAAGACUAUGGAGCGCGAAGACUUAGUUGUUUCGUUGUUUCCUUUUCUUCUUUGUUGAGUCAUAGGAACCACCGCACUGUUAAGUGGGGUCCAAGUGAACAAAGUCAGAGUGACUGAAGUGAUGCUCAACCACAUCCUAUGUCUUCGAGCGAAGACAAUGAGAGCAAAUCUUAUCCAGAGUCGGAUGAGUCAGCUUUACUUGUAGCCCAAGUCAAGUUGUCGCGUGCGUUUGAAAUCUGACCGUUGUGACACGUGUCAGUUCCUUAGUGACCCAGGGUCAUUUCGGACAAAUCAGGUCGGGUUGCCCAGUGGCUAUAAAUAGCCCACCCCCUACACCAUAAAUUGGUGGCUGCUCAGAGUUAGUACACGACUUUUGUCGUUUGAGAGCAACCCACUGCCGAAGCUUUCGAGAGAGAAUCCUUGCGAGGACAAAGCCCAAACCAACCAGAGCCGAAAGAGUGUUUGGCAUCACUAAAGUCUUUUUAUCCGCGUGAUCUGAAGACUUGUUACACUUGAGGACUGUGAAUCCUCCAGCUGGUUAGCCGUCACGUUUUGAGCAUCCAAGAGUCAUUGUGGAUUGCCGGUGAAGGAGUCUGUGAAGGUUCGGAAGUCUACCUUGAAGACUUACCAGAGUGAUUGGGCGGGGAAUAAGGUGAAGACGCGGUCUUCUGAGUUGAAUCUCAGCCUCCCUAACUAGAUGUACAGUUGUCACAGCAACUGGAACUGGUCGAACAAAUCCCUGUCCUCCUGAAGCUACUGGUUCUAUCUCUCACUUCUCUCUACAUACAGUUUGUCUUCGUGAAGUCAUUGCCUUCUUGCAUUAUCUAUUUGACUUCACUGUGUGACUACCUGUUCUGAUUGGCUUCAUACUAUCUUCCAUCCUAAUCUUUACUACCUUGCUGCUAUUAGUCUUCGUGCUUUCACUUCAUUGAAUACUUGACUACGGCUUGUCUAGUGUAGUCUACCUUCCACUGCAUACGAAUAGUGUCGUUUCUAUUGUGUGUCUUCGAAACUCUCAUGUUUUGAAGACUUUCAUAAAAAUCGCCUAUUCACCCCCCCUCUAGUCGAUAACUAGCCCUUUCAGAGUGUGUCACCGAUCAAGUACCGAACGCACGGCACCUCCGUGUUCUGCACACGUUUAGCUCAGUGACGUCCCUUGUCUUCUUGAUCUAGCAAGACAUCAAGGAAGUAGAUGAGUUCCGUCAGCACGACGGCGUGGUGACGGUGAUGGUGAAGUGAUCUCCGCAGGACUUCGCCUAAGCACUAGAAAAAUAUGACCAGGGUGUAAACAAUGGAGGGGGCACCGCACACGGCUAACAAUUGAUCUAUUGUGUGCUAGGCACCCCCUCCCACAUAUAUAUAGGUGGGAGGGAGGGAGGAGAAGCCAAAGGAUACGCCCAAGUAGGAGGAAUCCUACUUGCGCGUCCCUCCCAAGCCGCGCCCUUUCCUGCUCCACACUUUCCUUUCCCUCCCCUCUUUCCUUCUCCUCCUCAUAGGGACAGCUUCUAUAGGGGUGCACCAUCCUCUUGUGGGCUGGUGUGUUGCCUCACUUGGCCCAUAAGGCCCAUAUCUUUGCCGGGGUGCCCGAAACUCCUUUCCGGUGACCUGAUAUGUACCUGGUACCCUCCGAAACGCUUCCGGUAUUCGAAUACCAUCAUCCUAUAUAUCAAUCUUUACCUCUCGACCAUUUCAAGACUCCUCGUCAUGUCCGUGAUCUCAUCCGGGACUCCGAACAACAUUCGGUCACCAAAUCAUAUAACUCAUAUAACACUAUAUCGUCAACGAACGUUAAGCGUGCGGACCCUACGGGUUCGAGAACUAUGUAGACAUGACCAAUACACCUCUUUGGUCAAUAACCAAUAGAGGAACCUGGAUGCCCAUACUGGUUCCUACAUAUUCUACAAAGAUAUUUAUCGGUCGAACCGUUAUGACAACAUACGUAAUUCCCUUUGUCCAUCGGUAUGUUACUUGCCCGAGAUUCAAUCGUCGUUAUCUUCAUACCUAGUUCAAUCUCGUUACUGUCAAGUCUCUUUACUUGUUCCAUAAUACAUCACCUCGUGACUAACUCCUUAGUCGUUUGCUUGCAAGCUUAUGUAUUACCGAGAGGGCCAAGAGAUACCUCUCCGAUACUCAGAGUGACAAAUCCUAAUCUCGAUCUAUGCCAACUCAACAAACACCUUCAGAGAUACCUGUAGAUCAUCUUUAUGAUCUCCCACUUACGUCGUGACGUUUGAUAGCACACAAGGUAUUCCUACAGUAUCCGGGAGUUGCAUAAUCUCAUAGUCGAAGGAAUAUGUAUUUGACAUGAAGAAAGCAAUAGCAAUAAACUGAACGAUCAUUAUGCUAAGCUAACGGAUGGGUCUUGUCCAUCACAUCAUUCUCCUAAUGAUGUGAUCCCAUUAUCAAAUGACAACACAUGUCUAUGGUUAGGAAACCUUAACCAUCUUUGAUCAACGAGCUAGUCUAGUAGAGGCUUACUAGGGACAUGGUAUUUGUUUUAUGUAUUCACACAUGUAUUUAGGUUUCCGAUCAAUACAAUUCUAGCAUGAAUAAUAAAGCUUUAUCAUCAAUAAGGAAAUAUAAAAUAACAACUUUAUUAUUGCCUCUAGGGCAUAUUUCCUUCAGUCCUUGACUCAGCCAUGGCCCCCCUUCAUCAUCCGCGUCUCUGAUGCCAGUAAGCAACGCCCCCCUCUCCCCUGUGUUAGGUUGGUUGUUAGUAUCGAUUUCCCCAUUGCUCAACAUACCCUCGAUGUUGACUAGGUUAUGGACGCACAGAUGAGGCUAGUAGUUCAGGCAGCAGCACUAAUAGCUGUGAUUCAGGCAUGGCUCAUGUUCAUAUGCACAAGAGAGCUAUUCAUCAUGGUGAGAGACAUGUCAUCAGUUAUGCUCCAAUGCUUAUGCGGGAGUAGGAGAGGAUCGCCAAUCUGAACUACAUCUACAACUGCAACGACACAGAGGCCCUGUGGAUGCUUCGAAUGAAAAGAGCACCAUUUGCCAGACUUGUCCAGACCGUCAGGAGUAGGGGGCUGCUACAAGAUAGCAUCCACGCCAGUGUGGAAGAGAAAGUGGCCAUGUUCCUCCAUGUGUUGGCCAUAACCAGAGGUUCAGAGUUAUAUACAACACAUUCAGGAGAUCAAUGGAGACCAUAUCAAGGUACUUCAAGCAAGUGCUCUAUGUUGUUGGGGAGCUUAGAGGAGAGAUGAUCAAGUCACCAACCGGCUGGACUCCUACCAAGAUUUGCACUAGCACAAGAUGGUAUCCAUACUUCAAGGUGAGCACUGACGAUAUGUACUUCAUGUCUUGAUAUGCUUGAAUUGUUAAAGGUGAGCACUAACACAAUCAUCAUUAUCCAUUUCAAGAUUGCAAUGGGGCAAUAGAUGGUACUCAUGUCACUGCCAAAGGGCCUGAGGUCACAAUCUGCAGCAUAUAGGGGGAGGAAGCACUACACAAGGCAGAAUGUGCUUGUUGUUGUUGACUUCGAUCUGAAGUUCACCUAUGUGUUGGCUGGCUGGGAAGGGUUAGCACAUGAUGCUAACAUUCUCAAUGACAACAUGAGUCGUCCCGAUGGCAUCAACAUCCCCGAUGGCAAGUUCUACCUACGAGAUGGUGACUAUGCAUGUCGGCCAGGUAUUCUUCCACCCUUCAGGAAAACUAGGUACCAUCUGAACGAGUUCGCUGGUAGAAACUAUCCUAGGACUCCACAGGAACUAUUCAAUCUCAGACACUCCAGCCUUAGAGUUACUGUUGAGAGGGCCUUUGGAGCUCUAAAGAACAAGUUUAAGAUCUUAGAUCAAAAGCCAUCCACGCUUUCCCCACUCAGGUUAAGCUUGCUCUUACUUGUUGCAUUAUGUAUAACUGGAUCCUGCAAUGGGGUUGUGAUGAACUGGUGCCUAAGGAGAAAAAUGUGACGCUUGACGAUGUUGUCAGCUCCAGUCAUGGUGUGGAGGCAUUUGACAACGAAGCCUGGAAGAACAAAAGAAUGGAGUGGGCACAGGCAAUGUGGGAUAAUAGAUGUCCGACAAGGGUCUGAAGAAGAGGAAGAGGAAGAGCAGCAGAAGAAGAAGAGGAAGAGCAACAGCAGGAGAAGAGGAAGAGGAAGAACUACUAAUAGCAGUAGAAGAGGAAGAGGAAGAACUGCCAGCAGCGGCAAAAGAGGAAGACGACGAGGAUGGACUUGCAUCUAGUUAGCAUCGACGAUGAACUUUCCCCUAUUCAGCCAUAUGGCUCUUAAUAAUGUGUACUGCCAUUUGAUAGUAGUUAGGAUGAACCGUAAUUUGUUUCGUAGCUAGGACUGAAGUUGUUCAGAUCGUGUGUGGUAAGGUCACCGCUAGUGAGAAGUAUGACAGCACAUUAUUCAGGUUGCAACCAAACAGCGUGUCAUAUGUGCGCCUAAUGCGAUGCGGCGAACCAAACGGCAUGUGAAAAUUAGUCCCUGAUGCAGCUAACCUAUAUGCGGACAACCAAACUAUGUGCAAAUGGUGGUUUAUAGGCUUUUUUUCCGCAGUCAGGCCCAUCUGAGAAUCACAUGCAAUGUAGCCAAAAUCGAUGCGGCCAACCAAACACGACCCAAAUGUCCAUGCCCCGUUUCCUUUUACAUAUAAGGUGUAUAUACACCCAUAGACCAAAUGUUCCUGAAAUGACGUUUACUUUUUGGGUGUAUAUACACCUGACAUGGAAAAAUAAAUUUAGAAGUUUUUUAUAGAGAAGAAAGAAAAAGAUGGUGACGCUUAUACGCUGCACGCGUUGCUGUCAGCUACUGCCCCACCGAGCAACCCCCUCCCUAUUGUUGUCUCUUUCAUCCCCUCUUAAAUGCCACGUUUUGGUAUCUGCGACACUUAAAUGCGACGGUUGAAAACCGUUGAGAUCGGGCUAGGGUAGGCAUGCAGUGGCAGUCCAUGGGCAGGCAGUGACAGCGCUACAGUCCAGAGGUCGUCAGAGACCCAUUCCGUGGGCAACGACAGUAGCUGCGCCGUCCGGUAUGCCGCCUAGGUUAGUAGCCUGUGCCCCACGCGGACCCAGCCCCGCCGCCCUCACACGUCUACACGUCGGGAUGCCUCCACUCACAGUAGGCAUGUGUGAACCUCGACGAGCCAAGUGCAAACGCUGCCGCUGGCUGCAAGCUCGUGCCAAGUGCGUGCCCUUUCCAACCGCCGACCGACCACGACCCCCCACCACUGAACCCCGAUCGAGCGUCCCGGGCCACUAACCAGGAGCAUGGGCGCGCACUUGCCGUCUCUCCCGCCGCGCGCGCGCACGAAAGCGAACGCUCUUUCGACGACGUGUAGCCGUCUCGGCAUGGCGCGCGCGCUCCCGAUCUGUCGCGGAGGCGGACGCGCGCGCUCCGCGCGCCGACCCGCAGCACUUUGCGAGCCGAUCGGGUGCCGCGCGUACCUAGGUAGCACUACUCUACUACUACUACCACGUGCGUUAGAUGCAUGGGCGCGCGGCCGCGUGCCGUCCGUUCACAACCUGAUCGAGCCAAAAUACGUAUACCUACUUAGCUUAGAGUACUUCCUACGUUCAACAGCACUAGCAACCUUUGCAUGUGGCUCCCUACGUCCGUCCACGCUGCGGGCGGCGGUGCGCCGUGCCCCAUGCAUAUAUUCAUGCAUCCAUGCAUGAUGCAUGUGCGGACUGACACACGUAGCCGCGCGGAGACGUACAACGCAUGGUAAUUAUCGAUCCGGCCGGUACUUGCUCUCCUUUUUGACCCGGCCAUGCAUGGACUAGGGUCCUUCCCGGCCUGCUCACUGUCUAGGAUCCGGGCUACACGAAGGCUCGCUUCACAUGCAUGCGAAUGCGACCACGACCCUCGAGCUCGGCCGGAAUGUUUUCGCUUGGACUCGUGCUGGGACACGAGAAUAUUCGCAGGCUUUCGGGUACAGAUGCAAGUGCAUCAAGUCAAUCAACUUGCAAAGCAGAUCGUACGACCCUCUUUUGGGGAUCCCUAAACAAUGGGCCCCCGGACUUGCGCUCCAUACAAGUGUCUCCCCGCUCCUGGUUUCCCGCCUCGGUUACCGUUAUGUCCUUCGAAUAAACUACUUCAGAUGAGGUUCAUUACCUCGAUCAUACAUGCACAAAUCGAGAGCUUGGUGGCCCAACUGCCCACGACAAGUGUUCGACCAUUGUCUCCAUGUACUAUCGGCUCAAAAAAUAUGUCUCAAUGUACAACUACUCCCUCUGUUUUUAUUUACUUUGCAUAUUAGAGUUGACUGAAGUCAAACUCGUUGAAGUUUGACCAAAUUUAUAGAAAAAAAAUACAAACAUUUACUAUAGCAAAUCUAUAUAAUACGAAAGUACAUUCAAUAGUAAAUCUAAUGGUCUUGAUUUUUUAUUGUAUAAGUUAAUAUUUCUGUUUAUAAAUUUGGUCAAAGUUUAUAAAGCUACGCGGACAAAAUAAAAACGGAGGGAGUAUGUUUUUUGAUUACUUUGUUUGAAGAACUGUAAGGUUAGUCAGAAAGGUGAGCUUCUUCUUCCUCAAGAAAUUCUGCGUGUUGCUUUUGCCUCUCUCAUUGGCCGGCUGCCUCACAAAGCUAGCUAGCUACCCCCACCAUGCACGAUGUGUCGUCUAGGUCGCUCCUCUCUCUCUCUCUCUCUCUCUCCCGCGACCGAACGAGACGGCAUUGUUAUUGUCGUCAUGUUAAUUGGCAAGAUACGGGACGUCAAAGAUAAAUUAGAUACGGCAUUAUAUAUCAGUUUUCAAACCCCGGACAGAUCAGCAAUACGUGCAUAGACCAACAUUACGGCGACAAUUGUUGCUUCGGUGAAUAUACUAAACUUCAAGAUCUGGCUGGAGAAGUGAACCGAGUACCUUCCUCGUCACCUACCUGGGGGUAUCAUGCAUGCGCUACGUACCGACACAACACGUACUCCACUAGUUGUAUUCAGUUCCUGUCAUGAGUCAUCACGUACGUGUGGACGGUGACGGGUAGCUAACUGUAUUUGACGGUGCUGCUCCACGUCUCGAGGUCCCAAGACUCGUUCGUUCAGUGUGUGUGUUUUGUCAGUGGGUGUUUUCUCUACGCUUCAGAAAGAUAUCUUUGUCUUUUUUUUUUAUAUCUAGCUAAGCUAGCUACGUAGUGUGAGAGAAGGAAGAGAUUGCCAACUGACUAAAGCUUCAUCGUUCAAAUAAAUACAAUGCGAUGCAUGGGUAGUUUGGGACAAACAAAACAAAUGAAUUGUGUAUGAUGUCAUGGAUUACCUCUCUUGCUGUAAACGUUUCGUUUUCUCUUCUUCUUUCUGAUUAGGGCAGUUUAUAUAUAAUCAUGGAGAAUAUUUCAAGAUGCCCGUUUGAACGAAGAACUAGGCCACUUUCUCAUUCCCGCGCGGCGAUUUGCCUACAUGGCGAUGGCUUGUGAGGUUGGCGAACAUGCGUACGGCGGCUUUGACCGCCCGGCCGGCGUAGAACAUAGGGUGAGAAUAGUUUACAUCAAAAGCACAUCCAGGACCAUGAAGCGUGCAUGCAUGCACUGAUAGCACGUUCCCUUGCAGCCUAGGAUCUUGCCGGCAACUGAGAGGAGGUGCGCAAGCGCAAGGCAUGCGCUGUCAAGAAUCUUGCCCACAAGGAAUAUACACCCACUAUACUUGUUUUCCGUGCUGCUUCGAUCCAAGUUGACAAGAAAAACACACUAGAUCGAUACUACUUGUAGGCCAAGAAAAAAAAGAAUGCGAUAUUGGCGUGCGUGCCCGCUGCAAGCCAGCUGUUCUCUCCAGUGCGUGUCGAUGUUCACCAGAUCUCUCCGGUGCGUGUCGAUCGACGACGACGCAUGCAUGCAUGGAAUCACUCGACCGUGCAGCUCCAGUUGCUGCCUAGCUGUUCUCAUCAACGCAUGGGUGUCAGGGCCUGUCCCUGCCACCUUGCUCAUGAUCAACGACAAAGAUUUUCUGUUCCAAAAAUCAAAUUUUGUUACGAUACGGUCAGCCGGUCUUGGCAGCUGUACAUGUAUGCACGUAUAUACAGUAUGAAACUGACGAUCCUCCGAGCUGUGCUGUUAGUCUAUUCAUGUGUGCUUUCGUUGUUUCAGGGAAAGAACUUGUAAGAAGCAAACCAAGAGGUAAAGUUCUCACUAGUACUCCCUUCAGUCCUUUUUACUCUACGUAUUAGAUUUGUGUGUGUGUGACUAUAUAUAUAAUAUAAUACAAAACUAUAUUUCACAAUGAAUCUAACAAUAUUGAUUUGGCAUUGUGAAUGUUGAUACUUUUCUCUACAAGUUUAGUCACGGUAUGGAUACUUUGAUUUCAGAUAAAACUUAUAUGCAGACAAAAAAGAACCGGACGAAGUACAUUUGCAAGCAAGCAUAUGGUAGGAUUCAUGUGGAGUAAGUCAGUAAAUUUGGACGACUUUAGAGAGUCCUCUCCGAGCGGUGCAAUACAAAAGGGUACGUGUGGACCUCCCCGGCCUUGUGACCAACUAGAGGAAAUGCCGACAUAUAAGGUAGUCACAUGCGAUUAUAAUAAAGCACGCCUCCCUGGCUCCAAAGUCUACGUAUUAGAUUGCUAUGUGUCUUCUUCUAUGAAUUAAGAUGACCAAUGAAUGCGUUGAGCAGAACAUAGUAAUGUUUGGCUGGGAUUUCGGUGGGUGAAGCACGUCAAAGCGACAAAUCCGUGUGCCGCCCGCCACUUUGAGCAUUUUCUUUCUUUCAGUAACCGCCACAUUUGUACGUUUUUCUUAACUGUCGAUUUAAUUGAGCUUCUCCGUUAUUUUUCUAAAACAAUGGGCAUCUUGUCUGGUUUUCAUUAAAAAAACCCGCUCCAACCCGCUUCUGUGUUUAGCCAACACAAUUCAUAUGUACUGUAUAAAAUGGUAGCAAUAGAUUCUAUACAUGUUUGAGUAGAUGAGUGUGUAUGACUAGUUUUGGAACAACAAAACUAUAAUAAUCAAAUCCCUUUUUGGAGUUGUGUUUGCCACUUGUUCGCUUUUGUUGUUAUAGGAAGGACUACUGAAGCUGAAGCAUGCUGCAGAGCUAAGGAUUGGAGCCGAAAGCGUCAAGAGUAAUGUUGUCAACAUGCCAUGUCUUUGCCAAGAAUCUAUCGAGGAUCUAUAUUUGGCUAUAGAGAGUAGAGAUGACGGGUUUGUUGGGGAACGUUGCAGAAAAUUAAAAUUUUUUCCUACGGUUUCACCAAGAUCCAUCUAUGAGUUCAUCUAAGCAACGAGUCAAGGGAGUGAGUUUGCAUCUACAUACCACUUGUAGAUCGAGUGCGGAAGCGUUCAAGGGGAUGGUGAUGAUGGAGUCGUACUCGUCGUGAUUCGGAUCACCGAUGACCAAGUGCUGAACGGACAGCACCUCCGCGUUCAACACACGUACGGUACGGGCGACGUCUCCUUCGUCUUGAUCCAGCAAGGAGGAAGGAGAGGAUGAGGAAGACAGCUCCAACGGCAGCACGACGGCGUGGUGUAGUUGGUGCAGCAGUACUCCGACAGGGCUUCGCCAAGCACGUACGGAGGAGGAGAGGUGUUGGGGAAGGGGAGGGGCUGCGCCUUGAGUUGUGGUGUGGCUGCCCUCCCCUCACCCCUCUAUUUACAGGGGAAGGGGCAAGGGGGGCCGGCCCUCUAGGGGAAACCCUAGAGGGGGGCGGCGGCCAAAGGGAGAGGGGAAAGAGGGGAGGCUUGCCCCCCAAGCUAGGGGGGCGCCCCCUUUAGGGUUCCCCCCCAUGCCUUAGCCGCAUGGGCCUAGGUGGGGAGGCGCGCCCAGCCCACCAGGGGCUGGUCCCUCUCCCACACAGCCCAUGUGCCCCCCCGGGAGGGGUGUCCCCUCCCGAUGGACCCCCGGAACCCUUCCGGUGGCCCCGGUACAAUACCGGUAUGCCCCCGAAACUUUCCGGAGUCCGUUUAACAACUUUCCAUAUAUAAAUCUUUACCUCCGGACCAUUCCGGAACUCCUCGUGACAUCCGGGAUCUCAUCCGGGACUCCGAACAACAUUCGGUAAUCACAUACAAGUCUUCCUAAUAACCCUAGCGUCACCGAACCUUAAGUGUGUAGACCCUACGGGUUCGGGAGACAUGCAGACAUGACCGAGAUGCUCUCAGGUCAAUAACCAACAGCGGGAUCUGGAUACCCAUGUUGGCUCCCACAUGCUCCUCGAUGUUGUCAUCGGAUGAACCACGAUGUCAAGGGUUCAAGCAACCCCGUAUACUAUUUCCUUUAUCAUACGGUAUGUUACUUGCCCGAGACUCGAUCGUCGGUAUCCCAAUACCUCGUUCAGUCUCGUUACCGGCAAGUCACUUUACUCGUACCGUAAUGCAUGAUCCCGUGACCAGACACUUGGCCACCUUGAGCUCAUUAUGAUGAUGCACUACCGAGUGGGCCCAGUGAUACCUCUCCGUAACACGGAGUGACAAAUCCCAGUCUCGAUCCGUGUCAACCCAACAGACACUUUCGGAGAUACCUGUAAUGCACCUUUAUAGUCACCCAGUUACGUUGUGACGUUUGGUACACCCAAAGCAUUCCUAUGGUAUCCGGGAGUUACACGAUCUCAUGGUCUAAGGAAGAGAUACUUGACAUUGGAGAAGCUCUAGCAAACGAACUAAUCGACCUUUGUGCUAUGCUUAGGAUUGGGUCUUGUCCAUCAUAUCAUUCUCCUAAUGAUGUGAUCCCGUUAUCAACGACAUCCAAUGUCCAUAGCCAGGAAACCAUGACUAUCUGUUGAUCACAACGAGCUAGUCAACUAGAGGCUCACUAGGGACAUAUUGUGGUCUAUGUAUUCACACGUGUAUUACGAUUUCCGGAUAAUACAGUUAUAGCAUGAAUAAAAGACUAUUAUCAUGAAUAAAGAAAUAUAAUAAUAACACUUUUAUUAUUGCCUCUAGGGCAUAUUUCCAACAGUCUCCCACUUGCACCAGAGUCAAUAAUCUAGUUACAUUGUGAUGAAUCGAACACCCAUAGAGUUCUGGUGUUGAUCAUGUUUCGCUCGCGAGAGAGGUUUAGUCAACGGAUCUGCGACAUUCAGAUCUGUAUGUACUUUGCAAAUUUCUAUGUCUCCAUCCUGAACAUUCUCACAGAUGGACUUGAAACGACGCUUGAUGUGCCUGGUCUUCUUGUGAAAUCUGGGCUCCUUCGCAAGGGCAAUAGCUCCAGUAUUGUCACAGAAAAGUUUGUCGGCCCCGACGCAUUGUGUAUGACUCCUAGGUCGGUGAUGAACUCCUUCACCCAAAUAGCUUCAUGCGCUGCCUCCGAGGCUGCCAUGUACUCCGCUUCACAUGUAGAUCCCGCCACGACGCUCUGCUUGCAGCUGCACCAGCUUACUGCUCCACCAUUCAACAUAUACACGUAUCCGGUUUGUGACUUAGAGUCAUCCAGAUCUGUGGCAAAGCUAGCGUCGACGUAACCCUUUACGACGAGCUCUUCGUCACCUCCAUAAACGAGAAACAUGUCCUUUGUCCUUUUCAGGUACUUCAGGAUAUUCUUGACCGCUGUCCAGUGUUCCUUGCUGGGAUUACUUUGGUACCUUCCUACCAAACUUACGGCAAGGUUUACAUCAGGUCUGGUACACAGCAUGGCAUACAUAAUAGAUCCUAUGGCUGAAGCAUAGGGGAUGACACUCAUCUCUUCUAUAUCUUUUGCCGUGGUCGGGCAUUGAGCCGAGCUCAAUCUCACACCUUGCAAUACAGGCAAGAACCCCUUCUUGGACUGAUCCAUUUUGAACUUCUUCAAAAUUUUAUCAAGGUAUGUGCUUUGUGAAAGACCUAUGAGGCGUCUCGAUCUAUUUCUAUAGAUCUUGAUGCCUAAUAUAUAAGCAACUUCUCCAAGGUCCUUCAUUGAAAAACACUUAUUCAAGUAGGCCUUAAUGAUGUCCAAGAAUUCUAUAUCAUUUCCCAUCAAAAGUAUGUCAUCUACAUAUAAUAUGAUAAAUGCUACAGAGCUCCCACUCACUUUCUUGUAAACGCAGGCUUCUCCAUAAGUAUGCAUAAACCCAAACGCUUUGAUCAUCUCAUCAAAGCGAAUGUUCCAACUCCGAGAUGCUUGCACCAGCCCAUAAAUGGAUCGCUGGAGCUUGCAUACUUUGUUAGCGUUGUUAGGAUCGACGAAACCUUCUGGCUGCAUCAUAUACAGCUAUCCUUAAGAUAACCGUUAAGGAAUGCCGUUUUGACGUCCAUCUGCCAUAUCUCAUAAUCAUAGUAUGCGGCAAUUGCUAACAUGAUUCGGACGGACUUAAGUUUCGCUACGGGAGAGAAAGUCUCAUCGUAGUCAAUCCCUUGAACUUGCCGAUAACCCUUAGCGACAAGUCGAGCUUUAUAGAUGGUGACAUUACCAUCCGCGUCCGUCUUCUUCUUAAAGAUCCAUUUGUUUUCUAUCGCUCGCCGAUCAUCGGGCAAGUCAGUCAAAGUCCAUACUUUGUUUUCAUACAUGGAUUCUAUCUCGGAUUUCAUAGCUCCAAGCCAUUUGUUGGAAUCUGGGCCCGCCAUCGCUUCUUCAUAGUUCGAAGGUUCACCGUUGUCUAACAACAUGAUUUCCAGGACAGGGUUGCCGUACCACUCUGGUGCGGAACGUGUCCUUGUGGACCUACGAAGUUCAGUAGCAACUUGAUCCGAAGUACCUUGAUCAUCAUUAUUUUUCUCUUCAGUUGGUGUAGGCAUCACAGGAACAUUUUCCUGGGUUGCACUACUUUCCCGUUCAAGAGGUAGUACUUCAUCGAGUUCUACUUUCCUCCCACUUACUUCUUUCGAGAGAAACUCUUUUUCCAGAAAGGAUCCGUUCUUGGCAACAAAGAUCUUGCCCUCGGAUCUUAAGUAGAAGGUAUACCCAAUGGUUUCCUUAGGGUAUCCUAUGAAGACGCAUUUUUCCGACUUGGGUUCGAGCUUUUCAGGUUGAAGUUUCUUGACAUAAGCAUCGCAUCCCCAAACUUUUAGAAACGACAGCUUAGGUUUCUUCCCAAACCAUAAUUCAUACGGUGUCGUCUCAACGGAUUUAGACGGUGCCCUAUUUAAAGUGAAUGUAGCUGUCUCUAGAGCGUAUCCCCAAAAUGAUAGUGGUAAAUCGGUAAGAGACAUCAUAGACCGCACCAUAUCUAAUAGAGUGCAAUUACGACGUUCGGACACACCGGUACGCUGAGGUGUUCCAGGCGGCGUUAGUUGUGAAACGAUUCCACAUUUCCUUAAGUGUGUACCAAAUUCGUGACUUAAGUAUUCUCCUCCACGAUCUGAUCGUAGGAAUUUUAUCUUUCGGUCACGUUGAUUCUCUACCUCAUUCUGAAAUUCCUUGAACUUUUCAAAGGUCUCAGACUUGUGUUUCAUUAAGUAGAUAUACCCAUAUCUACUCAAGUCAUCAGUGAGAGUGAGAACAUAACGAUAUCCUCCGCGAGCCUCAACGCUCAUUGGACCGCACACAUCGGUAUGUAUGAUUUCCAACAAGUUGGUUGCUCGCUCCAUUGUUCCGGAGAACGGAGUCUUGGUCAUCUUGCCCAUGAGGCAUGGUUCGCAUGUGUCAAACGAUUCAUAAUCGAGAGACUCCAAAAGUCCAUCAGCAUGGAGUUUCUUCAUGCGCUUGACACCAAUGUGACCAAGGCGGCAGUGCCACAAGUAUGUGGGACUAUCGUUAUCAACUUUACAUCUUUUGGUAUUCACACUAUGAAUAUGUGUAACAUUAUGCUCGAGAUUCAUUAUGAAUAAACCAUUGACCAUAGGGGCAUGACCAUAAAACAUAUCUCUCAUAUAAAUAGAACAACCAUUAUUCUCGGAUUUAAAUGAGUAGCCAUCUCGUAUCAAACGAGAUCCAGAUACAAUGUUCAUGCUCAAACUUGGCACAAAAUAACAAUUAUUAAGGUUUAUAACUAAUCCCGUAGGUAAAUGUAGAGGUAGCGUGCCGACUGCGAUCACAUCGACCUUGGAACCGUUCCCGACGCGCAUCGUCACCUCGUCCUUCGCCAGUCUCCGCUUAUUCCGCAGCUCCUGCUGUGAGUUACAAAUAUGAGCAAUGGCACCGGUAUCAAAUACCCAGGAGUUACUACGAGUACUGGUAAGGUACACAUCAAUUACAUGUAUAUCAAAUAUACAUUUAGUGUUGCCGACCUUCUUAUCCGCUAAGUAUUUGGGGCAGUUCCGCUUCCAGUGACCCUUCCCCUUGCAAUAAAAGCACUCAGUCUCAGGCUUGGGUCCAUUCUUUGACUUCUUCCCGGCAACUGGCUUACCGGGCGCGGCAACCUCCUUGCCGUCCUUCUUGAAGUUCUUCUUACCCUUGCCCUUCUUGAACUUAGUGGUCUUAUUGACCAUCAACACUUGAUGUUCUUUCUUGAUUUCAACCUCUGCUGACUUCAGCAUAGAAAAUACUUCAGGAAUGGUCUUUACCAUCCCCUGCAUACUGUAGUUCAUCACAAAGCUCUUGUAGCUUGGUGGGAGCGACUGAAGGAUUUUGUCAAUGACUGCCUCAUGAGGGAGGUUGAUAUUCAGCUGGGUCAUACGGUUGUGCAACCCAGACAUCUUGAGUAUGUGCUCACUGACAGAACUAUUUUCCUCCAUCUUACAACUAUAGAACUUGUCGGAGAUGUCAUAUCUCUCGACCCGGGCGUGAGCUUGGAAAACUAGUUUCAGCUCCUCGAACAUCUCAUAUGCUCCGUGAUGCUCAAAACGCUUUUGGAGCCCCGGUUCUAAGCUGUAAAGUAUGCCGCACUGAACGAGGGAGUAAUCAUUAGCACGAGACUGCCAAGCAUUCAUAAUGUCUUGGUUCUCUGGGACGGGAGCGUCACCUAGCGGUCCUUCUAGGACAUAUUGUUUCCUGGCAGCUAUGAGGAUGAUCCUCAAGUUCCGGACCCAGUCCGUAUAGUUGCUGCCAUCAUCUUUCAGCUUGGUUUUCUCUAGGAACGCGUUGAAGUUCAUGUUGACAUGAGCGUUGGCCAUUUGAUCUACAAGACAUAUUAUGCAAAAGGUUUUAGACUAAGUUCAUGAUAAUUAAGUUCAUCUAAUCAAAUUAUUGAAUGAACUCCCACUUAGAUUAGACAUCCCUCUAGUCAUCUAAGUGUUACACGAUCCGAGUCGACUAGGCCGUGUCCGAUCAUCACGUGAGACGGACUAGUCAUCGUCGGUGAACAUUCUCAUGUUGAUCGUAUCUUCUAUACGACUCGUGUUCGACCUUUCGGUCUCCGUGUUCCGAUGCCAUGUCUGUACAUGCUAGGCUCGUCAAGUUAACCCUAAGUGUUUUGCAUGUGUAAAACUGUCUUACACCCGUUGUAUGUGAACGUAAGGAUCUAUCACACCCGAUCAUCACGUGGUGCUUCGAAACGACGAACUUUAGCAACGGUGCACAGUUAGGGGAGAACACUUCUUGAAAUUGUUGUAAGGGAUCAUCUUAUUUACUACCGUCGUUCUAAGUAAACAAGAUGCAUAAAACAUAAUAAACAUCACAUGCAAUUAUAUAAAGUAGUGACAUGAUAUGGCCAAUAUCAUAUAGCUCCUUUGAUCUUCAUCUUCGGGGCUCCAUGAUUAUCUUGUCACCGGCAUGACACCAUGAUCUCCAUCAUCAUGAUCUCCAUCAUCGUGUCUUCAUGAAGUUGUCACGCCAACGACUACUUCUACUUCUAUGACUAACGCGUUUAGCAAUAAAGUAAAGUAGUUUACAUGGCAUUCUUCAAUGGCACGCAUGUCAUACAAAAAUAAAGACAACUCCUAUGGCUCCUGCCGGUUGUCAUACUCAUCGACAUGCAAGUCGUGAUUCCUAUUACAAGAACAUGAUCUAAUACAUCACAAUAUAUCAUUCAUCAUUCAUCACAACUUCUGGCCAUAUCACAUCACAUGACAAUUGCUGCAAAAACGAGUUAGACGUCCUCUAAUUGUUGUUGCAUCUUUUACGUGGCUGCAAUUGGGUUCUAGCAAGAACGUUUUCUUACCUACGAAUAACCGCAACGUGAUCUUGUCAACUUCUAUUUACCCUUCAUAAGGACCCUUUUCAUCGAAUCCACUUCAACUAAAGUGGGAGAGACAGACACCCGCCAGCCACCUUAUGCAACUAGUGCAUGUUAGUCGGUGGAACCGGUCUCACGUAAGCGUACGUGUAAGGUUGGUCCGGGCCGCUUCAUCCCACAAUACCGCUGAAGCAAGAUAAGACUAGUAGCGGCAAGCAAGUUGACAAGAUCUACGCCCACAACAAAAUUGUGUACUACUCGUGCAAAGAGAACUACGCAUAAACCGGGCUCAUGAUGCCACUGUUGGGGAACGUUGCAGAAAAUUAAAUUUUAUUCCUACGGUUUCACCAAGAUCCAUCUAUGAGUUCAUCUAAGCAACGAGUCAAGGGAGUGAGUUUGCAUCUACAUACCACUUGUAGAUCGAGUGCGGAAGCGUUCAAGGGGAUGGUGAUGAUGGAGUCGUACUCGUCGUGAUUCGGAUCACCGAUGACCAAGUGCUGAACGGACAACACCUCCGCGUUCAACACACGUACGGUACGGGCGACGUCUCCUUCGUCUUGAUCCAGCAAGGAGGAAGGAGAGGAUGAGGAAGACAGCUCCAACGGCAGCACGACGGCGUGGUGUAGUUGGUGCAGCAGUACUCCGACAGGGCUUCGCCAAGCACGUACGGAGGAGGAGAGGUGUUGGAGAAGGGGAGGGGCUACGCCUUGAGUUGUGGUGUGGCUGCCCUCCCCUCACCCCUCUAUUUAUAGGGGAAGGGGCAAGGGGGGCCGGCCCUCUAGGGGAAACCCUAGAGGGGGGCGGCGGCCAAAGGGAGAGGGGAAAGAGGGGAGGCUUGCCCCCCCCCCCCAAGCUAGNNNNNNNNNNNNNNNNNNNNNNNNNNNNNNNNNNNNNNNNNNNNNNNNNNNNNNNNNNNNNNNNNNNNNNNNNNNNNNNNNNNNNNNNNNNNNNNNNNNNNNNNNNNNNNNNNNNNNNNNNNNNNNNNNNNNNNNNNNNNNNNNNNNNNNNNNNNNNNNNNNNNNNNNNNNNNNNNNNNNNNNNNNNNNNNNNNNNNNNNNNNNNNNNNNNNNNNNNNNNNNNNNNNNNNNNNNNNNNNNNNNNNNNNNNNNNNNNNNNNNNNNNNNNNNNNNNNNNNNNNNNNNNNNNNNNCCCGGAACCCUUCCGGUGGCCCCGGUACAAUACCGGUAUGCCCCCGAAACUUUCCGGAGUCCGUUUAGCAACUUUCCAUAUAUAAAUCUUUACCUCCGGACCAUUCCGGAACUCCUCGUGACAUCCGGGAUCUCAUCCGGGACUCCGAACAACAUUCGGUAAUCACAUACAAGUCUUCCUAAUAACCCUAGCGUCACCGAACCUUAAGUGUGUAGACCCUACGGGUUCGGGAGACAUGCAGACAUGACCGAGAUGCUCUCAGGUCAAUAACCAACAGCGGGAUCUGGAUACCCAUGUUGGCUCCCACAUGCUCCUCGAUGUUGUCAUCGGAUGAACCACGAUGUCAAGGGUUCAAGCAACCCCGUAUACUAUUCCCUUUAUCAGACGGUAUGUUACUUGCCCGAGACUCGAUCAUCGGUAUCCCAAUACCUCGUUCAGUCUCGUUACCGGCAAGUCACUUUACUCGUACCGUAAUGCAUGAUCCCGUGACCAGACACUUGGCCACCUUGAGCUCAUUAUGAUGAUGCACUACCGAGUGGGCCCAGUGAUACCUCUCCGUAACACGGAGUGACAAAUCCCAGUCUCGAUCCGUGUCAACCCAACAGACACUUUCGGAGAUACCUGUAAUGCACCUUUAUAGUCACCCAGUUACGUUGUGACGUUUGGUACACCCAAAGCACUCCUACGGUAUCCGGGAGUUACACGAUCUCAUGGUCUAAGGAAGAGAUACUUGACAUUGGAAAAGCUCUAGCAAACGAACUAAUCGACCUUUGUGCUAUGCUUAGGAUUGGGUCUUGUCCAUCAUAUCAUUCUCCUAAUGAUGUGAUCCCAUUAUCAACGACAUCCAAUGUCCAUAGCCAGGAAACCAUGACUAUCUGUUGAUCACAACGAGCUAGUCAACUAGAGGUUCACUAGGGACAUAUUGUGGUCUAUGUAUUCACACGUGUAUUAUGAUUUCCGGAUAAUACAGUUAUAGCAUGAAUAAAAGACUAUUAUCAUGAACAAAGAAAUAUAAUAAUAACACUUUUAUUAUUGCCUCUAGGGCAUAUUUCCAACAGGGUUAGCUCGCUUUUUGUUUUUUCUCAUGUGCUAGCCUCUUAUGUUGGUCUGUAAAACCAUGUAACCGUUCCUUAUUUUGGUUGCGCUCUGCAUUGUGGGGUCUCUUCGAUUUUGCGGAUUUGUAAAACAUAGGAAUAGAAAGAAAAAAGAAAAAAAAUGAGUGGCAUGUCAUCUUGGAUUCUACAAGAAUAGUAUGAGUGUUUGAUUGUGCACAAGAAAACAUCAAAUGGUUGGAGCGAAUGAAAAUUUUCCUAUGAAAUUAUUACAAAUGAAUUCUAAGGAAAAUUUCUAUGGGUUGUAAUCAUACAAAUCAAACAAGGCGUGCAAGAAAAACAAAUCUUAGGAUUAGAAUCCUUCUAAACUCCUUUAGAAAUCCUUUUAAUAAAAAAACUUGAUAGGGUUACACUACAUGAAUCAGGUAAUUUGUUGUCAGCCUUUUGUCGGGACAGACGACAAAGACCAAACUGUGUUUUUGCCAUGUAGUACAUGUGUCAAAGACUACUAGGUUUUUGCCAUGUAGUACAGUGUCAGAUUGCGGGCAUGUACUGCAUCAGUUUUUUUGGUAAUGUUCGCUUUCUUUCCUUUUUCUCUUCAUAUAUCCAAUAAAUUGUAUACUUCUAGUAUCAAAAGUAAUGGAAAGGGGAAAGGUUGGUUGAAAAAAUAUAGCAUGAAAAUAAAUUUAGUUUCCAUUUUCUCAUUCAUUCAAUCAAUUUGUAGUCCAUUACUGUGUUUUUCAUACUUCAAAUUGUUAGCACUUAGUUUUGAGUAUUAAUGUUAAAAUAUGGUACCAGUAACUUUUGUAGCGUUCCUAUACCAGACAUGGAAUUCCCAAUUUUUGAUUAUGACUUUCUCACGGGAGUAAAUUGUGUUGCAAUAUUUGCAGGUGCAAACAAGAAAAUGGUACGUCUAUGCUUUAAUCGGCUUAAGUGCAAAUAAGAAAAUGAUUCGUCCAUGCCAUACCUGGCUGAGAUUUUGUUAAGGCACAAUCGAUUCCGAAAAGUGAUCUUCAUUUUACUAAAAAGUGCAUUUUUCUCACUUCCGAAAAAGGUACAUGAUGCACUUUCCAUGAAAUAAAGUUGCACUUUUCAAUGUCAAUUGGGACUCGACAAAAUCUGAAGGGAUUGAAUUUUGCAAAAUCAGUACAAAUAACUUAGGGCAUUGAGUGGUCACUUAGAAAUAAAUUUUCACAUUCAACUCGAAACCAUGAUAUGUAGAUGCCAACAAGAAGUAUGAAAUCAAGGCAUACACUCGCACGUGGUAAAAUCAAAUUCAUAAUACCUUGAGUUUCUGCUACAAGACCAGGGUUGAAGUCGUGCUACGUACCCUGGACUUGGCUCCUCGACCAUGAGGAAGGUUCCACUAUACGUUAUUUACCUUAUAAUGUAUAAUGUGCAUAGUAAGUUACCCAAGCCUCCGUCGACCGCUAUGCGACAUCGCCAUAUUUGGCAUAGAAGUGACGUGACAUUAUCAGCAAAAACAAGUAGUAGAAGAAAAGGUCAUGCAAUUUUUGUAUUCCCUUCGUUCCUAAAUACAAGUCUUUUUAAACAUUUUAAAUGGAUUAUAACAUACGGAUGUAUGUAGACAUAUUUUAAAGUGUAGAUUCACUCACUUUACUACGUAUAUAGUCACUUGUUGGAAUCUCUAAACAGACUUAUAUUUGAAAACGGAGGGAGUAUUUCAAGAUAAACAUAUCGCCUCACUAUUACUCUUGGAGUAACAUGAAGCGCAAAAUACUUGGAGUAUACAUAUUCUUCUUUGCCCGAGGUAUUCGCCAAGCAUCAAAAUGUUGCACUUCCGCAUCAGAAAUUCGGAGAGGUGGGCCAGCCCUUACGCCCUAUAUAUAGACCCGGAUUCCACCGCCCCAACCAUCAAACCACCUUCCUCUCCCUCCUCCACUCCCCCCGAACCAUCGCCAUCACAUCUUCUCCUUCUCUUCGUCCGUUGCUCCCGUUGAAGCCCACGCACCUUGUUGCUUUCUCCCACCGCUUCUUCGGUCUCCCUCCCUGUGUCGGUCCGUGCUCUCGUCAUGACGAACCACGCCGCCUUUGCUGCCGAGGACGCGGUCACCGCCGUGGCGGCGCCGGCGCAGCCGGGUCGCCAUUUCGCGUCGUUCCCGCCGCGGAGAGCGCGCGACUGCAGGAAGGCCGCUCUGGGCCGCAUGGACCUCGCCACCUCGGGGGUGCUGAUGGCCGGGUCUCUGCUGGACUCGAUGAAGGCCUCCUCGCCCCGCCACGCCAUGUCCCCCGCCGGCGCCGACCACGAGGAGUGGAUCGUAAGUUUCUUUCUUUCACAUGCACCCAUGGCUGCUGCUUGCUCUCUUUCUCACCCUCCCUCCCUCUCUUCAACUAAUUAUUGACGAAUCUUUGCCUGGAUCGCAGGAGAAGCACCCGUCAGCAUUGGAGUGGUUCGAGGGCGUGCUCGCGGCGGCUGAGGGGAAGCAGAUCGUCAUGUUCCUCGACUACGACGGCACCCUUUCGCCGAUCGUCGAGGACCCCGACCGCGCCGUCAUGACCGAGGAGGUCAGUCUCCUUCCUCCCUCGUUCCGUAUCUUCUGCAUCCUUUCCGCGACGCGAUCGAAGCAGAGCAUGCUCUGUUUACAGAGGUUUCCUCCGCAGUGUCCUGUUCUCAUUUUUCUCUUUGAUUGACGCAGAUGAGGGAGGCGGUGAGGGGCGUCGCCCAGCAUUUCCCGACCGCCAUCGUGAGUGGGAGAUGCAGAGACAAGGUACAUUCCAGCGCCAACAUAUCCUCUAGUGCUACUUUCUUGGUUCCUUGCUGCUGCUGCUGCUGCAGCCGUUGCAUUUUUUUUGUUGCUUUCUUGGUGCUGUAAAAGAAGCCGGAUUGUUUUUUUCUCCCUCUCCUCCGGGGGGCCCUAGCCUUGCACCUCACACCACGGCUCCACCAGCGUGCACCGUAAACGGAAUCUUCCAGGUUCCAUUUUGUUAUAUUUGGCCGUGAUUUUCACCGUCCACAUGACAUGGCAUGCAUGCCGCAUUUGGUUUUAUGAGCGUUAGCGAUAGCGAUAGCGAUUGUUUUUAUGAGCGUUUCCUCGCAGUACUACUUCCGCCCACAGAAAGGCCGGGACCCUUUUGCUCAUUCCUGUAUGUUUUGCCUACGCACGAAAAAAAAAA